CAUUCUCUCCUUUCUUUUUCAUUUCUUGCCACGAAAAUCUCGCCGUUCUCUUCGAUAAUUUAAAAACAACUCUUCUGUCUCUCAUUUUCUGACUCUUUUGUCCCCAGCAAUUAGCGUUCCAAAAUCCAACUAAUUAAUUAAACAAAUCUGUUGCAACCUUCGAAUAGAAAAGAGAGAAAAAAAAAAAAACAGUAAUGGAAUUUUGAAGCGCAUGCUUGCAACUUUCUCUCUCAUUUUUACGAUAAAAUCUUCAAGCGAGAGAAAGUGCACGAUACAAGGAAAAAAAAAUGGUUUUGUGUUAUGUUAGACACGUGGCGGUUUAGUAAUGGAUGAAGAAAUGGAGGAGCUCGUGUUGACGGCGGAGCCGAUCGUGGCGGAAGAAUUUGAAGUUGAUUUUGAUUACGAGUUUGACGCACCUCAAUAUCACGAUUUUACCCUUCCGGAAACGCCGGCUAAGGCUAGAGAAAACGAGCUCUGGUUUGAUUCCGCUGCAAGCUAUCCACCUUCGCGUAAGCAAAACACAGCAAAAGCAUUCGAAAUUUAUCGUUUCAUUUUUGCUGAUUCGUUUGUUAUUUAGAUUAUUUCAUUUUCUGAAUGGCGUUUAUUUCAGCCUUUAUUUUGAAGUUCAACUGGAGAUAUGAUUUCCCUGCGGAUACUGCAAGCGUUUCUUGCGAUUCCAGAGGAGGAAGCAUGAGUUCUAUUGGUAAUGUCUCAUAUUUUGAGACCGAUUCCGAAGCUUUCGACAUUUAUCAAAUUAAUAGAGGUAUUUUUUAUUUUAUUUUUUUAAUCAAUGAGGUACAUUUACAAAGAUGACGCUUUUUUAUUGCUUAUUUUUAUAAUGUAAAAGGAUAUGGUUGUGCAAUUAUGAUAUUUAAAAUUUCUAUGUGGCAGCAUGUGACUGAUAAUAGUUUAUUAAGGAUUGUCCCAUCGUUUUUUUUUUUAAAGCAAAUUAUUUAACAGCCUUAUUCACAUGUAUAUAUGCAUCUUCUAAACCUGAGUCACAAUAAACAAAAUGAUCUGAUUUUUACCUAAUAUAAGCGAUAGCCAGUGUUGUAGACUUCGUAGUGUUCGUCAAUAUCUGUUUUCUUUGUACAUUUUAUUCUAGGGCCAGAAUUUUGUGGUGACAUGGAUCAAGAUGUUUCAAAAUCCAAAACCAAGUCUUUUGCGAAGUCAUCUAUACAGAGGAGUUCGACUUUGAUGAAACCCACGGCAAGUUAUUUGGCCAAAUACAAUCAACUUCAAGAAUUUCAUUUCAACCAUUUUUUGAGGUAGUGUUGAUUAUUUUUUAAGUAGUACCUUUUGUGUGAUGACACUAGCAGAUUUCGCAUGAAGAUUAAAGAAAUAAAAAAAAUAAAAAGCAGUUAUUAUCAUUUUUUUUUUGGUACUAGUACAGAGCUGUGAAGUAUUGAUUGUUUUAAUCUUACAAAGAAAAGUUGCUAAGUUCUCUAUAUGUAUAUGCAGUAUAUUCACAUUUGACAGGUUUUAUAGUUUUGAAAGUUUUUUGGUAAUUUGAUUUCUUUAUUUAGUUUGGCUUUGUUUCCUUAUCUCUAAGGUUAUGCUGAACAUCUUUAGGUCUCAAAAGAUAGUCAAAUCUGACAAGAGUUCACUGAAUUCGUCUACAAUUGAAAACCUCGCUACCAAAAGACAGAAGCUGGAAGCUGGUUUCUUACCGAAGGUGCACUAAUUUAGGUCUUCAAUUUAUUAGUAUUCUUCGAUGGAUUAUUGACAAAAGUUUAAUAUCUUGAACAAUGAGUUUGAGCUUAUAAAAUGGUGAAUUAGACUUCCUUUGAAACUGACAGAUAAUAUGCUGAGACAUCAAGUUGACUGAAACUAUGAUUUAGGCCUGUAAUUGGUAUAUAUUGGUUCAAAUGCCUGCUUAAGAUUUCAUGAAAGAUUCAAAAGGAGAACGCUAUGCCUAGUAAGAUUUUAAGAGUUGGGAUUUCAAGAACUUUAUUUACUCUACUAUAUUUCAGCAAAUUAGAUAUAUUUAAGAAACCUAAGACCACUUCUUGUUAUGGUUUUGGUUUGGCUUUAGUAUGAUUACAUACUUGUAAUACGUUGCUGUACUCGUACCAUUCUCUAGAGAUGCUGGCUUUGUUCACUUUCUUUGUAGACUCUUGCUUUUUAAGAUCUAUAGGUUCAUGCAAGUUCUCAUAUAGAUUGCUGGUUCUUUUACUGCUGUUUUACUUGAAAACAAUAACUUUUAUGUAGUUUGUUGUCAAGUCAGACCGAAGUUUUUAAAAGUGUUUCUGCAUUUGCAAAGCAGGUUUCUCAUCUAAAGCAUCAAACUCAUUUUCUACACAAAGUUCCAGUAAAGGUAAUAUGUACUAUUUAGAAAGUGGAUGUCACAUAAAUAUCGUAGUUAGGUGCAGAAUUUUUCUUUUCGUUAAAAGUAUAAAUUUUUAAACUACUUGAUGUUGCAGGUUGGGCUCCUUGAAAUAAACUCGGUGAAUUGUAGAUCUAAAGUUACUAUUCCUAGAGAACCUAAUCUGGAAACAGCACAUAGGGCUCAAAAACAUAGGUAAUAUUCACUUCCUCUCCUUUUUAUGUUGACAUUUGUUGUCAUACAUCUGUAAGGUUACCAGGCUUUGCCUCUUGUGCAAUUGUUUAUGUCGUAUUUUCUGGAUUUCAGGGCUAAGGCUAAGGUUGAUGCAGAGUCAGAUGAACAUGCAAAAUCAAAUGCAUGCAACUUUAAAGCACGCCCAUUGAACAGAAAAGUACAUACUUUCAAUAAAUAAGAUCCAAGUUUUAUUGAAUUUCAUAGGAACCAUGAACUUCAAAAGAAAUUGCCCUUAUAUUUAAGUUAGUAUAUGUUAUCUUUUUCAAUAACUUUUUCGGGCUUGGCAGAUUCUUGAAGCUCCUUUACCACAUCCCCCCAAAAAGAGCACGCCACAGCCUACUGAGUUUCAAGUAAUUCUUAACAUGUUUGAAUCUUCUUGUUCAUCUUGUGAUAUGAGCAUUUUCUUGGACGGAUUUAGUGAGAUAAGCUUGCUGCAUAUCUUAGGUUUAACACAAAUUGCCUUCACUGCUGUGCAGGAGUUUCAACUGCGAACAUCCGAGAGGGCUAGACAACACGCAUGUAAUAAUGUAGGUUAUGAAAAGUUUACUUUACAGAUUGUCAUAUUGUUAAUAUCAUGCACAGUUUUAGUAAUAAACAUUGCAAUUUCUUACUUGUGCCCAUGCUAAUAUAAUAGUAGGAAUAGAAUGUGCCUUGAUGGUGGAAAGCUAAUGCUCUCCUCAUUGCAGGUGGCAACCAUGCAUAACCACAAUGCUAUCUCCCAAAAUGAAACUAAAGACUCCAGAAGGUAAUGAUGUCUUGAGUUUUUCUCAUACCAUCGAAGUUAAACAUUGAAAGAUUCCUUUUUACCAAUUAAUACUCUCAUGUUGCUAGAGCAUUCUGCAUUGCUCAUGGUUUUUAGCUUGAUCUUACUUGGUAUAUUGGUCUAGGACUUUUAACUUCCUUUUGCUCAUGUGAUAUGCAAUCGCACAAUUGUUUUUUAACUUCUCCAUCUUUAUCAGGACAUUAAAUUUUCAUUUUAUCUUUUUCACAAAUGCAAGGGGGGAGCCUCAACUUUCAUAUAUUUUAAGUAGUUUUCAUCAUUACCAUUUCUUGUAAUCUUUGAUAUACUGACCUAUAAUUAAUGAAUUUACAUUCUGUUGAAUAUGAUUACUUUCUAACGUGGUUAUUCUCGUUGAACAGGCCAAACUCUGUUGAUGCCCUAAAGGAGGAGAAAUGUGAAGGAGUUAAAAAAAUUAAAGCAAACCCUCUCAAUAAGAAGGUGCUGUUAAUAUUAUGUUUGGACCUUAUAAUUGAGAUUGUUUUUGCACAGAUUCUCAGUGUGUGGCCACAUUAUUUCCUUGACACAGAUUUCUUCUGGUAAAGGAGAUCCCGGCGUCUUUCGAAAUAUCAGACAAGAUACUGCUGCCUCAAUGGUAGUUUACAAUGGUUCCUUUAUUCUCAGUUUGGAUAUGUUACUCAUUGCCUUGCAGGAAAAUUUUUCUCUGUUAACCCAUGCUUGUAUUUCCUGCCAGGAUAACAAUUUUCCAAUGAAUAAGGGGUCUUUGAAUGAGCCACCAAUUGACCUAUUUAGAAAGGUAAGAUGCGAUCUAGUUCUUCUGUACUUGUUGGUAAUGAGUCUAAAAUUGGAGCUCACCGGUGAUUUCUCAUUUUCUUACUUAAGUUUGGAUAUAUUUUUCACAAUCCUCUUCAUGACUUGGUAUGCAGCUCUCCUUGGCAUCUGAAGUCCAUAACAACUUAAAAUCUCAGUCAAAAAUGCCUUUGGUUUCUAAGGUUAGUGUAAACGAUAAUUUUAGCUUUGAAUCUUUUAAUGAAAGUUUGUAUCUUUUUUUUUUAAUUAAUAUACUAGUGCUUUCAUUGAUUGAAUAAGGAAUCAAAAGAGAAUGCACCACAAUCAUUCCUUCUUGAACAUGAGGUAUACUACUAUGUUCCAUAUAUCUAUUGAUAUAAUAUGUAAAACAAUUCCUAGUCAAUUACUGCAAAAACUUGCAUCCUAAAUAAAUCUAGUAUUAUGGUUCAGGUUUUGAUUUGUUGUUAGUCCUCUUACCACGAUAAUCGCAGUCUCAUAACAUCCAAUUUUGCAGAUGAAGGUGUUCAAAGAGAAAUCUCAGAAGUUUGGUAGGAAUCAGUAUCAGUGUGGGAGUGAAUCAAGUGAAAGUAGGAUUACCGAAGGUGGAUCACGGUUCAACUUCAACAGGUAUCACUAUUUCUGAAUUUAUUUGAUGCGAAAUGCCAACUGAUCCUUUUCUCCAAAUUCUGACUUUUCUUUUAGCUUUAGAACUUGACUAAGAAAAUUAUCAGGUACAACAAUUUUUAUAUUUAUACUGCAAUAAGCUGCUGAUUCCAUCUCCACAAUUUCCUGUUAAAAGUUAAAACUUCGACACAAUAUAUUUGUAUACAUUUCAUUGAGACAGAAUAUUUUCGAUGAUUCUUGUCACAGGAAUUUGGAUAUACGCUGAGAACAGAGCCGAAAAGCUUUCAUUUUUUGAAAUGAGACAAGUUUUUCGAAUGAAGCUAGUCUUAAAUCUACAAUCUAAUGCGAAAAGAAAAUUUUGUUUUAUAUCAAUAAUGUAAAGGAAAUAAAAAAAAUUUUGGAGAGCAGCAAUGUACAUAAGUAUAAAUUAUAGUUGGCAUGUUUCUUCUGUUUCUUGUAUAUACCAGGGAAAUUGUAUUUGUGGUUCAGGUUAAGCGAAAAGUGUUGAUUCAGUUUUUACCUUCUUGUUCUUUGUUGAAGGAUUUCAUUUUAUGUCUGAUGGUUCCUGUUUCAGCGAUCUGUUUCUACAAUUCUCACACGUGUCACGUUUCCAUGUGAGGUUACACAAUGUUGUUGGCACAAUAUCAUUUUGCAUCAAAACGUCGUAUAAGUUGGUGACCGUAAUAAUGGAGGAAAAUAAAAAGGAAAGUGAAAAGCGACUAGUAUGGUAGAGAUUGAGUAUUUUUUUUUUUUAAAUAUAUAAGGAGGUGGAGAUAAAUGAAUCUCAUCAUUUUAUGGUAAAAAAAAUGUAACUUUUCUCCUUAAAAUUGGAGUAGUUGGCAUAUGCUCCACAUAUACUAAUUGCAAAAGCAUUUUCAAAUUAUUAUUUAAUAAGUUCACACCAGACAUAAAACAAUCCAAGAAAGCUAUUUUACCAUUUUGAGGGGUUUUUAGUUCGGUUCCGUACGCAAAAAUAAACCAAACCAAAAUCGUUUUGGUUUGCUCUCGUUUUUCAUUCAAUUGAUUAAAUAGAUCGAUUUUUUUUUUUCUUAAUUUGAAAAGCAAACUGAGCUAUUAGUUCGGCUUAAUAUUUGGGGGGGGUCGUUGUUUUUUGGCCCAGUCCUAGCCAUGAGGGUAAACAUUUUUUAGGUAAAGCUUAUAUAAAGAUUAAAAAUAGGUAAAAAAAAAUUAGUUAGAUUAUGAGGGUUCACUUAAUCUGAUAGUCAUUUAUUUAAGAAUUUGCUUUCUCAAAUCUAGAUUUUUAAAUGAAAAUUUCAUGUGGAUUUGUUGCUGCACUGUAUGAUGUUAUAGUAUUUUGGUUCGAUUAACUAUUAUAUUAUACGGUGUAAUAAUAAAUUCAUAUGAAAUUUGCAUUUAAGCAUCGAGACCUAAGAAAUUAUACAUAGAGAGAGAGAGAGAGAGAGAAUUUCUAAUAAGGAUAAUAAGAUAUCCUUAUUUUAAUAAAAAAAAUUGCUACUAAAAUACAAAAAAUAAUAUAGUAACUAAUGUAUUGAAAUUUAGUUUUCUUGUAUUUUUGUGGUAUUCUCGUUUUAUUAAAAUGAGGAUGUUUUCAUUAAAUAAUAAUAAUAAUAUAGUCAUUUUUUUAGCACGAGUGCUUGUAUUAUUUAAGAUUUGGGAUUUCACAGCUGUGUCAAAUAUUUUUAUACUAUUGUAAAAUAAUUUUUGAUGCUAUUGUAAAAUCUCAAAUCCGUAUUAUAAAUAUGCAUUGUUAUAUACUACAAUGCGAGCGUGUGUAUUUCUUGUGUUUUAAUAAUAUAUCUUCUUACUAUAACGACUUAAGGGAUUGUGUGUGUAUAAUUUUCUUAUUGGCAAUUCGAAUAGCAAAACCGAUCAGUUUUUGAAUUAAAAAAAUAUAAAUGCCCAAAUCUCUGCCAUUGUCCAAAAGAAACCCAAGCUCCUAGCUAGCCUGCCACCAAUCGUCAUCGGUCAUCGCUCAACUCCAUCGCGCGCCAGUAGCAUCAAUAGCGCCGCCCCAUUUUUGCAUAUUAAUAACACCUGUGGUUGAAUAAAUUUUCCAAACCAUGGAUUCGAACACAACAAGCUUGACUUGGACGACCAAAAUAGCAAUGUAGUUGCCUUCUUUAAAGUUUUGGCGGAAAAACAGAUGACAUGUCGUAUAUUACAAAAUAACCAGAUGACAUUUUGUAAAAAAAAAUGCAUGCGCCGGCGGCAUCCUGUACGACAUGUCGUAUCUGUAUAAAAAAAUUUUAACUUGUUUGGAAAUCAAAAUUUCAAUUGAAUAUGCUAGAAGACAAUAUAAUAUUGGGAAAAUUUCAAAUCAUUUCAUAUAAGUCAAGAAAUUAAAUAUAUAUUUACACACGUUAAUCAGUAGCAUAUGUGGUGGAACCACAAAUACUACACACAGGUAGGCGGCUGAAUAAAUUAAUAGCAAGUGAGUUUACAUAUGUUUAUUUGUUGCGUUUGUUAAGAUCUGAGUACUUAAAAUAUUACUACGAAGCACACAAUUCUAAUAUUUGAAAUUAGCCCUUUCAUCAGUGAGAUAAAUGAAGAGAUGAUGGACAAAUUGAAAUUUGUAAAGCUAACAUAUUCUGUCCAUAAAUUCAUGGUAACAUAAUUCACCUCACUAAAAACUUAAACGUAAUAUCCGAAUACGAGUUAGUAAUGCUAGAGAACUUGGCCUGUAACCCACAAGCAUUCAUAAGCAACCAUUCAACAAAAGAUUUUUAGUACUUCAAACUAAAUUCCUAAGCUAGUCAGUCCAGAAUGUACAAAAAUUAGUGAUAAGCACAAUUAUACAUCUUCUCUCUUCAAGGAACAACAUCAGAGACUAAUUUUAUCCUUCAAGUUCCUGGCUGUUAAUUCAAAACACAAAAGGAGACUAGCAAUUUAAAGGGUGUUCUUAGAUAUAACUUCUCCAAACCUAACAAACCACCGAGCAUCAGACGAAUUGUCGUCGUGCUCAACACGCUGCUGCCGUUCUCUGUUGACCACAAAUUUGGUGUAAUAGUCGAUUGGUUUUGGAGCGGCCAGAGAAAGUUUUGCGGGUGGAGCUGGAAGAAGGGAAACCAGAACUCUGGCUACUUCCUGCAUGGUUGGUCUUUCUGAAGGGUAGCGCUUUGUGCAGAGCAGAGCAAGCUGGAAGGUCUUUCUCACAGCGCUUAAAUCCACGCAUGUCACUGAAACCUCUGGGUCAACAGCCUCCAUCACUGUGUUGUCAUCAGCCUUGGACAUUAUCUGAAAACACAAAAUACACAUGCAGACCGUUCAACUCAAGAGUUAAGUUGCUUAAUAGCAUACUUAAUGUAAAACAAAUGCUUAAAUUUAGUGACAGUUUAAUGUCCCACACAGCAACCCAGGAUUUUCCACUUUGACAACAUAUUUUAACUCACAGGAUCAAUGAAAAUUAGACCUUAUAAUUCAGGGCAUUAGAUGCAUACCAGUUGAUGCAAGUUAGACUCGUUAUCCACAGCCUUCUUCCCAGUCAGAAUUUCAAGAAGUACAAUACCAAAGCUAUAAACAUCUGAUUUUUCAUUGAGACGAGAGGUAUGGGCAUACUCAGGAUCAAUGUAACCAAUUGUUCCUAGAACAAAAGUUGAGGCAUGAGGCAUUGCAGUCGGUAUGCAUCUUGCAAUCCCAAAGUCAGAGAGAUGAGCGUCAAAAUUCUCAUCUAUCAGGAUAUUUGAUGAUUUUACAUCCCUGUGAAUGAUCCGGGGGUUGCAAUCAUGAUGAAGAUAAGCAAGUCCUUGUGCAGCUCCAACUGCAAUCUUCAGGCGAGUUUCCCAGUCAAGUUUUACUUUCUUGGAUGGUCCUGUAAUGCAACACUUGUCUUCUUCAGAAACAAAAAAAAAUAUAUAUAUAUAUAUAAAUACACAUAUAUAGUAAGAUAAAUAAUUCCCCAAGUAAAUAUUCAAUAUAGGAAAAAUGAGCAUAUCAUCAACUUUCAUCUAGUAAUAACAACUAUAUGGUACAGGCAAGAUAACUGACCAUGAAGGAGAUCCCACAGAGAACCAUUCACCAUGUAGUCAUAGAACAGGAGAUUUCCAUAUGGAGACAAAGCAUAACCAUGCAAGCUCACAAUAUUUCUGUGUCUAAUGCUGCCAAUGGUUUCAAGUUCAGUCUCAAACUCUCUCAAGUUGUGAGGAUACUGAUUGUAAAGUUUCUUAACUGCUAUUGGUCGGGAAUUCUUCAGUGCACAUUUGUAAACAGUACUAGAUGCACCAUAGCCAACGAUAUACUUCUCACUCAAAUUCUCAGUGCUUCUCAUUAUAUCAUCAAAGGUGUGAAUAGCCAUAUCCAUGUGCAGAAUCACAAGCUUGGGUGGUCCUGGGUAGAAAGGAAACCAACCUUGAAGAUUUGAAGAUACAAAUGUUGCAAGUAAAUACUAAAGCAAAGACAUACCUAGCAUAGAUUUUCUGGAACCAGUAAUUAAUUGCUGCCUUUGUUGGUUGGAUUUAUACACAGCAAUUGCAGCCAUCACUAACAAUGUAAUGAAGCCUAACACCAUACAAACAACAGCAGUUCGGGAGAACAUAACUGGAAAACAAGAUAGCUCAUUGGGUAAGCAGAGAGUUCUAAAUUUGAUCCUGCCAAUGAUCGUAUACACAAAACAUGGAUCUAUCAUAAAAUAACAAAAGAUUACAGAAAGAUUAAGUUAAUACCUCUGGCCUUUGUCACCGAAGGACCACAUAUUGAUCCUAUCCAAUUUCCACACAGUAGUGGAUUUCCAAUGAAGCUGGUGCAAAUAUGAAUAAUCAAUACAAAAAUCAAAAUUCCAAAAGCUAUGAACUAAUGUUUUUGCAUACCUAUUUGAUGAAAAUCGUGAGAAGUUUCUGAUUGGGGGUAUAAUCCCUGAUAAGUUGUUGUACGACACAUUCCUGAAAUUCAUUAAAUUUAGUAGUUUGCAAGACUUCAUAACAAACAAGAAUUUCUUUCAUAGAAAGGGUAAUGUCUUACAAAUUAGAUAGACUGAAACAAUUGCUAAGCUGAUCUGGGAUCCCACCUUGCAAAUUGUUGUUGUUCAAAAUCCUGACAUAAAUUUUCAUCUCACAUUUUAUAUCUGCUUGAUAAAUAAAUACACAACAAAAGUACUGCUUCAACCACAUGGGAAAAAGACCAUGAACUUACAGAGAAAUGAUAUUUUGCAGUUGACCCAGUUCUGCAGGAAUGCUACCAGACAGUUGGUUGAAUGACAUGUCACUAAAAAACAGAAGAGAAGAAAGAUUAAAAAAACAGAGGUUACUCCAUUCCAUACAGCUGUAGAUUUAUCAAAGUAAAUUAGCUCACAUUGUUUGUAUGCUUCUAAGGUUUCCGAAUUUUGCAGGCAACAGCCCAUUCAGAUGAUUCCUGCUCAAAUUUCUGGGCAAGUGGAAACUAUAUUAACUGAUGCACUAAUGUAAAUCAAACAGAAUGAACCCACAUUGAACCAUGCUUGGGUUGAAGGAUUACAAAGUGAGAAGGUGCUCCAGAUCACCAAUUGAAGCAGGAACAGAUCCAGAAAAAUUAUUAACUGAGAGAUCCCUGAAUCAUAGAACAAACAUAAGCACCUAAAACUGGAAAAUAACAAUAGACAAAACACAUCAUGGCAUGAAACUCACAGCGUGUCAAGAUUAAUAAUUCGUCCAAGCUCAGUGGGUACCUUGCCUUUGAAGUUGUUCCUUGAAAGGUUUCUGAACAUCAACUAUAUUAGUAUAGGAAAACAGGCAUCCAUGCAAUAGAUAUUGUAACUUAAAAGAAUUCUCUAAACUGAAUGAUCAAAACGUACAAGUAAGUCAGACUCCCCAGAUUCCGGAAACUAGAUGGGAUAGCCCCGCUUAAGCGAUUACCAUGCACAUUGCUGUGAAAUAAAAUCAAGAAUCACAAUCAAAUUAACUGAAAUGAGACGCAACAUUAUUACAAACACACACAAGGGAUUCAGUUGUAUUCAGAAAAUUGGUAUCUUACAACUGAUUCAAUGCUGUACAGGAACUGAUAUUAUGCGGAAUGGGUCCUUCCAGAUUAUUAUCUGCAAGAUUCCUGAAUCAUAAAGGACAAACUGAUAAGUAACAUGAAAUGAAAAAUAAUACUACACAGACAUAACAGCAGAGACUCACAAUUCAAACAACUGCUCUAGCUUCCCAAGUUCUGCAGGAAUUGUUCCAACAAGUUGAUUAUUUUGUAAUUGCCUACGUGAAAGUAAUUAUCUUAUCAACAGCAUGAACCGUGCAUAUGUAUACUAAGUUUUGGGAAAUGGAAAAUAGCUCACAAGUAGCUCAGUUUAGACAUAUUGCCAAGCUCUGGGGGAAUUGGUCCAGUCAGCUUAUUGCCAUGGAGAUAUCUGGCACAGAAGAAAAUUUAAAAAACAAAAAAGAAUCAAGACAUAAAACAUAUUAAAGAACAAUAAUAUUAUCGUUUGAUGUAAUCAAACUAACAGUUUUCCAGUGUAUGACAAAUUGCCAAGUAUGGGAGGGAUUGGUCCAACAAGCUCAUUCUCACUUAAAUCCCUGAAAAGUAAAAGAAACAUAAACACAAAAGUCAAGACACGUGCUAUAAAUGUAUCUAAAGUCCAUAGAGUCUGGGCGACAAAGAACGCAUGUACUUACAACACGGCUAGAGCCUGCAUAAGGCCAAUGACCUCUGGAAUUUUACCCGUUAGCUUAUUUCCUUGAAGUGAUCUACAAAACAUCAGGUGUCAAUUACAAAAAACAUAUGAUAAUUGUAAAAGUUUCAUAUGUAAAGCUCUAUGUUUAAUAAGAAAAAUAAAUUGAAGUGGAAAAGCUCACAGUGUUGCCACUUGAAGGAAUCCAAUAUUGUAUGGUAUCUCUCCAGUGAUCUGAUUGUAAGAUAUGUCCCUGAAGUUCCCCACGAUCAGAAAGUUGAUUAACACAGAAAAAUGUAAGUACAAAAUUCAGUGCAGUGUACAGUAGUUGACAUACAAUAUUUCAAAGCUUGUACAGUUGCCAAUGCUGUCCGGGAUUGUUCCAGUUAGAUUAUUGCCUCGUACAUCACUAAAAUCAAUAAAAACAACUAAUAUCAUAAGUAAUUAUAUCUGUUGAAUGGAAAAACCCAAUUUUUAUAUACAUUGAAUGGAAAAAAGCAAUUUUUGCACCCCAAAAAAAAAAAAACUGACUACUCACAAAUACCACAAGCCGGUUAAUUGACACAUGUCAGGAGACAGCAUUCCAGUCAAUGCAUUUCCCCUUAGCCCACUGUAAACACAACCCCAAACACAAAAUGUGAAAUCCUAUGCUUCAAGAAAAUGUGUAAACCUAAAUGUCAGUAGGCAAAAACUUAAAAAUGUAUGAACUCUCAAUGGCUCCGUUGAAACUUCCAUAUAACUAUAGUAAAUUGUAACAGGAGGGAACACAAUGUUCAAAUGCCUAACAGACUACUAUAUCUUUAUAACUUACAGGUAUUGCAGCACUUCAUUCCAGUAUAUUAGCCUUGGAAUCUCACCAGUGAGCUGGUUUCGAGCAAGAUCACUACAAAUAUAAACAUUCAAAUGCAAUUGAAAUUAUUAAAAACGAUAAAUAUCUCAAAAGAAGUAACAUCAUAUCUGAUAUCACGACUAAAUUGGUAAAUCAGGCAUCUCAUCAGUUAAGUGGAAACUCACAGAGUCUUCAGAUUAGGAAUCUGAGUUAAGGUGGAUGGAAUUGGACCGGUAAGCUGAUUGUUUUUCAAAUUCCUGCAUUGCGUUAAUGGAUAUGCACUCAUUAAUUUACCAUGUAACUCCAACAUGUACAUAUUGAAACAAGUCAAAUGAUCAGAGACAUUAUAUAACAAAAAUAGCGCUUACAAGAACUCAAGUUGCUUCAGCUUUGAUAUAGAAAAGGGAAUGUCUCCAUAUAGACUAUUGUCAGACAAUUCUCUGCAUUAUGCAAAAGGAGAUCCCAUUAUGAAUCAAAAUUCUCAUAAACACUAAUAUGCACAUUAACAAGAAGGAAAAAUAGAUUUAAAAAAUUUUACAUAUGGACAAGAGAGCCACAGUUUCCAAUUUCAUCUGGGAUCUGGCCAGUUAACUUAUUCCCCUGAAAAUCUCUGCCAACAUCGCAAAAAUUAAAAAAAAAAAAAAUCAAUUACGACUACAUUGGGAACAUAAUAAAAGGGUUUGGUAAGAAAAUAAAAGGGCGCAUACAUGGACUGCAAAUUUCUUAAAUCUCCAAUGGAUGGCGAAAUCUCUCCACCCAGAUUCAAGCUUGACAGGUUCCUACAAGUAACCAGUACCCCAUUCAUUGCAUUGCACUUCAUUGCAUUUUAUAAAAAAAAAAAAAGUAACUUAAAACAGAACAAAACAUACAAAGAAACAACAGAGAGGCUGCUGUUAUCGCAAAAGACACCACGCCAUGAACAGAAAUCAGAGUUGUGCACAUCGUCCCAGUCCAGCAACACAUUCGCCAGGUUACUGAAUGACGCUUUAAUCGCCAUCAACGCUUUCCCUACAACAACCCCAGGAUUAUUUUAAUAUUCUCCAAACACCUAAAUAUCUCCUUUUAUCUUAUUAACACAAGAAGCACUCAAAACAACAAAAACGAACUUCAGUUCCUUUUAACAAAAGACGCUUCAUGCAUUUGAAUAAUGCUAAAAACAAACAAAACCUUCAUCAUCAUUGAGUGGAGCGGCGGAUGAACAAAGAAGCAAAAACACCGCCAUUAUGAAACUAAAAGAAAGCUUUCUCUUCUCUCUUUGUAAGAGAACUCCCAUUUUCAUUUUUUUCCCCCUAAAGAAAGCUCAAAACAUGGAGAGACCUUUUUUUUUUUUUGCACGAGUUAUGAGUUACGUUCAAGUAGAAAAAUAACUCUUCUUCUUAAGUUUGGUUUGCUGCUAGCCUGCUACUUGUUUCAUUGAGAGGGGGAAGAGAGAGAGAGAGAAAGAAGAGAGGAGGGAGAGUAAAGGAACAGGCGUUUAGCGUGAGGUGCAAGGUAGACUGAGCAAUAGCUGUUAUGAAGAGAGAGGGAGUGACAGUAACUGGGAGAGAGAGAGAAGCAACUAAGCAAGAGACAACUGACACGGGAGGAGAUAUUACUCUAAACGGCGGUGAAGCGACGUUAGUAGCUGACCUUAUUUUUUUAGGCUUUUUGGGGGGAGUCUUUUAGGCCUUUUUGACUGAUUGAUUGAAUCAUUCAUUUUCAUUUUUUAAAGGUUUUGGGCUCAGCGGCCGUCAUUCCGAUCAUGCAUAUGUAUGUAGUACCGUGUCCCAAUGUUGUUUCAUUUUCGGACAGCUCUCGUUAGGCGUCUUUGUGAACCGAAGAGUUCUCCACGACGCGCGCCAAUUCGAUGCACGUGUCUCGUGGAAAUACCAGAACGGUUCGGCACUGUCGAAAAUGGACAAUCCAUUUUUUCUAAUAAAAUGAGUGCCAUUUUAUUAAUAAUAUUAUUAUAUUUACGUAAUUGAAAUAUUUAAUUUAUAUUUUAAUAGAUGUAAUAAAUAAUGUACUAUUAUUUGAUUAGUUUGAAUAAUAGAUAAUUAUUAAGUUUUAUUAUUUUUAAUUAAAUAAUAAUAUUUAUUAAUAGCGCAAUUAUUAUAAUACUAAUUAGAUAUCUCAACUGAGAGUUGUGUUUAAUUAACGUUGCAGAUGAGACAUUAGUUUUUUUUAUGAAGAUUAUGAUAUUUUAUAACAUUUAUACUAAAAGAAUUUUAAAUUUCUAUAAUUUAAGACUUUAUUUAGUAUUUUUACAUACUAAUAAAUAUUAUUUUCUAAGUAUAUAAUUUAAAUUAAUUACAAAAAAAAUUAAUGCAGUAUAGUGCAAUAUCAACAUAAUAUAAUAAAAAAUUAAUAUCAUACAAUAUAAUACUAAAUAUUAUAUAACUUUAUUAUAAUAUAGUGUUAAUACAAUAUAAUAUAACGUGUUAAAAGCAUCUUAAGGCAACUGGGUGGUCAAUAUUUGAGUUAAUUUUUAUGUGUAUUUGGAAUGAUAUACAAUGCUAUGUUGAAUCAAUACAAACCGAAUUCAAUUAAUGACGGCACGACAAUUCCCUCUUUAUUUCAUCGAGGGAGGGUGUGAGUUUGGUUGCACGCGAUGGACGGGCGAGUGGAGUGAGAGAGUUGUCCUUCGAUUGUGAAUUUGUGAUCGGGGAACAACAACGGUCUGUUUGGUUGAUCCGGUGGUUGUCAAAAGACCAAAAAGCUAAUUCCACGCUACUUUUUUUGCUAUGGGCAAAUCUUUUCUGAGAACUUUUUUUUUUUUUUCUUUAAUUUUUUGUCUCCAAUAACUUAUGGUUUUUGUGAAGCUCUUAAUAUCUGUUCUAUUAUUGACAAAGGAACAACUGAAAGUGCAAGGACCAAACUUUUCUCACACGAAAGACCAAAACUCGGCAACCAUCCGGUUAGAGUUUUAAUGGAGAUGGACAAUGCAUUAGGUUUCCGCAAUAAAUCGUUACAUUAAAAUUUUUCAAAAAGCAAAAAAGUAAAAAGUUUUAUAGCAUUUAAUCAAAGGUUUUAGUGGAAUAAUUUGUAAGUAAUAUUUGUAUAAAUUCAAGUAAUUUUCUUUAAUUGAUGAUCGAAGUUUAAAUAUUCAGAAAUAUGGGACUACAUCAUUAACUUAGGAAAUUAGCUCGUUUAAAAAAAAAUUAUUACCUUAGUAUUUUUACUUCAUGAAAACACUCUAGUUUUCGAUAAUUUUUGGAUAUAAAGUAAAGGGGCCGAGAUCAAUCAAAAGAUAAAAUAAAUAAAUUGUCUUUAAAAAAAAAAUUUAAAUUGAAGGGUCCCCUCAGCAUUAAGUUUGGUCAAUAAUUUCUCGCACUAAUUUUCAAUAAUUAAAUACACCACAACAAUAAUACAAACUCUAAGAAGCCUCUAAAAUUAGCUAAGGCACGUCACGUGAUACAUGCUAGCACACGACAAACAUCUUAAAUAGCACUGCAUUUCUAAAUAAUAAAAUAAUUAUUACGAUAUAAUAAUAAUAAUAAUUAAUAAAUAGAAAGUGUUUGGAAGAGCAGACCAGAAAUCAGAAGCAGCAAUUCUGCUUCUGCUUCUGCUUCCGCUGCAACAAUCGUAUAAAGCUGUCCGUGCAUGCUCUGCUUCUAUUUUUGUUCCAUUUACUUGUUUUUUUCUUUACCAUUUUUAAUAAUUAUAAUUAAUAAAACUUGAGCUUCCUUUAAAUUUUUAUAUUGAUAAUUAUUUACGGGUUUAUUGAAUGAAUUACGAUAGCGAGUGAUCGGGAUUGGGACCCACUGAACGCUUUUUUGGUUCAAAUAUCGAGAUAAAUCCCCAGCCGUCAGAUUUCUGAUCUUGGAUUUUGUCGGUUCCCAAAGACAAAACAACAGGCAAUUGUCCGUUGAGUUGGAUAAGAUAACUUCUGACGAACGUGUGUGUAUUUACUCAAAUACCCUCACCUUUUGUGGUGGGAUAAAUUGGGCCGGCGACCCUAAAAAAUUAUCAGACAGAUUUUUUUUUAUUUUUUUUUAUUUUAUUUUUUUAAAGUAUAUUAUACACAGAUAUUACUGACAUUACAUCAAACAUUACAAUUAAUAUUUACAAUCAUACUAUAUAACUGGGACCACCAUUAUACAUUGACACACUAAAAUAUAUGUCCAGAUAUUUUAAACCCUCUCUAAUAUUCAAGGGGUAUCUGCUCCACUCACAUUUCGUAAAGGAAAGACUGUCUCCAUUUAAUUAAUUAAUAAUUAAGGAAGAACUAAAACUAACCUCCAUAAUACUCUUAUGAAAGCUCGAACCCUUGCACUCAACAUUGAUUCAAGAAUCAAUCUUUCCACGCAGUAAAUGUAAAGGCGGCAAAUCCUAAAUGGAUCCUUGGGCUGAUACUAACCCGACCGGAUCUUUUGAUUCACAUAUGGAUUCUUUAAACUGCUUCACGUUCAUCUUAAUUUUGUACCACGUCUUACAUUUAAUUGUUUAUUGCUCUUUAUGAGGAAGAGGUGAUGGUAAAUUCAGCUUUGUGGCACUAGACGUUUAAUAGGUCAAGUUGCAUUUUCUUUUUUUAAGUUUAUUUAGAUUUUAUUUAAAAGAAUUUCAUUAAUUAUUUUAUAAAUAUUAAUUACUGUAAUUAAAUUAAUUUUAUUUUAUCAACACAUGAAAAAAUUAUUAUAUACUAUUAAUUUUUAUUUAUUACUGCUGUACCGUACAUCCGCCUUGGCCGUACAGCAGAUUUUUUUUAUAGUAAUCAUAACGCAAGAGUAUCUCUAAAAAAAUUUUUAAAUAAAAUUUUAUUAUUUAUUUAAAAAAUCACAUCAGUAUUUGAAACUUCAAAAGACGUUCCAAUUGAAAUUUGUUCAAAUAAGAAAUUAUUCUUUCUCUUCAAUUAAUGCAGUUUUCAUUCUUCUUAAAAAUUAUUUAUUUGUAUAAAAUAAUAUUAACUUAUUUUUAUUUGAAGAAUUUUUUAAAGAAUAAUAUAUUUUUUCACUCAUCUUUUUAUUAAAUAUAUAAGUAAAUAGAUAUUUAUAGAGUAAAAUUAGUAGAACAUUUUGAAUAUAUUUUAAGUUACAACAUCUCAUUAAAUCUCAAUAAAAUUAAAUCUAUACGUAACAUAUAUAAAAAAAAAAACUUCUUUAUCAUGAAAUCCCUAUGACAAAAAGGGGAAAUUAUUUCACCACUAGAAUCUAGGGAUCGUACAAAAAUUUUGAGAAUUUUUUUAGAUAAUGACUUCUUAAUUAAUAGAGAUGAAGACAUCUUUCAAAUAAUAAUAACAAAAAAUAAAAAUAAAAAUUUCCAUAACACAAGCAAAACAGUUGAGAUGUUAAAUAGAAGGGAUCCCAGAUGUAAAACGGUUCGUUGGAGAGAAUAAACGAAAACGAUUGUAAGUAGAAACCAAACCACCGUGAGUUUUGUUUUUCACUAAUAAUUUUUCUACGAUGAACGAAAAAUUAAAUUUUGACUAAAUCAAGCUCCUAAAACAAAUCCCUUUUAAAAAAACACAUUACGAAAAUUAAUUAAAUAAAUAAAUAAAACACUGAUGAUGAUAGCACGUUCCCAAAACGAAACCCACAAUAAAAUCCUUUCGGUGAUUUAGGCAGCCGAGGCAGGAACCAGACGACCAUCGCAUCAAGAACCCAUAACCCACGUGGCAAGAUCUGACGGGGCCUAUUAGUACUGGUAGCUACUACUAGGCCUCAAGACAGUGACAGGCAGACUCGUUUGGGACAGCAUUGUCCAACAAUAAAGCAAUAGGCAGCCGGCUGUUUAUCCGCCGGUUGACGCCGUCAGCAUUACUACGGCGUGAUCCUAUACGGGUCCCAUGCCCCUCUAGGACCCAACGGUGGGUCCCACCUAAGAAGACAACGCAUUUAGUGUUGGGUUUUUCAAAAAGUUGGGAUUGAUGCGAUGAGAUUUUGCUUUUUAGAGAGAGAGAGGGAGAGAGUACUGGAAAUAGUAUUAGUAGUGCUUUUUGAUUUGAAAUAUUAAAAAAAAAAAAAAGGACAGAUAUAAUUUUGUAAUAUUUUAUAAUUGUAUUAUAAAUUAAAUGGGUCUGGACGCUGGUUGGUUUGUAAUGAUUGAGUGGGUCAUGGUCUCAUUUUUUUUUUUAAUUUCUAAAACGUUUGCCACGUGGUGUAUACGGUUUGUGUUUGAGUGUCUUCAGUCUUCUUAGUUAUUUUCAGCUCAAUGCCACAAACUCCCCGGGGAGAUGCCAUGCUGGCAAUUAGAGCCGGCAGAAUAGAUUAUCGAGUCGUAUUUGUAUCGUAUCAGUUUUAUAUCGUGUCAAAUUUAGGUCGAUUUAAAUCCGACUCAUUUAAUAAUUGUGUCAGAAUAUUGAGACCUAAAUUCGACACAAAAAAAUAAUUGAGUUAUCCAAUAACCCGCUUAAUAUCUAUAUAUUGAACAAAAAUUACAUCAAAUAUUUACACACUAUCAUACAUACAUAUAUAUAUACAUACAUACAUAAUUUAUCGACAUUACAAAUAUACAUAUCUACCAAUAUAUUACACAUUUAUAAUUUUGAAGUUUUAAUUAUAUAUAUAUGAUAUUAUGUAUCAAUAUUAUAAAAUAUACAUGUCUAUCAAUUUUUACACAUUUACACUAUUGAAGCUCUAAAUAUAUUUAAAAUUUUAUAAAUAAAACACCAGCUGUGUUUAUAUUCACCUUUUAAAGAAUAAAAAAAAGAAAAUCAUUUCUAAUAUUUGAGUUUUAAUGAUUAAAAUAUGUAAAUUAUUUUAAAAUAAAAAUAUAAUCGGGUCAUUGAUCGGGUAAAUAUGUCAAGAAUUUUAACCUUAACCCGAUACGAAAAAAAAUCGUGUUGACCCAAAUCUGAUCCAUUUAAUAAUCGUGUUAAAUUUGACGACCCAUACCCAUUUAUUUAUGUCGUGUUCGUGUCGGAUAAUCAGGUCGUGUUAAAUUUUACCAGCUGGCAAUAGUAUUGCUUAAUGGUGCCUAAAUUAUCAAAAAUGGUACAAACUAAAAUUGCGAAAUAUGGUAUAGCUAGGAAAUUUUAAAAAAUAAAAGUGAAAAUCUUAAUGCCCCGUGAACGAGAAUAUAAAAUAUUAAAUUGCCAACCGGCUUUAUAUUUUUGUGUCUGUACAUUCGGGUACUAAUUAUGCGUACCCAAAAUAAUCUCGAAAAAUAUUUUAAAAAAUGCUUAUGAAGUAGAAUUUGCGAGUACUUAGAACAAUAUUAAAAUCAACAACCACUCCUUGUACUGUAUAAAAUAUUAAGAAAUUAUAUCAGGAUUUUAUAAUGUAAGGGGUCAACUAAACUAGUCAAAUACACAUGGUCAAAGAGUCAACAGAAAGAACAGAGACUUGAUACGCGAGCACUGUAGGCUGGACAGAGAACAUGAAUGGAAAAGGGAACAGAAAUCGCGAGACCCAAGAGAAUUAAAGAGCAAUUGAUUAUACACAUCAUAGGACCCGUGAUGGCUAUCCUUUUAUUUUUCUUUUCACUUACAAAUAAAUUGGUUGGGCUUUAUGUGCGACAGACAAAUACUAUGCAUGAUACAUUGAUAUCCACGUCCUUAGUAUUACACGUAUGAUGAGUAAAGAAAAUUCCGGCUUAUAUCCUCACAAGCCCAGGCAUUGUAUCCUUGAAAACACUGUUUAUAUUCCUCUUUACUGUUACUAAACCCAAAUUGUAAUUCUCAAAAAUCUGGACUGGCGAGUCCCGACCUCAAUGAAUUUGAUCCAAAGUUCAUUACAAAAAGCAACUGCCAAAUUUUCUUGCAUAAGAUACUCCAAAGGCAAGAAAAGAGCGGCAAUUUGUUGAAGUAAAAAAAAAAAAAAAAACCAUCAAUCUUGAAGUAAUACUUUGGACAACUUACAAUGGUUGAACCAUUUCCGAAAGUUGAUAGUGAGAAAGGGAACCUACACUCAAGGAGCUUGAGAUGGAGAGUAUUAAUACAAUUCUCUCAGAUUCUAUGAAGCUAUAAAGCCUAAUGGCGUGCCAUGAGUAAGGGAGAAUGGUCGCAGUUAUAUAAACACAAUACAAAAUCCAAACUGAUUCAUCAUGGAAGAUAAUUCAUCCAACGGUUUUAUCCAUUGUAAACUGCAGACGCUAUCAUCAGAAAAAAGAGUUACAAAAAGUGCUAUUAAACAGUUAUUCAAAUAAGAUGAUAACAUAUCAAACAAAAAUUUAGGGUUACAAGAAAACAAACUCCUCACUGCAUCUACUACUCAGGAGUCAGGAUGAUAGAUUAGCAUCAUGCCAUCCCUUGGUGCAUGGUGGAAUGCCCAUGAAUUCAUCAAAUUCCUUCACAUGAAUGUCACAACACUUCCACUGCAAAAAUCAUAUAUCACACACAGAGGUUGGCAUCAAUUCCAAAAGCAAUAAAGAAGAGAUUAGAUAAAAUGAAUGGCAAAACAACACAUUUAGACAAGAAUCGCACCCCUCUCAUCCGAUCAUGAAAAACAGCAGGUCCAGGAUGAUAACUGCAUGCAGUCUCAUGAUUAUCCUUUUCUUUGAAAGUUUUGCCACAUCCCUUAUUUUUGCAGAUUUGAGGCUCGUUAAUACCAAUUUUCUUCUUCACUGGAACAGGAGGCACCUCAGCAGCUACAUUACUUCCAGCAGGUACAGCUGGGGCAUAAUUGGUCUGUUCUUUGGCUUGUGAACCUAUGUAGAACAUGCAAGAAUUCAGUUCAAAGACCAAUGAAGAUGUUAAGGGGAAAAAGGACACACUUCAAACAACAAAGUGCUUCAGCAAGAUAGGAACAAAAGAUAGACACAGAGAAACAAUCUAGCAAAGACAAACCUGCUGGCAUCUCCUAGAACAAUACAAAGAGAACUAGAACAUUCCAAAUGCACUGUUACAAAGAUGAACCUCAGAAAAGUAAAAGCCCCAUGACAAAGCAAAACCUAGUACACAAUACAACUAACCUUUCCCAUUUCUCAAGCACUAGUAAUAUAAAAGGCACAUGAUCCACUAUGGUCUUUGUAUUUACAAAAACCAGAAGAGACGUGGAGGUAGAGAAAUAGCUCUAUUUAGCUUUUUGCUUAACCGUAUACUAUGAUAAACAAAUUGGAAUUAUUCCACAUUCAUUGAAUCCAAAAAGGAAGACAUGAACAAUGCAGAGUCUCUAUAUACAUAAAGCAUAAAAAUUUGGGUACCGUGAUCAGAGCAAAAGAAACCCUGUCGACAUCUUGAGCAAAGUUCUUUCGAUGGAGUGCUGGACCCAAGAGUUGUUGAAGGAGCAGGAGCUGGAGCUGGAGUUUUUGAAGUAGCGACCGGCUUAGUUAACACUGGUUUCUCAGUUGUGUGUUUACCUGUCUUACAUCUUCAUUUAUGGAACAAAAUUUUGAGCAACUAAUGUAAACAGAAACUUUGCAAAAAAUUACUGACUAGAAGUUACUGGUCGUAAUCCAAGUAGACUUACAUCCAGACCACAUGGAAACAAUCAUGGAAGUGCAAUAAAAUUUACAUCCAUAUUUUGCAUAGUUGGCCAAGCUUACCAAGGCCAACAUGUUUUAAACUGUUUUAAGAGCAAUGUACUCAAUUUAGAAAAAUACUGACAGAUCAUUGCUUCUAAAUUAACAGAAAAAUGAUUUGGAAGCAGCUUCAGCUGAAAGGAUGCAAAAUUAAGAGUUAAGAGAAAAUAUAAACACACAAUCACAUCCAACUUAGCAACUUCAGAAAAAAUCCCAAAUUGUAUUUUCAUUGUGAACAACAACAUAAGCAAGAAGCAGAUUGCCUAAAAUCUGAUACACCUGAAAUAUCAAUCCAACAGUAUUAAAUUUUUUAGAAAUGAAAUUUAACCAGUAAGGCAUUUAUAUUUCAUUCAGAGAUGAGCAAAAUCUGAACAGGCAAUGUGAUAAGUGAACAUGUUCAACAACAAAAUUCUGGGUCAUGUACUUCAGCAAUCAAUGCUUAGCUGAAUAUGUAAGUGAUAAAAUUCAUAACUAACAUGUAGUUUUCAAGUACACUGCUAUCAUAGGCACCAUGCGAGGUGAUCAUCACCAGGAGUGGACUGCUCAAAUGCCUGAAUUCUAUGGGUUAUAUAGUCCACUGCUAGCAUAGCCAAGAAAAGUAUCAAUAAUAAAGGAACAAGUUCCACAAGGAAACAUGAUAGGCAGUUACCCUGGAAUUUCCAAAAAUAAGCUGAAAUCAUGACUCCUCCUCUUGCAACAACUCCACUCCUUCAUUCCAUCAUGAAAUAUGGGCUGAAAUUACCAUUGAAAAUUAACAUGCUCAGAAAGUUUAUAAAGAAAAAAAUGAAAAUAGAAUUAUUCUUUUCAAAAGAAACAAAGUCUGACUUACUCCCUGAUCAUUUAUAAUCAAAUCCGAUAAGGUAAAACCGAAGCCCAACGAUGCAAAACAAAAACACAAUCAGUACAACAAACAAAAAUAUAAUCAUAUUUCACAAAUUAUAAAAAGAUUGAAGAAAGCAACACACCACACACCAAAUUGAUUUCACACGAUCAGCAACUUAGUUGUGCUAAACGAAUUUUCAGAAUUCUACUAAAUAAUUAGUCUUCACUUGAAGAGUAUUUUUGUAACUGAAUCAUUUCUCAACACUGAAAGCUUUGGCAAACACCUACUUUUAUAGCUGAGAGUUAGUUGAUGCAAUUCAAAUUAGCAACAGCUGUGGAUUAAAUCCAAAAAAAAAAAAAAACAUAAAUAUAUCUAAACUGGAGGUUUAAGUUCUGUACAUACAUUGUUUUUAUUGAUCACAGCAUCAAUGUAUCAAUCACAUACAAAUUUCAUCAGUUAAUACGUUGAAGUUUGAAACUACCCGUCCUCAGCAAUCUCAAUUCAUUAACAAAUGGAAGAAAGAGAAGGAAAAGAAAUUAGCAUACCGAAUCAUGGAAAGUGCAGGAACCUUCGGGAUUGUCGUCCUCGGUGAAGGUGGCGUUGCAGCCAAUUCGCUGGCAUCGAAGACGCUUCAAAGCGUCGUCGUUCUGACUCGCCAUUCUUUUGGAUUUCGCGCGUUCAAGAGGUAAGUAAGGUAAGCGUUUCGUAGAGGAAGAGUGGAAGACUUUGCAAGGACUCGAUUGGUCUGCAAUGUAAAGACAACGAAGAUUCGUCCUUUGUCCUUGCUCUCGAGUUUUUUUCUUAUACUUCAGUGCUGCGUUUUGAUUCACAUUGUGAUGGAAUAAUUUUGAUUCGGUCGACGUGUCCCCAUCUUUGACGGUCCAUUAUAAUCUCGGUCGCUUAAACACGAUCAUACCGGCUUCUGCGUCGGGUCCUCUGCGAAAAUAGCAGAUAGGCCCCUAAAAUUUUGCUCAAUCUCAGUUAUACCACAAUGUUUUCAAAAUGAACAUUCAAACCCCUCUUCAUAAUUUUCUUUUUAAAAAAAGAUCCUUUUCAUUUUGGGCUAGUAUUAUUGGUAUUUUUUUUUUCUAAAUAAAUAAAGCAAUAGAAAAUCGGAUAAAAUUUCAUCGAUACACUUCUCAAACUUUAAUAGGUUUAAGGUUUGAAAGCGUACACAUCCAUUUUCUUCAAUUUCAUGAUUUUAUCGAGUAAGGUAUAGGGUUUACAACCAAGACUCAGAGAAUUCCACAAUGAACUGCUUAAAAAUGAGAAGGUUCUAUGCAUUGUAAAAUGUUACUUCAGUUGAGAACAUUUCUCAUCAUGUUUCAUAAACAAGGCUAUCUCACAUCCAUUAUCAUCUACAGCUUUCUUUCCGAGGAACAAAUCAAUAACAUUUUUAUGUGCGUUUCAAAACGAGUGGUAUAUCGUGAGUGGCUUACAACAUGCCAACCGACUAGUAUGAGCAGGGUUAUGGGCCGAUAAUUUUGUAUUUACAGUAUCCAAAAACAUUAGAGAACGUGUGUAUGUACAUCUAAACUAUGUGCUGAGUUACAGUGGAACUGGAGUCUUGACCUGUAAUCCAAAUGCUCAAAAAUGGAACUGGUAAUGGCACCACACCCUGAUUUUAGAAAUUGCUGAUAUCAAAAUCGUAGCCCCCGAUGAGCCUGCAGUAAUGAAUUGUCACAAUAUUCUGUUAUGCACUCCAACCAGGGCUGCUGGCCUUCCCAAUAAAUUUAAAUAAUACAACAGAUUUAGCAUGUUUUCAAGACAAGAAAGUUUUUUCAUAAACAAAAAGUAAAGCAUCAGAACUAAAAUAGUCCUGGGAAGAUAUUCAAUGUUCCUAAAGAUUUCUAGCACUUCAAAGCCUGAGAAAUGUUGAUCGCAGAUUUCAUUCUAAUAGCUGUCCAUUUCAAGUGAAUCUUCGACAAUGGGCAAAGACCUUUCUGGUCUGUAGCAAUAAUGUAAUAAAGAAUGGAUACACUGUUCUUUUGAAUCUAUAUUUAUAAUAAUGUAUCCCUGUUGAUGACAGAGCAUCUUAUAUGCCCCGUAACUUCCUAAUGCUUAGAAUUUGCUAAAUGCUAAAAUGCUUAAAAGCGUGUAUUCUGCCCAUGCACAAGCAAAAUCACCCCAGCUUCGUGCUUAAAUGCCUACCUCUGUGUGUGUGUGUGUGUGUGAGAGAGAGAGAGAGAGAGAGAAACCUCAGAUCUUGGUGUGCCUUCUGACGGGAACCAAUGCAAAAGUAUACCCAAGUUCAUCACAUUUGGUAUCAAUUUGAACAGAAGAGGAGUUGUAACCUGUAGAUUAUCUUUCGCUAGCAUCAACGGCAUUCGUUUUAAUUAUAAAAGAACUGUAAAGCUUCCAAUGCAGUUUCUAUAUCAUAAGCUUACCAGACUGAGAGCUGUAGUUCCAAGAAGAAGAAGAUACAUCUUUCCCUAAAUUAUCAAUCAAGUUCAAUUCAAUAGCAAGAACAAAAACAUUAGUUGUGAUGAUGAUAAUAUUUUUAAAAAGACAUGACUUAAACAACUAUUAGACAAGGGCUAAGGUAUAAAUCAAGCAUCAGAACGAGAGACUGAUGUCACCUCAACAAGAUGAAGAUUUGAGGCUCGACUUAGAAGAACAAAAGCAAAUUCUCCAAUUUGAGCAAGUGACACUCCAACCUGCAUCAUAUAUAUGCACAUAUAUAUAACAGAUCCAGAAGAUCAGAAAACUUUAUCUAAAAUAAGAAUUCUAUUCCAUAAGCUUAGGAAGCCAACUUACAAGAAAUGAUGUCCUCAUGCUAUAACCAAACAGCUUAGUAACUAUAGUACCAACAGCUGUCUUAACAAUGAUAACCAGAAUAACAGAUGCAAGCAAAAUGUCCACAUGAUUCCAUAGAAAAUGUACAUGUAUGAGCAUUCCAAUACUGGAGAGGAAAAGAGCCGCAAACAGGUUACGAAUUGGCUCCACCUACAGCAUAGAAGAACCUCAACUUCAGGAGAUAUUGAUUAGGAUAUUCUACAACAGUGCAAAUGACUAAAAUUUUCAAGUGACAACCAGAGCAAUGCAAAAUCUUCAAUUUUCUUCAGCCACUUAAUAGGAAAAAGGGGCACAAAUAAAAGGAAUUGUUCAUUAAGAUCUGGAAAGAUGAAACAAAUUAAGAUAAAAUAAAAGGAAUAAAAAAUUUCCAACAGAUGCAUUGGAACUUAAAAUAGCAUAACAACCCUUUUCUGGAAAGUGGAAACAACUCUGUAUAAGUCAGGAUUUUUAAUAAAAUGCAUUCUUCAUCCACAAAAUAAAAAUAAAAUCUAAGUGGAGGAAUUAUCACUAGCACAGAAAAGUACCUGAUCUAAAGUAUGUUUAGCAAAGUCAGUGGUAGAUAUCAUCACUCCAGCCAUGAAUGAACCCAGCUCAAGACUGAGGCCCAGCUUAUCACUGCACUGAAAAGAAACUCCAAAGGUAUUACAUUGUCCAAGCGGAUGAUCACUUAACAGCAUAAAAGAAUAUCAUGCAGUGCAGAAACAGUAAAUUAACAAAGCAGAAAACAGAACCCAUUAUCAAUUGCCAGCAAGGUGUAUUAACCUUGACAAAACAGGUAAUUAUGUAUUGCACUUACCCAAGCAGAUAAUAAGCAAAAAGCUACAGCAGCAAGCUGAUAAAGCUCAUUUGUCUGGACAGGCGAAAAGAAAUCAAAAUGAGCUAAUAAAGGACAAGAAAUUUAUCAAAGUCAAGGCACAAAAACAAAAUAUAUGUACAAAACUCACUUGAGAUGACAGCUGUAUCAUGAGCUUUAGAAAGCGGGGAACAAAAGACCAGGAUAAAAUAGAUGUAACAGUGAGAUAAAUGGACAAAACCAGCAGCCUGAAGUUAAUAAAAGAAAAAUGUCACUAAUCAACAAAUAAUGUUUGCACAAGGGCACUGGUCAACAACAGCAAGGAAACAUUGUUGAAAAAGAAAAGGAGAACAACAAGAGCAAUCACAUUAAAAUCUAAAUUUAAAGAGCUCAAAUGAACUUACAACUUCCCCAUUGAAACCAUUCCUUGCAGAAGGCCACUGUUACCACCCAAGACUGGGAGCAGAGCAAAUAGUAACCCAACAGCACAAUCCUGAAAUAACACAAGGUCAAGAAACGGCUAAAUAUGCUUCAAAAACUGAAUCCUACUAGUCCAUGUCAUAAAUUGUAAGCGGAAUAUCAUUAAUAUAGUUUUUAAACAGCACCUGUAAAAUAAGUGUUCCAAUUGUAACUUGACCAUGAAGAGCAUUAUUGCUGUUCUGUUCUACCAAAAAUUUCACCACCUAGCACAGGUAACAGGAAAAGUAUGAACCAGAUAGAAAUCCACUAGCGGAAGCCAAGAUGAAAAGAGGAAUUCUAUUGCCAAAAAAAUGGUGUAGAAGAAUACCACUGCAGUUGAUGACAUUGAUAAGAAGGAACCAACAAAUACUCCCUCUGACAAUUUGGCUCCACAUAACUGCAGCAUAAGCAAAUAGUCCAAGUUUAACAUCAAUUUUGACAAGAAACACAACAUACAGAAAUUGUAACAAAAACCAAAUCAGAGGCUAAGCAACAUACUGCAGCCGUUAUGCCACACAAGAACAUAAAUAUUGCAAUUUGUAGUAGCCCUCCAAGAACAGCGACAUGUCCCACUGCUUUUAACUGCAUUGAUGAUGAAUUAUGGAAUUGGAACAGAUUUUAUGAACAAAGAAGGAAAAUGUUGUCAAUAGUUAUCAUACACUUUCCAAGCACAGAAUGAUGUACCUUUGUCAAAGAAAACUCUAGCCCCAAAGCAAAAAGAAGGAAGACAACACCAAAUUGUGCAAAAGUUUCAACCUGUGAUGAAUGAAACAAAAAGGAACUUGUUACCUGGAAUAAUGAUCGCAAAAUAAACAGAAGAACAAAUACACCACAAGAAUCUCUACCAGAUAAUAACUAAUAGUAGUUUACUGAAUAUCUACCAAUUCACCUAGGCUUAAUGAGCUAAAUGAAAAACUUUUCAUCAGAAAGUUAAUAUCAUAAUGAGGGAUUGAUAGUUAAAAAACUGGAAAAGUUAAAGAGGAACAUACUGUUUUUCGAGGCCAGGUUUUCUUCAAAAUCUCUUGAUGUGAAAGUUCUCAGCUUUCACAACAAAAAACUAAAUUUUGCAGUGAAGUAUUGUGGGACCGAUUACCAUAGGUUUUAUCAAACCAGAACUAAAGCAGUACCGCAACCAUUCUCGAAUUAGUUUAUUCAUUCAGCAUUAUAUCACCUUUAUGCAUCCUUUUAUAUUCAUCCGGUCUACUUCCAAGAAAAUCCUGUCAAAAUAGCCUAUGAACUAAGUGUCCCAAGAAAAUCCUGUCAAAAUAGCCUAGUGUCCCCGUACACAUUACCAACUGGCCAUUAUUUAUUUGUUUAUUUUCUUUAGCAGUAACUAGAAUAACUAUAGCUAGAAGAAGAAAUAAUCAGAGUGCCAAUGCAUAAACUACAGAAUAUACAUUCUACACCAAGAAUUGAUUAACUGAACUAUUUACAAUAGCAUACCUGUACCAAUUCGCUAAUGAAUUUCAGGCCCCCUGGUCCAAUAAUCGAACCAGCAAGAAGGUAGCCCACAAUAACCUACCAUGUGAAUCCAUAACUAUAUAAGAAUCCCAAAGCGUCCAUCAUUCAAAUCACUUAAUAUUGCUGAGUGCGAACCACCGUAAAAAGUAAAUGAUCAUUCAGUGCAAACAAGUAUAUCAUAUAUGCAGAAAACAAACAUGUAAUAUUACAAACCGGUUGUCCCAAACAUGAAAAGAUGAUUCCACCAAUAGCAGCAGAAACUAUGACAACUACCAAAUCUGAAAUUAAUCUGCAGCAAGAGUGGAAAAACUAUUAAGCAUAAAUCACAGGCGGCAUGCGAGUCAGUACUCAAGGAGAACUUAGAAGUAUGCAAAAACUUAAUUGCUUUUAAAUCAUAAUUACACCACUGUCAAGUAGCAAGACCCUAGAGAUAUUGUCUAAUAUUAAUAUGAAGAUAAAGAGAUUCGGACCUCAAAUCUACUUGAAGAACUGGAUACUUGGAUUUCUUGUUUGACAUCACAAACACAUUAUCCUACGUUAAGUAGGAAAAACAGGUCAACUCUGUCUAAUUAAAGAAUCUGUCCAAAGUUUCCGCACAAAAAAUCAAUUGCAAACAUUCACCACACCUUCUUGUCAAUCAAGGUCAUUUCAUCAUCAGAAUCCUCUUGAUCUGAGAAAAAGACAUCUUGAAACUGAAAUGGCCGUGUACCACUGACCAAGAUAUAUACAAGGUUUAAAAAAAUGUCAGUUUGGUAACAGAAGAAACGUAAUCUCUGAUUUCAAUAUAUUUAACAUAUAUUGUCCCAAAGAAUUCAUUUUGAAACACAACAGAUUUUAUACAUUCCCAUACUUCGCUUCUUGAGUAUCAUUUCUCUUCAUCUUCUCAUGAGUGAUUUUUGCUACAGUCUCCAGUACUGCCUGAAAAUCAUAAUCAUGACGCAACAUUGACAUACAUAGAAGUGAACAGUGGAGGAACAGAGUUAUAUAACUAGGAAAAUUACUUCUAAAACAAGAAAUAACCAAAUUUAUCAUAUGACAAUCACUGGUAAAAAACUGCCUGUUAAAGGUACAUUUUUAGUUACCAAAUGUGAUUAGCCAAAAACAUUUAAAUGACAUGUAAGUAAUCCCAAUUCUCUUUUACUGAAAAUGUAAGGUGCAUCACCAGCUGUAUUGUAUUUCUUUACAUACCAGUAACCCAGAUAGAAAACAAGAUUUCAGUUUCUUUAAUUAACUCCUAAAAGCUUAAUAACAGAAGUUAUGCCAGCUCAACAAAACUCUAAUCACCAAUUAUUCAUUUAAAAAAAAAAAUGAUUUCGGAGGUUCAAUCCAAUAGCCUUAAGUGAAGAAGCAAACUGACUUGUUGAUCUGCUACGCUGCUGUUGAAGCUGCUCCCGUCAGAUCCUAGUGAGAGCAGAAAGUAUGACUAAAUAUUAAGCACAAAACAUUGAAGUAGCUAAUGAGGCACCAAUGAAUACAUGCAAGCAUGUGGAACAGUCACAGUUUCUUAUGCAAUCAAUAACUGAAAACAUUAAAAGAAAAAGCAUAGGACAUGGCAAGUAUCACCAGUCCAGGAUUCAAAUCUGAAGCAUAUACUAUCAACCUCAAAGAGCACUUGAAAAAGAAUGUUAAGCACAAGAUAUUCUAUUUUCAAUCUAAUACAAAAUAUACUGGCAUCAAUAGAAGUCAAAACUACAACCACCGUCCUGAAAUUUAUUAUGCAACUUGAUAUGGACUCAACAGGAAUUUAAAACUUCCAAAAAUCUAAGUAACCCAAAAAAUAGAUACAUGUUUUCUUUUCACAUACAAUUUAACUAGCAUGGUGCAAUCGAAUGUGACUUUAACACAUAUUAGGGGCUACAUCCAGUCAUCCAGUAGUCAGAUUAAAAUUUAUCCAUAGCAUAAUAGAGCCAGAAUGAACAGAAUACCAUAGCAAAUGCCAAAACAAGAACAAUGAAACAAAAGACAACUUCAGAAAAGAAAUGAUAAAAUGUGAGAAAGUGAAACUUUAAACAAGAGAAUGAAUUAGGUGACAGAAUCAUCCAUUCACUAAUACAAAGUGACUCUCAGCCACGUUAAAACAAUAGAUCCAAUUACAACGGUUCUAUUCUCUAAGUAAUGCUGCUAUUCCACUACUCUCUAAAGUUUAACUAUCCACUUCAUGCUAGGGUCGACCGUAUAACUAGUGAUGGAAAUCAUAAAACAAAUUUAAUCUUAAAAUUUUAGUUCUUGAUGAAGAGCAUAACAACUUGCUUCCAACUCCUCCCUUGCCUAUCCCCAUCCCCACUAUGUAUAAUACCUCCUAGUAAACUUGGAUCCCAAUACAGAUUAUCAGCAGUGUCACCCCCAAUAACUUACCACCAAAAAUAUGCAAUGUAUGCUGUCUUCUUUUUACUCUUCUUCACUUCAACUUCUCACCUCGAACAACUCCAAAUUUUCAUAUAUUUAACGGUUUCAUAAUCAACUUCAGCCCUUCCAAAUUUAUAAUGUAGCUAACCAUCAUUCCAAUGAUGUCUGUUCAAGCUGUUGUAUUCAAAUAGUCAUCAAUUGGUGGAAGCUUUCCUAGAACUUGAAAGAGUAUCAAGAAGGUCUAAAAAUUGCAUUACAGUGGAGCUAAUUAUAUAAUUAAGCCUGAUACCCACAUUCGUUGCCUCUGCUAUUGAAAAAUCAUUACAAAACUAAUCAAAAUCAAAUCUUUAUAAAAAAAAUCUACUAAUAUUACAGCACAAAUCAUAAAAUUCAGCAUCAAAAAAAAGAAAAGAAAAGAGAAAUUAAGAAACGCAAACGAAGCCGAACCUGAAGACUGUUCGUUAUCGGGAAACUCUUUCUCGAGAACCCUGUCGAACAUUUUGGCUAUACUGCCGUCUCCGGAAUCCUCCUCCGUCGUAUUAACCAAAUUACCGUAAAACCUCUGGCGGGUCUCCUUAUCAGAUCUCGCGGACAUGCAUAUCCGCGAAUAAACCAAAACCAGGACAAGGACAAGGCAAUACCCGAUCCCAAACACAGCGCCACCUCCGCUACCACCACGUCUCGCCAUCGGUUGCAGAAACCUCUCUCUGUCUAGAGUGCGGGGUUUCUUUGGAUCGAAGACGUGUGCGUGGUUUUUGCUAUUUUAACUGUCAAAGGCAGGGCGGGAUCGCGCGUGAUAUUAAAAUGAAAAAUAUGUUUAUGAUGUGAUGGUGAUUAGUUACGAAUGAAAUUGAUUUAUUAACAUCAUUUCUUUUUUUCCUUUUUUUUAAUUAAAUAAACCUUUUUUUUUUGGUGAAUUAAGAAACGCGUUUAUUUUUGUGCUGGAGUUGUUGUUAAGUGACAUCAUAAUUGUUCAUUAGUUAGGCUGCAAUAAUUGUCAUUCCUUCGUUGGUUAAUUUCAAAAAAAAAUUUCAUUUGAUGGUUGUCCUCCGAGCUCGUGAUAGGAAGAUGCUCCCAGUAUUGUAGGAACGUAACGUCUAAUUUAGUACGACCAACGCGAGGAGAAUUAACGAACUAGUCCCUCUCGUUCCAAAAAUGACAAUUAAGUCUAUAGGUUUACCGAUUGUCUCAAAUUCAUCACUACGUUUGUUUUUUAUAGUCAAUCGAUAAUGAAACAUAACCAAAAGAAGGAGGUCUCUACACAACACAAAGAAGUGGGUUUUUAAAAAGAAAAUACACAAAUUAAUGGAAAAUUGUUGGAAAAUAGAAUCAAUUGCGAUCAAAUAUAUUCAGGGAUGGAGUCGAAAAAUUUGUUCAAAUGGACAUGUUCAACAUAUUAUACAAUUUCAUCUCUUAAUGUAGCUCAAUUGACUAUGAAUAUGUUUUACGUCCGCAGCCAUUUGAGUUCAAAUAACAAUAAAUAGUAAAGAUUGGUAUUUAUUAAGUGAGAUUUCACAUUCUCAAUCCAAAACCCUUCAAAAAAAGUAAAAUACAAUUUCAAAAAAAAAAAUCAAAUAGUCAACAAGAUAUGGCAUUUUAACUAUAAUAUUCAUUGAUUUAUUUCUACAUCGAGAAUUCAAAUAUUGAACUAUUAGUAAGCAUAAUCAAUUUUUGAAAUAGUCAACAAGAUAUGUUCAUGAUAUUUAAAACGCAGAUGAAACACUUUCACAAAUUCAAAUAAAGUAAGGUCUGAUGUCAAAUUAUUGUUGAAAAGUUUUCCGAAACCAGCUGGAACGGUGCCUCAAUUGAUCUUAUACCAGCUCCGCUGUGAGUAUAUGUAUAUGGGUUGAUAAUAUGCAUUAGAUCCCAAGUAAACAAUAAUUCGAAACUACACAAAAUUUGUAAAAAAUAUAUCUCCAAUAAUAUAACAUUUCAUAAAAUUAUGAUAAAAUGAAGUAAUAUAUUAUUUGUGUAAAAACAUCACAAGACACUUCAUGGACGAGAAUUUAUUUUAGAAUAAUAAUAUUUUGGACGGCAUUUCGCAUUUCUCCAAAGUCAAAAAUAGUUAUUAACCCAAUAAUUUAUCACAAUUCAGUGUUUUAAAACUUCCGAACGUAACCUUAAUACUAUUGGGCUUUGUGUCAAGCCCAAAUUUUUCUGUUUUUUCACCCCCUUCCUCCAAAUGUGUUCUAAUAACACGGACGACGUGUCAGAGGCGGCGUCCACCCAAGUGUGGCUAUAAUAAGUUCACACUGCAAGCGAGCCAACAACCAAGCGUGUGCUGGCCACAGGUUGAUUCUAUGCACUCAGCUUUUUCUCUCUGCCCUUAUCAAUCACAUAUUUUUUCAGAGCGUAUCAAUCCGUGCGUUUCAAUGGCGUCGAUUGCGAUGAGUUGUUCGGCGGCUGUGCCUGGAUUCCGUUUCAACAAAUCGCCAAUGGCGGCGGGUGUAGUUACGGCGAGGCCGAGGCGCGUGGUGGUGGUGAGAGCGGAAGGUCAGGGGAUCAAUUUGGAUAUCAGGAAGACGGAGGAGAAGGUUGUUGACUCUGUCGUGGUAACCGAGCUCUCCAAGCCCCUCACCGCGUAUUGCAGGUACUUUAAUUUGGUUCUGUUUCGUAAUUUAAAUACCAGAUUAAUUUAGAGACGCCUUUUUUUUUUUCAAAUUAUUGUUGUUAUUUGUUAUUAUUUACAGGAUGUGUUCGGAAUAGGAAAUUGAUUUAUGAGAUAAUUGUUAGAGAACCACAAAUAGAAAUAGAAAUUACUUGAGAGCGUUUGGACUUGGGGAAUUUGAAUAGAAAAUUACAAAUAGAAAUAGGAAGUACUCUUCUGAAAGAGAAAAAAAAAAAAAAAAAGUUAAACACUAGAGCUCUUUCUGCUCCGAAGUGCUUUCUAUAUAAAAUAUACAUAUAUAGUAGAAAAUUAAAUGUUAUCAACUUACCUACUAGGACUAACUUACGUACCCAGAUUUUUAAUCCUCACUAAUAUUCGAGGGAUGAAAAUACGAGCUUAUGGGGGUGCUUGUGGUAACUUACCUACUAAGAUCAACUUACAUCAAUACUUAUGGAGUUCGACUCAAAUUUUUAACCAUCACUAAUAUUCGAGGGAUGAAAAUAACCCACAUUGCGCUUGUGGGGUUACUUGUGGGGGUUCGCUGCCCUCCAAGUAAUAAUCUUAUUUGUAAAUAUCAGUUCUAAUCUCAUACAAUAUGAGUUGUAGUUUAAGUAAUAGUCUCGUGUAAUUAAAAAAAAAAAUAACUUGUGAUGUCGAGGUUUUGAUCAUUUGGGUUUGUUUGAUUGUUUUGAGUGUAGAUGCUGGAGGUCAGGGACGUUCCCCCUGUGCGAUGGAAGCCACGUAAAGCACAACAAAGCUACUGGGGAUAAUGUUGGGCCUUUGCUGUUGAAAAAGCAGUGAUUAUGUUAUGUAUUUUCAUUUUCCCUUGGUGCCAUUUGUUCCUGAACUUGAGAACUGAAACACUUUUGAGAGUUGAUUGCAUGAAUAAUGAGUUUUCUGUCAUUAGUUGACCAAAACUUUGGUCGCAAUAGAAUGCUAGGAAUAAUAGCCUAGGCGAUGUUAGAUUAAAGAGAGAAACAGUAUUGGGCCUUGGGUAUUGUUGGGCCUUUCAACAAUUAACCAAGAAUGCUGGUGCUUGUUGUAAAUCGCGGUGGAUUUCAUCAAAAUAAUGCUCUCCCAUUGUCUUCUUUAUUGUUCUUCCCAUUAUCUUUUUUUUAUAAUUAAUAAUUGUGAAUAACUCCACCUUCUAAUGCCUAUAUAUACCCUUUCUUUGCUAAUGAAUUAAUACAAUUCAAUUUGUCGUUCAAGGCAUUUUGCUUGUUUUCUUCGAUCUUCAUUUGAGUAUUCUUUACUUAGAUAUCAUCAUUAAAUAAUUGAUUACAUACAAUCCCUUUAAAUUAUAACAUUCAUUAUCUCCAAAUUUAUAACAGUGCUAUUAUUAUUAGAUGCACUAUAAUACAGCAUAUACUAUAUGACGAACUUCAUUUUUAACAAGUUUAACCGCCCACCGACUCAUUACAAUUCCACACGCCCUCGUUUGCUCGAAUGAAAAAAAAAAACUUCUCUCUUUUAUGAAUGAAGGGGACGUUGAAAACUUGUGAGUUUGAUAAAGAACAAAAUUAAGUAAUGAAAAUUACAACCGUGGCUUAUUGGGCGUUUGACAUUAAUGAAAAUCAAAGCUGAUGCUUGGUCGACAUUUGAUUCGUCAACUUUUGAUCGCCCCACCGUGCGGCAAGGGAAAGUGAUUAUGCAAAUCGAUAUCUAUAUAUAUAAGCUAAUGGUAGAGCUUGUGCUUGGCCGCCAAGUGAACUGAAUGAAUAUGACGUUUCGCGUGGUGUUCUUUUUAAAUUUUAAUUUUGGCAUGUGCAGAUGUGAAUCGAUAUCAUAUGAGUUUAUACGAGUGGCAUAUUGUAAUGGACUUAACUGCUAUUUUUACUGCCAAGCGAUCCCAGCUUAGUAGGUCAUCAUUUCUUGUGUGCUUGCUGAUCCCACCCCCACAAUUGUUGAAGUUUUCAUUUAUGUCCGCUCGUCGUGAUAGAAUGUGUACACUGUUGUAAACGUUGAGUAUCGGCAACCAAAAAAUAAAUAAAAACCUUGUCAGCGCACUGGAAAAAUUAGUGGUGCAUUUGUUUCCUAUAAAUCUGAACAUGUAAGAAUCAAACGAGUUAUACUCGAAAUAAGUUAAAAGAGAACCUUGUACAAACAACACUUGUAAAUAUACAUUUGUCCUGAUCAUUCAGAUUCUUUAUCACCCUUGAUUUAUUGUAGCCUGCCCUAUAUUACAACUAUACAUAUACCCUCUUAGAAUCUGACAUUGAAAUUUUGACAAGAAACCAUUUUGAAGCAAGAAAAACUUGAUAAAAACUUGGCUUAUUACCCCGUCAAGCAUCUGAUAAUCUUCUUAAAGCAAAGCCCCACCACCCAUUUAUUCCAAAGAUGCAUUUGUAAUGGGUUGAAUCAAAAUAAAUUGGAAUGAAAAUAAAGAAUAAGAAUUAGAAGAAAUUAUUUUCUUGAACUAUAGGAAUCAAAAUCUUGAGUCUGUAUAGGUGGAAGUCAUUUUCUCCUAUAAGUUUCUCUACAUCAAGCUUAGGCGUUACCAUUCUUAGACCAAGAAUUCAUGGAAUGACUCUGAUACCAAUUAGUUGAACCAAAAACUUAUUUAAAGGCUGUCAAGAGUGAUAAGUCCAUCUAAUCAAGAUGCAUGUUAUUCACAGCAAUAAGUGCCAAUAGAAUUCUUAAAGAGGAGUGUUUAACCACCGGAGAAAAUACCUUAGUGAAAUCAAUUCUCUUAUUUUAAGUAAAACUUUUGGCUACAAGCCUUGCUUUGAAUCUUUGUGUCUCAACACCCAGUAUUCCCUCUUUAAUUCUAUAAAUCCACUUACAGCUUAUUACUUUUUUGUUUGUUGGUUUCUCAAUCAGAUCUCAUGUAUGAUUCUUUAUUAAAGAUUAUGCUUGACUUAGAAUUUCUAGGUAUCCAACCCAAAAAAUUAGUUUAUUGAGUGGAGUGACUUAUUCUCCUUAUAAACCCAAGUAUCUUCUCUUUACUAGCUAAUGUGGGACACAUCUCAACAACUAGAAUGUAAAGAAACUCGUGUGAUUUGUGUUCUGGUGAUUUGUGAUUGAUCUAACUUGAUUAAUGUUUUCCCAAAGGUUUAGGAGUCUCGUUUCGCUGCCAUAACUUUAAACUGAGUGCUUUGUUUUUGCUAUUAAUAAUGUCUGCAUUAUGUUUUACAUACUGAGGUUACUUGCUGUGUUUAUUUAAGUUCUGUUUUACAUCAGUACAUGUUCUUGUGAAUCUCUCUUUCAUCUAGAAAUUUCUACUCACGACAAUUGAUGUUUGGGCAUUAUUAUUCCAUUUAUCUGACCAAACAUGAUGGUCAGAUUCCUUCAUAUUCUUAUUUGAAAUCAGGGUAAUGCAUUGCUCUCAAGUCGAGGAAGGAAGCAAUCUUACGUUCUCAUGUGGUGCGAAAAUUCUUUGAUCCAAGAGCAAAUUCUACUGGAACUGGAAUGAACCAAAAGGUUUCUUGACCCAUAAAUGUGUCGUUUGGAAUAUUAUUUAAUGUACGUUGUUUUUUUUAAAAAAAAAUUGAAAAUGUUUCUUAUAAUUUAACUUAUAGUUGUUAAAACUUUUUGGUACGAAAUAAUUAACAUAACUUUUUUAAAUUUCAACGUAGCUUCAUUGGAAUUCCUAUUGUGUGAGAAUUAAUAUGCAUAAGAGUAAGUCAAUUAAACCUAUUUCUUUUGCCUUUAAGAUUUCUACAAAUUCAUAUAAUUAUGUCUAACACUAAAAUUCGUCAUAGUUUUAUAUACAUUCUAUUAAACUUUGUUUUUAAAAGUCACUGAAGCUAUUGGUGUUUUCUUCCAUCUUAAAAGUCACUCGGCCAAACGCGAGUGGUUAGGCCUGCUACCCUCUAAGCAGUUCGAACCCCUACAAGUAUAAUGUGGGAGUAUUUCCUUCUUUAAUUAUAUUGUAUAAUUGAAUGAAAAUAAUCUUCUCACUUACCCACGAGUAAGUGGACCAGACAUCCCUCGAAUAUUAGUGAGGGUUAAAAUAUGAGCAGAGCUCCAUAAUCAUUAAUAUAAGUUGGUCCUAGUAAUAGUUUGAUUUGUAAAUAUCAGUUAUAAUCUUAUGUAAUAUGAGUUGUAAUUUGAGCAAUAAUCUCAUAUAAUCAAAAAAAAAAAAAGAUAAUAGUUCUAAAGAACGUGUAUUUUUUAAUAUAAAUUUUGUUAAGUAAAUUAUUAAUGUAUUUCAACUGUAUGAAUUUAUAGACUUCUCAAAAUCCCGGGUUGUAUUAGACCAUGAUACAUUUUAAAGAACACGCACAUGAAAAAUCAUGUGCAUAAAGAGAGACUGAUGAUGAAUUAAUUGAAGCAUAAUUAUCAAUUUGUCAAACCUCAACAAUCAACAAAUGAGCUUAUAAAGCCAUCUUUUUUUCUAGGCUGUCAUUUUUGUUUUUACAUCGAAAUCUAAUUGCUUCUGUAUCCACUUACCCAUUAAACUCUAGAAUGUUUGAUACUAGAAAUAAUCCAACUGUACUCCAAAGUCCAAAAAUAAAUGUUGUCAAUUAAUCCCAUACUAAAAAAAUUUAAUAAAAUAAAGUUCUAAUCAAUGCCCUUCGCUGUUUUAGAGCAUGCUUUUUUUUUUAUUUCUUAUUUCCGUCUCGGGCGCUUGUGCUGCUGGGAAAUUAAGCUACCAAGCACAUGUUAAGUGUGACAGAUGCUUCUAGUAGUUGAGAUAUGCACAUCACUACAUGUCAUGUGUUAGUGUUGGAACUCGCAAGCUCUUAUUGUGGACGUUCUCAUUUUUAUCAACAUGAUGAUCAUAUUAUGCUCAUGAUUUGCUUGCUAUUAAAGGAGUAAAAUUUUACCGUACUAUUUUUGAAUUAAUAUGUUUAAGACAGGCGAAAAAAAAAAAAAAACCCAUCUGUAGUUCUGUACGUAUUUUAUGAUUUUAUGUCAAAUUAAUAUUUUAUUCAUUUCAUCCCAAAUGCCAUUGGAUUCUUUAGUGUCGGUGUUACAGCUUUAAUGCAUCAAAUUUAGGAACUUUAAUGUAAAACAAUUAUGAUUGCUAACGUUGGCCCAGUCCACACGUUGGGAGUAACAAAAGGUCAAAUCCAACCUUGGGAGUUCUCAAAUCGCAAUUGCCCUUUCUUUUCUUUUUAUUUGGUUUGUGGGAAAAAGACUGUCAUAGGGUAAGGUUUAGGAAAAUGAAUCAAAAAUAUCUCAACGUUUUAGAAAAAACUAUUUACAAUUCUAUUUUUUUUAGUAGAUUCUAUUUGUUUUAUUAAAAAUGCAUUUUUAUUUUAUAAUUAUUAUUAUAUCCCUCUACCAAAUAAGUCAAUAGGUUAUUAACCUUUGAUGAAAUUGAUGAGAUUGGUGGCUAGUUGACUUUUAUCAUAAACAUCCUCUUCAGAGCCACUUCAUCGAAGCUAUUGUCGGUUCGUCGAACAAGAAACCGGUUCUACCAAAGCACGCAUAAUUAAUUAAUUAAUCUCUAAUAAACACUUAUUAAACACGUAAUUUUUGUUAAAAGAAAAAAAAAGUGACAUAAGAAAUGAUUCACAUAUAGUCAAGUUAGUAUUAAUUUUUUUUAAAAAAAUCCUCUCAUGAUCUAUGUCUUCUGAGUUUUUCAAGAUUUUUUUUUAUGUGUAUUUUAGUGAUAGUGUAUGGAUAAGAUUCAACUCUUUUUAUUUUUUUUAUUUAUUAACUAUCAAUUAAUAAACGAAUUAUUUACUUAGAAUAUAAUCAGAUUAUAAAAGAAUCUUAAUCUAAUUUUUUUAAGAUUAACAUAUUAAAUUAAAUUGGUAUGAGCCAAAAGUUGACAAUAAAGAGUAAACCAAAUUGCCGCCACACUCAAAUAAAUCCUCCGAUCCGUUAUCUGUACAUAAAAUUACUCGUGGGGGCGGUAUGUUUCAGCAAUCGGGUUUUAACCACUUCUGAUGUUUUGCAAAUGUGGGUCCAAUAGAAUCAUACUCCAUAUGAUUCCGCCAAGUUUCCAAUUGUAUUCCAAAAUUUCAAACGUGAUAAUUUUUCCUUUUUGCCCUUUUUUUUCUUAACUCAAGUUUGUCGGCGGCGGGUGCCCAAAGCUUUUGUUUCCUUGGGCCUCAACGGACCCUUACGAACGGACCACGUGAGCCCGAAAGUUUAUCGCUUUACUUUACUCUUAUCAUUACAGCUAUUAGCUAACCGUAUCGGGCGCCACUUCUCCGUCUUCACUACAUUUUAAUAAUGAGCAUGACAUUCUCAAAAAAAAUAAUAAUAAUAAUGAGCAUGACGUCCGCUGGCAUUACACGACACCGUUUCGUACUAGCAGCGACAAAAUUAACAGGUGUCAAUCCCACUGUCAUGGGCCCACGCGUCGCGCUACACGUGGCGGCGCUACGGCACGUGGUCAACUUUUUAAAUUAGACCCUUGUUUAGAAAUUUGAAAAAUAUUCCUGAACUCCGAAUCUAGUAAUUGAAAAAUCGAUUCGCCGAAAACUGUGGCUUAUUGUGAUUGGUUGGUAUUAAUAAAUUAGUACAAGAGCGUCAAGGGGUACCACGACUAGCGGCAAACUAUUAUUCCAUUUUCUUUCUUGAAUAAUCCCGCUUUUAGCAUUAUAUUAAAAAAUUUAAAUAUAUAAUUAGAAAUAUUAUUAAUUAUUAAUGGAUUUAAUCACCCAAUUAUGGAAUUGAGAAUUGGACAAAUUUAGAUCUAAAUUUAUACUUGUAACCCAAAAAUGAAGAGUGUUAAUUCUACUUCCAUAAUUAGCUGAAAUAAUUCUUUCCAUUCUCUAUCACUACAAAUUUAGCCUGGCGAGGGGCGAACGAUAUACAAAAUUAUAAAUAGGAACGCCCCGACCAAUCAGGCAAUUAUGCAGGGGGUCGAACUUUCAGUGGGUACCCACAUCGAAGCAAAAGCACCGUUACAUUUUGAGAGUACAACACUUUGUCGGUCGUCCAAUCCGACGGCUAAAACUCACCCACGUGUCGAUCCUUCACCCCUCCGUUCCUCCUUGCUUCGCCAACAAUAAAGUACACGAUCCUUAAUUUCUCAAAGCUAAGCGAAAAACACUAACCGAGAAAUCACUCGUCUCUUUCCCAGCGCUUCUACUUUCCUUUCACUGGAGAGAAAAAAUAUAUUCCCAUUUGUUUCCGAUAAACCGGCACCGGAAUUAUCAGACGGCUAUUUUCUGAUGCUUCCAUAUUCCAAGCUUCCGUCGCCGGACCCGCCUCCGAAAAAAUCAAAAUUUCCCGAGUUAGAUCAAAAGAGCUCGUUAAAUGGACUGAUUUAUCCAACUCUCUCGCUUCAAAGCCCACGCUCAUGGCUGCUCCUCGUCAUCCUCUUGCUCCAGGUAAUUUUCGUCCUCGUGCUCCGCUCCGUCUCCAUGUCAUUCUCCACUAGCCACGUGGCGCCCCAACAGUCCCACCCCGAAAUAUCGGCCUCCGUCCCUCGCGUAUCGGACCAAUGCGAGUUGGGUAAAAUCUACGUCUACGAUCUCCCUAAAGCUCUCAACGAAGAUUUAUUACAAAAUUGCCACGAGCUGAACCCGUGGGGUUCUCGCUGCGACAUGCUGUUAAACGACGGGUUCGGCAGACAGGCGAGUGCGUUAAACGGCGUCGUACCGGAGAAUUUAGUCCCGGCUUGGCACUGGACUGAUCAGUUCGUUCUGGAAAUCAUUUUUCACAGAAGGAUUUUGAACCACAGGUGUCGGACGUUGGAGCCAGAAUCUGCUGCGGCGUUCUACAUACCGUUUUACGUUGGACUCGCGGUGGGGAAAUACCUGUGGUCUGAUUCGAGCGCCAAGGCGCGCGAUAUGCACUGCGAUAUGAUGUUAAAGUGGGUCCAGGAUCAACCGUAUUGGAACCGAUCGGACGGGUGGGAUCAUUUCACGGCCAUGGGGAGGAUCACGUGGGAUUUUCGGCGGUCGAAGGACGAAGACUGGGGGUCCAGCUGCAUCUACAAGAAAGCUAUGAGGAACAUCACCCGCCUCCUCAUCGAACGAAACCCGUGGGACUACUUCGACGUCGGUGUGCCUUACCCCACUGGAUUCCACCCCCGAUCCGCGUCCGACGUCACCCAGUGGCAGGACUACGUCCGCAGCCGCAAUCGCUCGUCCCUCUACUGCUUCGCUGGGGCCACGCGGAUGGUCAAGAACGACUUCCGGUCGAUGCUGCUGAGUCACUGCAAGAACGAGUCGGGCUCGUGCCGGGUCGUGGACUGCGAGGGGACCCGGUGCAUGAACGGCACGUCGGCGAUCCUCGAAACGUUCUUGGACUCGGUGUUUUGCUUGCAGCCGAGGGGGGACAGCUUCACGCGGAGGUCGAUAUUUGACUGCAUGGUGGCCGGUUCGAUCCCGGUUUUUUUCUGGAAGCGGUCGGCCUAUUUCCAGUACGCUUGGUUUUUGCCCGAUGAGCCCGGGAGUUACUCGGUUUUUAUAGACCGGAACGAGGUGAGGAAUGGGACCAAGUCGAUAAAAGCAGUGCUGGAGAGUUACUCACAAGAGGAAGUGAAGAGAAUGAGAGAUAAAGUAAUUGAUUAUAUACCAAAGUUUAUUUACGCCAAAUCCAGAGAAGGUUUAGGGACAAUCAAAGAUGCAUUCGAUGUUGCAAUUGAUGGGGUGUUACGGAGAAUCAAGGAGCAACAAGAGUUGGGAUUUAAGUGGUAGAUCAUGGACCGUCGGCUUAUGUGUAUUCUGUACAUAUUUUUUCACUACAGAUAAUUAAUUUUACCAAUAUAGAUGUAAUUUUUUUGUUUUUUUUUGCUUUUUGGAUCGAUGAGAGUUCUGCGAUAUACGUUUGCCUGGCAACUGGCUGGGUGGGUGGGUGGCCGGCCUUAUCAGAGUGAAGGACCACUGCUCCAUUAUUCUUUUGGAUGUCGUGUAUAUUAUCAUUUUUGUGGCGCCUUACAUUACUUACAUGGAUGCGCCAUGAACUGGGUUCCCUUUUGUUUCCUUGAAAUUGAUUUUUGGUAUCAAUACAAUGUUCAUUGCCGAAUAAAUUAUUGAUGAAGUUUUAAUUUAUUUCUUUUUGUUUGAUGGCUCGUGGACAUCUUGGAAAUAAGCUUGUAUGCGUUUUCUUUCAUGAUGAUUAAGAGAGCAGAUGGUGAAUAGAUAUAUAUAUAUAUUUCUUUUAUCACGAGGUAUUCUGGGAAGGGCCUCAACUGUGGGAGUUACCUUUAAGUCCGUACCAUAAUUCAGAUUAGAAGUCCCCGCUUGAAUCGAGAGGCACAUAUUCUCCCAACAAAGACGAAUAGAUAGUUAAAUGCAGAAGAAGGAAGCACACCAGAAUUUGGAAGCCGUGGUCUUUUAUUUUUACCAACGUAAACCUGAUUAUAAUACAUUUGACAACGUACAGUUAUAUUAUAUUCAACAACAUUCGACUAACGCAUGUUGUUAAAGUUAUAUUGUCUUAACCUGAUUGUUGUUAUUAUUAUUAUUGUUUUUGCACAAUAUGACAAAUAUUGUAAUAAAUAACAGUAAUUACAAUAACAAAUUAAGGGUAUUUUAGUAACUUAAAAUAAUUUAUUUUAAUUUUAAAAUAAAAUAAAUACAUCAACGUUAAUACGACUCAUUCUGAUUUUGAUAAGUAUUUCCUAAUUCAAUAAAUAAAUACUCCAUAAAAAAAAAAAGAAAAAGGGNNNNNNNNNNNNNNNNNNNNNNNNNNNNNNNNNNNNNNNNNNNNNNNNNNNNNNNNNNNNNNGUUAUCCUCUUUCAUUUUACAUUUCUCAUCAUUCCACCUUGUUGUUUUCCCAUUGGACGAUCAAGUUUGACAUCAUGUUUUAGUUGUUUUAUACUGCAAAUUGCCAGUAAAUAUCAAACACCAACAACCGCAUCAUUGUCCUCGCAACUAGGUUUAAACUGUUAUCUAAACCAUUUUUAAAUCAAAGUUUUGUCUUAGGGGAAGAAAAAAAUAGUGAAAUGGGUUUUCUGGUUUGAUGAUCUCAUUGAUUAAUAUAGAGGAACAUGGCAAAGUGACGAUGGUGGGCCUUAAAAGCAUAAAAAGCCGAAGGAAUCUCCAUAUUUUGCUACUUUCCUCUUGCAGAUGGAGGCAAGAGCAUGCCCAAUUACAAAUAUACAGAGUUAAUUAGGAAAGCAACAAAAACUAAUACUUCCUUGUCAAUGGCACCUUAUUUCUCAAUUUCUUUUAUGUCAGUGUCUGUAGUUUUUAGGAGAGUGACUGGGUGAGGGUGAGAGUGGUGAAGUGCAACAUAUAACAUAUGUAAGUAAGAGUAGGCCUAGCCACUCGGCCAAAGGCCGAGUGGUGAGAGCUGCUGCUCUCUAAGCAGCAGUUCGAACCCCCACAAUGUAUUGUGGGAGUAUUUUUUUUCUCAAUUAAAUUUGAGUGAAGGCAGUCUGCUUCCUUACCUAAGUACGAGGAGUAGACAUCUCUCGAAUAUUUGAGAGGGUUAAAAUUUGAGCAACGCUCCAUUAGCAUUGAUGUAUGUUGGUCUCAUUUAUAGUCUGAUUUAUAAAUAUCAAUUAUAUUCGCAUGUAAUAUGAGUUGUAGUUUGAGCAAUAAUCUCAUAUAAUAAAAUAAAAUAAAAUAAAAAGUAAGAGUAGGCCUUCCUCAUUUGUCAUUUCAAACCAUGUCAAGAGUUGAAUCAUUCCCACCCCUUCACAAACCUCUUAAAAUUCUUUUAAUUAUUUUACGAUUUUAACCUUUAUUAAAUUUACAUAACAAUUGUCUUGCGCUGAAAGCUCUCCACUUCACCAUCUUGAAUUCUGUUAGACAAACCGCAUCGUGUGAUCAAGACGAUGAAUGCGACAAUUGAAGAAUGAGAUGUCGAUAUCGAAUUCGGCAUGACGACAUCCCAUCUCCAUAUUAAGAUGACAGUGUGCAGAUAAUCUUUGAGAGGGGCCACUGGCUGCGUCUUUUAGUGAAAUCCCAAUUGAUUGUUAUUAGUUUUUACUGAUGAGAUGUAAGUCAUGUCUUCACAUUCAUUUUCAAGUGUACUGAUGAGGUUGAACAAUUUAAUUGUGAUAAAUAAAUAAAAAAGGAAUAAUUUUAGAAUAUAUAUGGUGUAUUAAAACUAAUUAAUACAUAUAUAACAUGUGUAAUUGAGUUUAAUACUCUUCAUUAUUUGUAUGAUAAUUUAUAAAAUAAAUACAUAUAUGUCAUGAUAUUAUUUAGUUAUUAUAUGGGUGAUAUGGUAGAUGUAUUUUAAAAUUUCUAUUAAAAAAAAAAGAAAUUUUAAGACGCAUUUAAAAGAGUGCCAAUAGGUCAAGUCAUUAUGUCAUUGACAAACAAUCUAAUCACUAUGGGUGUGUUUUUUUUUUAAUUACAUGAGACUAAUGCUUAAACUACAACUCAUAUUACAUGAGAUUAUAACUGAUAUUUACAAAUCAGAUUAUUGUUGGGACCAACUUACAUCAAUGCUAAUAGAGCUCUGCCCAGAUUUUAACCCUCACAAAUAUUCGAGGGAUAUCUACUCCUCACUCUUGGAUAAAGAAAUAGACUAUCUUCACUCAAUUUUUAAUUGAAGAAGAAAAUACCCAACAAUGCAUUUAUGGGGAUUCGAACUGUUGCCCUGCAGCUUAGAGGGCAGCAACCCUAACCACUCGGGCCAAGGCCGAGUGGCUCAAUGGGCGUGUUUGCAACCCGCAUAACAUCAGACUCAUGUUUGGGCAAUUGGGCUGCAGUAGCUGCAACAUUGUGGUGUAUAUUCAAACCCGAGUGUGACUGUUAAAUUAACUUUCUUUCUAUUUUUAUUUUUCAUGUAUUAUAACAAAUAAAAAUAAAUUUAUGAUUAAUUUUAAAUAAUUUAAUAAUAUAUUUUUUAUUUUAUAUUAAUUAUAUAAAUAUAUAAUUAAAUAUUACAUUGUUUAAUUAUAUUAUAAUAAUUAGUAUAAAGAUUAAAUAUUAUAAAAUAUUUUAGUGUAACUGAUAAUAAAUAGUUAAAUAUUAAUAAAUUUAAAUAAUAUAAAUUUAAAAUUAAUACUAAUAUAAAUAAUGAUAUAAUUACAUAUACUACAAUACAUAUUGUACUAAACAUGAUAUUGCAUUAUAACUUAAUACAUCUAAUGGUGCGUUUACUAAUUAAUAAUUAGUAAUUGGCUAGAAUCGAAAUGGAGGAGUGAAAAUCAAAAUAAAAUUAUUUAUUUUAGCUGUAGAAAUCGGGAUAGGAAUGAGCUGUAUUGUGUUAAUUUUAUCUUGAAAUUAUAAUAAAUUGUUUUAGAUUACUAAAAUGGUUUUAGUUUAUGAUUAACAUUAUUUUUAUCAUUUAUUAUAAUGAUUAUCAUUAUUAUUAUUAUUCAAGAAAAUUUGUUAAUACUAAUAAUAAUAGACUUAAUAGUUACAGUUGUUGUUGUUGUUGUUGUUGUUGUUGUGUCUAUAUUCUCUCUUUUGUCCUUUUUUCCCUCUUUUUCUCCUUCUCUUUUUUCUUUCAUUUUUUUUUAUUUUUUAUUUUUCUUUUCUUUAUUAUUUCUUUUCUUCUUCGUCUAUUCUUAUUUUCUUAAUUUUCAAACUCAUUUUUCUUUUUCUCUUAUUUUUUGUUACUUCUUCUUCUUCUUCUUCUUUUUUGUUUCGUUUUUAUUUUUUCCUCUUCUUUAUCAUUUCUUAUUGUUCUCCCUUUGGUCUUCAAAUCAACAAGUGAAAGACACCGACAAUGCUACAUGAUGAUCGAUGACGCAAUUCCUACUUGCUGCGUGAUGAGAUCUUAGUUUUGGUUAAUGUGAUUUUCAAUUUUUUUUGUAUUUUUUAUUUUUAUUAUCUAAAAAGAGAAUAAAAUUGCAACAAUGUAAUUUGGGAUAUUUUUUAGAGUUUUGGGAAUGAGAGUACUUUAAACUCUCUCUAAUAUUUAAAAGGUGUCUACUCUACUCAUAUUUUGUAAAAGAGGGACUGUUUCCAGUCAAUUAGUUGAUAAUUGAGAGAGUACUGAAACUAACCUCUAUAAUAUUCUUAUGAAAGCUUAAACACUUACACUCGAUAUUGUAAGUGGAAGUUUCUUCUAUUGGACCAAAAGUCCAUUGGUUAAUGUAAUAUACCUUAAUACAACACAAUAGUAUGUCAAACAUAUCCUAUAAGACAAAAAUCUGAUGUAAAAGGCUGAUGUGGCCCAGAUAAGUCUGGACUCUCGGGCAGCACAAAGGGCCCAAAUAGACCCAUAAAACCUUAACCUCAAAUAAAUCAAGUUGAUAGUAACUCUUUACACUCACAUCCCCUGAAGACAGUUUCAUCUUUGUCGUCUCCUUAACGGCAUCUUGGCUUCACUUCUGUAAAUACAACUCGUUUGCCAAUUGAAUGUUGUUUCCCUUACUUCUCACCUGCAGUGAAAGGGUUAUUUCGAUUUCAAUAAAUUGUUUUUGUUGCACAUAAUUCCUUAGUUUAAAAUUUGAAUGUAUGUAAAGAUUGGCUUCUUUCACCAUAAAUAUAUUUUCUGACAACUGCAGAGCUUGUUUAAUUCAGGGCCGGAUUCCCAGUCCCACUGAAAAAAAAAUCUUUUAAUAAUUAAUUUAAUUAUCUUAUAAUUUCUAAUAAAUUUUUCUUAAAUCCCCAAUAAUUUAUAUUCAAGCCCCUAAUACAUAUCUACACUUAAAUUCUCACACUCCAAAAUUUUAAAACAAAUCAAAAGAGAUGGACUUUACAAACUAAAAUCAAGCCCAAAAACAUCAAUAUUAAUUAAAUUUUUAAACAUAAAUAUUAGUAUUAGUGUAGAGAGAGCAUUUUCAGCCAUGAACAUUUUAAAGAAUCGGUUACGAAACCAAAUAAGAGAGCAAUGGAUGAAUGAUAGUUUGGUUGUUAUAUAAAAAAAAAACCUAUUUAAUAAUAUUGAUAAUGAAGUUGUAAUGCAACAUUAUCAAUGUAUGAAAACUCGUAAAGGACAAUUGUAAACAUAUUUUGAAGUAUGAAAAACCUUUCAAAUUUAUAUAUUUAUUAUUUUUUAAAUUUUUUUAUAUUAUUGUUGAAUAAACCCCCAGUCAAUCAAUAUACUGACUCCACCCCUGUUGUUUAUUGUCUUAUAAUUUAGAACAAAGAAAGCAUACAAGAUGACAUGAUUUCGAUGUCAUUGCAGUCUUAAUACCAUCUCUAAAUAAAAAAGAUAAAAUAAAAAAUCUUUCUCAGUCUCUCUACCAUACGCCGGGUUCAUUGAGAAAAAAAUGGUACGGGGAUAUUUGUGGCAUUAAAGUUGGUGUAACUGGUAUGUGAGUGGCCAUUCCUUCUUUUUUUUUUUUUUGGGGGAUAGUAAAGCAUAAAUAGUACGUGAGUGGCUUUGAUUUUUAUUCUUUAAUGCUUGUAAUUAAAAAGUGGGGUUAUAAGAACAGUAGUGGGGUGGUGGUAGCACACUCUAUUAAAUAUCCACUCAGUCCUCAGCGGCGUCAGCACUACUACUUUGCCCAUGCAAUAUUUGCCCGAAUCCUCUCCUCGGCAGGCAAACGCAAAACUCUAAACUAGCCCUUCUGAAACGAGGCGUUUUAGUGUUUUACUUGCGAAAUUUGACUGGACAAAGUAGCAACCUUGAAUGAUCCACAUAUUAUUUGAAGAGGUUCUGAUCUAAUCAUCUAAUGCGCGCUGUCACGCAUUGUGUGCAACGAUGCGUAUGAUGAAUUUUCAUUAACUAAAUUAUGUGUCCUCAGUACAACUCUACCGGUACAAAUUUGUCACAUAUAUCAGUUGUUCACCAUAACGUGCACAUAUAAUCAAAAUUCUUUUAAGUUAUAUAUACUGAUUUCAUUCCGCAUUUGCUCUUAUUGCAUACAAAUUAUCAUAGUUUGGGCUUUUAUGAAGGAUGCUGAUAGGCGUGGCCAAAACUAAAUUGGACCUGAAAAAUUACCGGUUCGAUUUGGUUUUUUAGGGUUUUCGAUCGUUAUUUUUUCUUAGAAAAAAGUGAAUAUUUUGGUUUGUUAUAAAAUCAAAUACUUUAGUUCGGUUUGCAUGUUAAAGUUUCAAAUCUGAAAAUCAAACCAAAAAAUUGAAAAAAUAAUUUUUAAAUAAAAAAAUUUCAUAUCAUUUAGGGGUGGCCCAAACUAAACUGGACUUGAAAAACUUCGAUUUAAUUCGGUUUUCUAAGCUUCAAUUCAUUAUUUUAUAACUAAAAACACUGAAUGAAUUAACGUCAAAAUCAAACCGAAUGAAAAUUUCCAAAUUGAUUUUUUGAAUUCCCAAAUUACAAGCAAAUUUUGCAAAAAAAACAUCUUUGGCAUCGGUGUGAGCGAAUUUAAAUCUCUAAAAGGAAAUAUAGUAUUUUCAUUUUUUUUUUAAUGUAAGGAUAGAUAAUGGAAUCCUUACUAGGGCUCAAUCCACUUCUCGGCACGCGGAGGGAAGUGGUGUGUAACACCUGAUGAAAGAUUUUCUGGUAAGAAAGACAAGAAGACGAUAAGAAAAAAAAAUAUUUUAUUUAAUUUUAUAGUUUGUUUUGUAGUUUAGAGAAAAAUGUGUAUAAAUUUUAACUUCUAUUAGUGCAAAGUAGAUUUUGUUUUGUGUAUUUUUUAAUUUGAUUUUAGGUUUAGGCUUAACAAACAUGUAUUACACAUUUAGUAUUAAAAUGAAAAUGAAAACAUGGGCUAAAAAAUGACCUUAGGGCAUGUUUGGCGCGCGGGUUUCAGGGGGUAUGGAUUGUACAAAAUUUUCAGCACCAUGUUUGGUGCGGAUAAUUAAGGUGAGACUAUGUAUAAAUAAAUCAAGUUUGGAUGGCUCAUAAAGACCCGCCCAUUCCCCGAGUUUACGCGGGUCUUGCCACAUUUACCUUUUUUUUUUAAUUUUUAACUCAAUUCUUUAAUUUAUUUUAAUUAUGUAUUAAAUAUAAAUAUUUAAAUCAUGGCCGACGACUUGACCACCGUCGGGCGCCAACUAUUGUUAUUUUCCGGCAUCUUUUGACAUUAUUAUUAGUAUCAAUACAAUUAUUGUCCUGAGCUCUACACGACCGUAUCAAGAUCUUCGGCAACGGAGCUACCGUUUGAUGUAGAUCUACAAUUAAAGUUUUGAGAUUCAAAAUUUUAAUUGUCGAUCUACGGCGAAUGGGAGCUUCAUUUUCGGUGAUUUUAGUACCAUUGUGUAGAGCUCGAUAAGAGAAUUACAAUGAUAUUAAUCAUUACCUAAACAAACAAUGUUAAAAAAUUUCCAGUGGUUGUCAAUGGUGGCUGCCAGUGAUUAAUUCAUUUUCUAUUAAUAAAAUUAUAGUUUAAUAUAAUAUAAUCAUAUUAAAUAUUAAAAUACACAAUACAUUCCAUACUUACACAAGGUUAAUGUAUUAUUUAAUACCUUUUAAUACAAUAUAAUCCAUUACAAACCAAUACAGACUACUACAAUCCCAUCUACCACAGACCACCUUAGUGUUUUACUUGCCAAAUUUUGUUGGAUAACGCGCAUAGUCAUGCACUAUGUGCGAUGAUACAUAUGAUGAAUAUUUACUAAUAAAAUUAUGUGUCCACGAUUCAACUCUACCAAUAAAAAUAUAUCACAUGCAUUGUCGUUCACCAUAACGUGCGCGCUUAGUUAAAAUUCUUUAGUUAUAUAUACUGAUUUCAUUCCACAUUUACUCUUAUUACAUACAAAUUAUCAUAUAUUACACUUUUGUGAAGGAUGGUAAUGAAUCGAUCAAUGCUAGUCUAUUGAUGAAUAGUAAUCAUGAGAUAAGAGUAUUCAAUUGAUUCUACUAAAGCAAGGGUACUUGCACUUGGAUUAUGAAAUUAGAUCCUUAAGAGUCUUUCCAGUCAUACUAAUGUACCGACAUUCUGAAAAUCUUUUUGCUUUUUGUAAAAAAGAAAACAGAUGCUCAUAUGGCAGUGGCUAGAGCUGAAGCAACAGUGGCGUCGUCCCCCUGAAAAUUAAGAUAAUCCAAAGUAAGUGUCUUCUUCUCAGCCACGUUGGAAACCCCCUCCUGAAGGUUGGUUUAAAAUGAAUGUGGAUGCAGCAAUCAAGUCAAAAAAGAUCAAUAUGGUUGGUUGGAAUCGCCAUCACGAACCACAAUGGAGAGUUCGUAGCUGCUGCUGUAGCAUCUGCGGAAGCUAGAGCAGCAAAUUGGCGACUAGAAAUUGCAGGAGAUGCUGCAUGUAUUCCACUGAUUGGUGAAUCAGAUUGCCAAGAAGUGAUGAACCUAAUCACGGAAAAGAAGAGCAGCAAGAUGGAGAUUGUUUGGACCAUUUCUGAGGCCUUCAAAUUAAGAAUAUAUAAUGCUAUAAAUAUUUCGACAUAAGCCUAGAAGUUGUAGCUCAUGCUUCAGUUCAGUUAGUCUAGCUUCAAAGGUUGUUGAACCCGUUGUUUGGCUGGGGACUUGCUCGCCCUAUCUUUUGUACUCAACCACCAGUCUUCACAUUUUUAUUACUAAAAAAGAAGGAAAAUAAAUAUAGUAUUAUUUAUUUAUUUAUUUUUAAUGCAAGGAUAGAAAAUGGAAUCAUAACUAGGGCUCAAACCACUUCCUUCCACGUGGAGGGACGUGGUGUGUGACACGUGACGGAAUUGCCGCGGCUCAAAUAUUUGGAUUUCGAAAAGAUGGCGCAGAGAUCCCCGCUACCCACCCACCUCAAAUCAAUCGUCUCUUUAUUUCAUAAGCUUUUAUUUAUGUUGAAAAGCGUGAAAUGCAUUUACUCUUUCUCUGUUGAUUUCCUGACUAGAAAUAAACAAAAUAUGUAUUUAAUAAAGGGAGCCCUUAAAGUUAUAUGUAAUGUAAUUUACACCCACAAAUAAUAGGUGAUGUGAGGUUCAUCUAUUAUUUGUGAGUGGUACAUGUAACUUAGUAUUUAUUUUUUAUAAUAAAAUAUUACAUGAAAAAAUCGCUUUAGUUAUUUUAUACAUGAUUCUUUCAUUAAAAAAAAAUUAAUGGUUAUGAAAAUAAUAUAAUGUUAUUAUUUUAUAUAUUCACAAUCAUUGAAUUUUCAUCAAAUCAACUGUGAAAUGGUUAUGUAUCUUACGUAAUUAUGUAAGAUAACAACCUCGAAAAAUCUAUUAUCAUAUGUUCAUGUCCAUUUCUCGAUGACUCAACAUGGGCGUUCGUAGGAGCAACGUAAAAGAUUAGUUGAUAGGGAAUCAAGAGAAAAUUUGGAAGGAUAAGAUUAAGAACAUAGAAGCGGUUGUCAUGGCUGAAAAGGCAGAAAAUUAGAGAUUUUUCAUGUCCUUUUUUGCAAUUAAAGUUAAUUAAAUCUGAUGCGUUUGGGUUUGGAGUUCUCGCCAAAUGGGCUCAACUCGUUGGCGCCUUUUCUUUUCACUUUCGGCAAAGGUUUCGUGAGAGAGCUCCACGUGUGUGGAAAUUGGAAUGCAAACAUUGAAAGCUCUCAAACUUAUAAAGAAGAAGACCGUCGAAGAGUUGAAAACCUUAGAAGACGGAUCUGCCCCUAGACCGACCUCAGAGUUAACUACCAUUUUCCUUUUGUUGUUUUUAUUCAACACAGUAUUUUUUACACCGCACGAUUCACCUACUCGGCAUAUCACAGUCCUUCACUCCCAUUGAGGAGCCUAUAUUUAACAAGCCUCCUGGAGGAGGAAAAAAGAAAAAUCCAUCGAACGAAGUAACCAAAACAGGAACUGAAAAUGAAAAUAAAAUUGGCAGCUCACUUUCUGCUGCUGUUGGCCUUCAGUGCGUUCAUGCUCUCGGAGGCCGAAACGCAGCUGAAACCUCAUGCUAUUGAAUCGUUUACCGUCAAUUAUAUUCAGGUACGAGUGUGGUUCUUUUUAUUAUUAUUAUUAUUAGUAUUUGUGAACUUGGUAUAUUCCGUUGUAUGUAUUAUGUUUGAUAAUUGUUUUAUUUUUAUUUUGAACCAAAAAUAGAAGUUCGGGAACUGCACGUACCUGGUGGUUAUAAAAACUAGCUGCGACUCAAAAAACUUUACUCGUGAUAGGAUCAGCAUCGCUUUUGGUGAUGCUUAUGGCAAUCAGGUUUGCUUCUUUUCUUUUUUUUAGAACAUAUAUAUUUUAUUUUAUUUCAGGUUUAGGCCAGGAAAGUAGUUUUUAUGUUUUUCUAUUUUUUCUUUUGAGAAAUUUUUUUUUAUGUUUUUAACCAGUUCGUUACUGUUAUGAUGCAUAUAUAAUUUUUUGAGAACGAAGUCAAAAUAAUUCAUCCAUGGGUUUCGUAUAAAAAGUUGGCUUUCAAAUUAAAGCACAAGGGCUUUUUAAUAUUAAAAGAACAAAAAUUAAGCACAACCCUAAAACGGGCUCGCAGAGUUUGUGUGUGGGCUGUCGCAGACUCCCAGAUGAUAUGUUACAAAAUUUAUGGGGGUUGUAUUCGAGCGCUGUCUUAUGUAUCGAUCAUAGGUGUUUUUCAAAGCAAUUGCUUCUUGAUGAAGGGCUUGUGCUUUAAUUUGAGUUUAUAGAAGUAAUUGUGCUGCUAAUUAGGUCAGUUACUCUGCUAGUACGCUCAUGCUUCUUGAAUAUUUUCGAGAGCUUUAUCCAGAAAUAUAUUUAAAGCUAACAUCUUAGUGGAGUUUGAUGUUGAUUUUUUUCUUCUAUGGUAAUAAUUAAUAUUGUUGAAACAAUGAUAAUCAGAUUUAUGCACCGAGACUGGACGAUCCGUUCACCAAGACAUUCCAAAGUUGUUCGUCCGAUGGGUUCCAGAUUGACGGACCAUGUGCAACCGAUAUCUGUUAUGUGUAUUUGCACCGAUCAGGACUUGAUGGUUGGGAACCAGAGAGUGUGAAGAUUAUCAGUCCAAAUUCGAGCCCUGUCACAUAUGACUUCAACACCUCCGCUCCCAAUGAGGAUUGGUACGGAGUCAAUUUGUGCCAGAUACAUCCUCCUCCUUCUCCAUUUGAACCUUCGCCUCCUUUUCCAAUUAAACCUCCGCCUUCUCCUCCAUCUUCUUCUCAUCAGCAUCGCGUUCCCGGAUUGUUCGGGCUCGUAAUGAUUCUGGGAUCCAUCCUGAGUGCUCUGUUGUAAGCGCCCUUGAUGGUUUGUUUGGUUUUAUGUAUGUGAUUCUGGGAUAGUCCUAAGUGUUUCUGUUAUGUGCUUGCAACUACUAUCUGCCGUUAUUUUGUCUGCGGCACGAUUGGUGCAAUAAUAUGUCAUGUUGUUAUUAGUUGUAAUAGGAUAUUUAUCCAUGUCUGCCGGAUAUUUUGUAAGCUUUAUAAUAGUUGUGAACCGUGCUUUUGCAGCUAUUAAUUAACUAAUGUUGUUUUGUUAUUAACUACUCUUUGCAUAGCCCCUUCAAGAUGGGGGUUUUAUUUCAUGAUCAAGAUUUUCCCUUGAUUUGAUUAUAUUUUGGGAUAAAAUUAUGUUGCAACUAUGGUAUGCUACUGCAGUUGUUUUCAGUCGUUAGAUGUACAGUUAUAUAGUUAUAUUAGUUGGAUCUAAUGAUUGAAAACAAUUGUAGUAUCAUAUUAUAGUUGUAACAUAGUUGGACCCCAAUUGCAUGAUUGAUAGUUUAUAAAAAAAAAAAAUUGAAUCUUCUUCAUUCACUAUCACUAAAAGACACAUUGAAAGAAGAUUUUAAAAAAUUCAUAAGAAAUCAGAUCAAGAAAUGAUCAUUUUCUUUCGUUUCAUGGCUUUGCCUUAAACGCAAUUGAGAGUGGCCUUGGGCUCUUGGACAUUUUAUUUAAGAAAGGUGCUGGAAUUAAUGGUGUUACUGGAGGCGUCGCUAAAAGCAAUCGGCUAUAAUUUACUUGGUUAUUGUUUCGCAGCAAAGCUCGUGUUUCUUGAUGUGUCGUCUGUGUGGCCGUUGAUUUCAAUUCUCGAUUACGUGUCAUCUCUGUUCAGUUGAGUGAGCUUUUUCUUUUUUGGUCCCCAUUGCCUACAGCCACGAAUUUGAAAAACGUAAGACAUGUCGUCAUGUAGACAAAUUUGAACGGUGACGGUGUAGUAGUGGAGCCGAUUGAGACACGAUAUCGACUGAUUAAACUUACUUUAUAUGGGAAUCUUGUGAAAUUUUUAAUUAUGAUUUUUUAGGGUGACGACAACUUAAUUCAUUUUUCUAUAGAUGCAUGAGUUGGUUUUGAAUCUUAGUGCUUUUGAUUUUUACAUAAAAUUAUAUUAUCUCAACUAAAUAGUCUAUACAGAUUACAAAUGUUAUAAGAAUAUACUUUUAAGUGUUGUGAGAUGUUUUCAUUACUAAUUUACUAGUACUAACUUUUUUUUUUCUAAAAGAUAAAUUAAUUAGCGUCCAAAAUAUUAUUGUAAGAAUAUUAUUAUAAAAAUUAAGGAAAAGUAAUUUUUUAAAAGAUAAAUUAAUUAAUGUUAAGAAUAUUAUUAUAAAGAUAUUAAUAUGAAAAAAAUAACAUAAUUAAUUGUAAAGACAUUUUAAAGUGUUGUUAAAAAUAUAAGUGCUUUGGGGUAUAAAAAAUAGUUACUUGAGUUCGAGGAGAAAGUUAUUUGGUCACAUGUGCAAGCGCGACCAACGUUCUGUUAGGAGAAUAGAAUCAGGUCGCAUGGCUUUGGUUAAUAUCUCAUAUUGUUGAGCUUCAUUUGGAAGCUCAUCCGUAACGUAUAUGCACGCUCUGCUUUAAUGUUUAAAGCACAAUCAGGCAUUAUAAUGGUUGCUCAACAACUAGAUAAAUUGAUAUAUUAACUCUUAGAUUCAAGUGGCAUACUCAAUUUGGUAAUGACCACGCAGUAAAGAACGAACAAUAACGCGCGACAUGCAUAGUUCUCUAUAAGAACUGGGGGAGAUCCAGAAAAUGGAUUUUUUUUGGGGUUUUGAUUAAAAAAAUAGAAUUCUAGAAAAAAUACAAAAUACUUAAAAUCACAAGUGUGACAUUAUUAUUUUCCUUACAAAGAAAAACCUGAUUGCUGACUUGAGCGUUGGAAGGUUUUUACUAGAAAAAAUACGGCGUCCCUGACAGUUUUCUGUUGUUGCAGAUCAAAGGAAAUGUCAGUACAAUUCAAAUUCCACUACAGUAUCAAGCGACAAAUGCCCCAUCAAAAUAAAUUAAAGUGUUGGCGAGACAAUUUGGUCGCCGACCGAAUUACGGCAUCAACAAUAAAAAUUAAAUAAGAACUUAAGUUAAAAUAUAGAAAUUAAAUAAAGAUUUAUCCUAAGUUUAGAUAUCAAAUUUACUACGGAUCUUUGAUGGAGAAAGUUACCAAAAGAAACAAAAAGUCCAAAUUUUUGUCUUCAAAAGAUAGUGCACCUAGAUUGACCCUUAUAUACUAGAAGAAAGAGAUGGGAUUGAUUAUCCUUCACACAAGCUUCAAGAUAAUUCUUUUUAACCAAAAAAAAAAAAUUGUAAAAGGGAUUAAGAUGCGUAAAAUACAUUUUUUUCCCCCAAAAUUGCGUAAAAUACUUGAUGAAAACAUGCAAGGCAGUGGAGUCAAACUCAAUCGAGACACUGAGUCAGAUAAUUUGAUAGUAUGGUUCACCAUUGUCGACGUCUGCAUGUUUUGUCAAAGAAUGACUCCCAACCGUUUUCCAACAGAAAAACGGGUGUAGUUGGCACUAUUGGUUAUUAAUUAUUUAUUAUUUUACAUUUUCUAAUUGAUUAUUUUAUCAGCUUCCACGUGUGGGUAAGUAUAGUAGAAUAUCAUUGAGGCUCUUUGAAAAAAAAAAAGAAAGUAUAUGCACCUAAUUUCGCUUGAGUAUCUAAUUUAACCAACCAAUUGUGGACCAUGAUAGCCUAGUCUUCUUGAUGUUACAGCCAUUAAAUUGCCAAUCGGUGCAAGCGGUUUUUUUUUUUUAAUAGUAAAUGAUUUCAUUUCCAGUAAAACACAAUAAUUAUAAUAAAAUUUCGAUCUUUAUUGGGACCUCUUCGAUCCACACUCGAGGUGUUGAAAUGAAAAAAGUUAUUUUUUUUCUAAAGCAUGGGCCACUAAGUUAUAAGACCUAAAAGUAUAAGCUAUCUGAUAUUGAUUAUUUUGUUCUAUCAUAACUCUAAUAUCAUAAAGUAUCCAAUCUAACUCUUCUCUACUAGAAGUACCAUUGAGAAUAAAGUUGACAACAUUCUUGGAAUCAUACCCUAUAAGAAGAGGAGAAAGAGCAACAUCCACUGCCAACUUUAUUCCUUCUAAAAUCACUGAAGCUUCCGUAAUUUCUACAUCUCCUAAGCAAGGUUUCUUUGAUGUUGCAGCAGCCAUUACGGCUCCUUGAUAAUCUCUGAGAAUCGGUGCAAGCGGUUUUGGCUCAAAAUGCUUGCUGGUCUUCUAGAAUCUCAUACUUAAUUGACUAGAGAAGUGGAUAGACCUUCACUACCAAAGGGUCACACUACCUCCUCCUUCGAAGUUCAUUUCUCUAGGAUAAUUAUACUUGAUUUUUUUUUCUAGGGAAAGAUUCAUUGGGAUAAAAACCCAAGCAGAAGAAAUAGAAUUUAAUAACUCAUAAUGUAGUGCCUAACGUGCUUCGAUUGUGAUGUGAUUAUGUAAAGCACAGAGUUAUAAUCAUGGACCAACUUGAAAUAUUACACUAGAAACUACUUCCACUUGGGUGAGAUAUUAUGCUCUUUAAGCAAUAAUUUCGUAUCAGUUCAAACAAUAACCUUGAUUGUGUUACUGAGUCUCAUGGCUUUUAGAUAAGUUAUUGAGGUAUAUGGCUUGUAGAUAAAUCACCGAUGAAGAAUAAUUUUCACCGAAAAAUACUAUAGGCUUCAAAUUCAGACUUUGAUGGAUUUGCUAUCUUCAAUUGAUCUUUAGGGGUUUUGGAAUCUUCAAAUGCAUGGCUUUAUAUGUGUGUAAGAAUAUUCAAAUUCUGUCUUCAUUCUGUCGGGUUUUCCUUGCAAUAUUAGUAACAAAUAAAUUUAAAUAAAAAAAACACACAAUAACUAGCCUCAUUUUGUUUAAUGUAGAAGAUCCAAAUUAAUAUGACAAUGAUAGAGAAUACGUAUAAUUAAAUAAACUAGUAAAAUAAAGAGUAGGGUAUAAGAUACUUUCUAUACCCGAGCAAUAAUCAUAUUGAUAACAUGUUAUAAUGUUGAUGAAUUUGGGUAGGAAGCAUUUAACAAUUUUAAUAGAUAAUAUAGAUGAUAUAGAGAUAAGGGGGCUGUGUCAUAUAAAUACAAAGCAUUUUUCUCCCACGCUUAAUUACGGUUGCGUUUAGAAUUGAGGUUAUUCAGUAGUAACUUAAAAGUGACAACACUAAAGUGUUUGGUAAACAUUAGCUGCUAUAGUUUGUAAGCUAUAUUGAUAUGAUUUUUCACUUGUAUAAUGAAAAGUUUAUUAUAUAUUUAAUAAUUUUGUCAAAAUAAUUAUUUAAAAUUUAUAUUUACUAUAUAUUAUUAACUUUUGUUUAAUAGUUAUAAAAUCUUUUUCACAGCAACUAUAACUUAAAAACUACAACACCUCAAUCCCAAACGGAUCGGUUGUCCAAUUUCAAUUCCUGUCUCACUAGAAUAAUAAGCUUAAUUAAGUGUUCAGCUCCUUAGCUUUAUAUCAUAUAGCCCCCUUAUCUCUGUAUCAUAUAUAUUAUGCAUUAAAAUUAUUAAUAUAUUCCCUACCCAGAUUUCUCUCAGAUUUGAUCGUGCGAUCUUCAAAGUCAAAAACUUUUAAAAAAAGAAAAUAGUCCGCGUACCUAAACUCAAUUUUUCUAUGGGUGAAUCUGACCCGUAGGAAAAAUAGUACAAACAUCUAUUAUGAUAACGAUACAUUUGAGGACGAUGGCCAAAUAUUUUAUUUUGGUGAAGAUAAGGUUAUAUAUAUUUUAGUGGGACUAUUGUCAUGAAUUUUUAAUCUAUUUAAGAUCUUGCAAAUUAAAAUAUCAAAUAAAAAACAAACAAACAAUAAAAUCAAUCAUAUAAUAUAAGAAUUUGCAUGAAAAAAUCAUAUAUUAAAAAAAACUAUAACUACAAAGAACAAUAAGAGAAAAAUCUAUUAUGUGAAAAAUUAUUAUAAUCAGUUUAAUAUUUUUUUCACAUACAAAAUACUAAUAAUAUCCUAUCUUUCAAUAGAUCUACCAUUUUUCUUAUACUAAAAACUGUUUAUUUACAGAGAAAUUGAGUGAUUUACAAGUGAACCCAACUUCUACAUUUAUAGUGAUUAUUUAUUGUACAAGUAAUAUUCAUUUUCUUAGAAGAAUUAUAUUCAGUCAUUGAAUAAGUUAAGUACUAAAACGAAAAGACUCAUUAAAUAAUAUUUUACUUCUCAUUUGAAGUAGCCACAUUAUUAAUAAAUGUUCAAAAAAUUAUACAAAAGAGAUUUUUCAAGUUAGAGCAUCACCAAAAGACUCUUCAAAUAAGAUUUUAUUAAUUAUUUGAAGAGCCACCUCAAUAUUUAAGGCUCCAAAAGACAUUCCAAUUAAGAUUCUUCAAAUAAGAAAUGAUUCUCUCUCUUCAAAUUUGGAGAGUUGAUUUCUCCCUCUUCAAUUUAUAUUUUAUUACUUUUCAUUGAAGAAAGAGAGAGAAGUGCUUUAAUUACUAUUGACUUUUCCUUUAAAAAAAUAAUUAUUUGAUUAAAAUAAUAUUAACUUAUUUCUAUUUGAAGAGUCUUUUGGAGAAUAUCAUAUUUUUUCACCAUUCUAUUUGCCACAUAGGUAAGCAAAUAAGUAUUUGAAGAGUAAAAUUUAUAGAGGCUUUUGGAGAUGCUCUUAGAUUGUCAUUCUCUCUUCUCAAUAUUAAAGAGUGACUUUUAUUUUCAAUUAAUAUUAUAUUAUUUUUUAUCUCAUUAUUAUUAAAAAAAUAAGUACUAUAAUUACUAUUAUUAUUAUUUUGGUUGAGAAAAUAAUUUAAUUAAAAUAAUAUUAAUUUAUUUUUAUUUAAAGAGUUUUUUAAAGGAUGUCAUAUUUUGUUAGGUAAAUAAAUAAGUAUUUAAAAAAUAAAAUUGGAAUAGUUUUGGCUAACGCUCAGUUGCUUAUAGAACAUGGCCGGCCGGCCACUACUCACACAGUGAAAAUAGUUAAAAGACAGAUUUGCCCUUAAGAGCGAUGGAACGUCGGGGAUUUGUAAAUUUCCCAAAAAACACAGGCUUGCUAACUUUUUAUUCACCCCACACGAUUCAACUACCCGCAGGCUGCGGCAACAUUAGCAUAUUUAAACAAGGUUUCUGGGGAAUUGAAUAAAAAAUUAACAGGAAAAAAGAAAAAAAAAUCGAAAAUCGAAAAUCGAAAAUGAAAAUCGCAGCUCCCAUUCUGCUUCUGUUGGCCUUUGCGUUCACGCUAUCUGAAGCCGAAACGACGAGCUUGCAGCUGAAGCCUCGAGCUUUCGAGUCCUUUAACGUUAGUUAUAUUCAGGUACCGUAGUUAUUAUUUUAUCUCUCUCUCUUUUUUUAAUAAAUUUAUUAUUUUUUGAGUAGUUGUUGAUAAUCGUUUAAUUUUUUAACCAAAAAAUAGAACCUAGGGAGCUGUUCUUACACGGUGGUCAUAACUACCAGCUGUUCCUCAAGCAAGUACACUCGCGAUCAGAUCAGUAUUGCUUUUGGAGAUGCUUACGGCAAUCAGGUUUUCAAUUUUAUUUUUUUAAAUUUAAAAGUAUCUUUUAAUUUCUUCAGUUUUUAAAUCAGUGUUUUUGUCCUUUUUUUUUUUAAUGGUGAUUCUGGAUUUCAUUUUUAGGAAGGAAAUUGAUAAUUAGAUUUUUGUUUGCUUAAAUGGAAAGUGAUGACCAGUGAUGUAGAAAUUUUUAUGUAUUUAACUGUAGGCUUUUUAAUUUCAUUUUAUUUUUGAGAGCAGAGCAGAGAAAGUAUAUUAGGGUAAAGUUCAGUUGGCUGGAGUUAAUAAAUGCAUGGAUGUAAGAUCAGUUUGGGUUUGAAUUGCAGUGGUUUUAGUCAACAAUUGCUGUGAAAUUGAAUCACUUGUCGUUAAGUUAUAAAGUUGGCGAUUAGCAGUUGAGUAAACUUCAGUUGUGCCUUUUAAAUUAAGUUCAAGCACAACAACCAGAAAUGGGCUCGUAGUCUUAGUCUUUGCAUUGGGUUCUUUUCAUUUGAGAUCCUGUUCCUGGGCGAAAUGCUUUUGUGCUCUUGAAGGAGAUAUUUGUUUAUUUCAGCUUAACACUAUAAUACAAGUAGACCACAAUGCCUAAUUGAAAAUGUUUUGUUCGGACCCAGAAUAGUCUCAAACUUGUAAACCAUCGUUGCGGUGGGGGGCACCUCCUUAGCUCCUUGCCUUCUUCUCAUGAUUGAUGGUUUGAGUGUCCCAGUUUGUUGUGCUAGUGUUUUCUUUGAAUUUCCUGAGUUCACUUUGAAGUAUGCUUGGCCAGAGCACAUAUCAAACUUCUUAUGAAAGUUGAACUAAUUUAAGGGAUUUUGAGUGGAAUUCUCGUAACCUAUUAGUAGAUGUGUUGUUGCUCCAUAUUAAAUACAACAGAAAGCAAUUCUUUAUGUAAUGCAUUCAUUUUGUUUCUAAAGGUCAGGUUUAUCUAGAAAUAUAAAACUACACUAUUCUUAUAGUCAAAUGUGGAUUACUAAUAUAUUUGAAACAUUUGUAAUCAGAUUUAUGCACCAAGACUUGAUGAUCCGUCUACCGAUGCAUUUGAAAGUUGCUCCUCUGAUACAUUUGAGAUAAGAGGACCAUGUGCGUAUCAAAUCUGUUAUGUGUAUUUGUAUCGAACUGGACCGGAUGGUUGGAAACCAGAGAGUGUGAAGAUUUAUGGUGCUAAUUCGAGAGCUGUCUCAUUUUACUACAACACCUUUAUUCCCAGUGAUAUCUGGUAUGGAUUCAAUCUGUGCCGAAGUGCUUCUUCUGCACAUCAACAACAUGUACCCAGAUGGUCUGUGUAUGUGAUUCUGGGACUCCUCUUAUGUGCUCUGUUGUAAGCUCCCAGAUGUUUAGCGUUUGUGAUUAUAGGACUUGUCCAAAGUGCUCCACUGUGAUCUCUCAAUCAUCAUUUGCUGUUGUUUGUGUAUCAUACAAUUACAUAUAAUCUGCAUUUUGUUAGUUAUAGUCAGAUGUAAUCCAGGUCUAUUAUGAAUUAUCACUUGGAUUAUUUUGUGAGAGAACAGAGCACUCAUUAAAUACUACUCUAGAAGGUGUUACCAGAUGCUUUUGUGAGAACCGUUUCUCAGAGCACUCUAUAAAAAUUUGGGAUCAUUGAACAGUAUAUUUUACUGACUUGACUGUUGCUCUGCAGUAAAUUAAAAGCUCGUAAAUCGCUGACCCUUCUUAUUCCUUAAAGUCUCGUGUGAUAGUUGAUUUUAAUUCUUGAUGUAUCAUCUCUAAUCAGUUGGGCGAGCUUGCAAAUUUGGGAAGGUUCUCCUUUGUUGCCCAUUGGCGAUCCGGGUUCCGGGUUUAUCAAGUGAUGCCCAAGACCGACCUGGCUUCAUACCCUGGCCGGGUAAUAUCCGGCCCGCAAUGCCCGGGUACGGUCCGGGUCCGGACCGGGCGGGUAUUUUUGCCACCUCUAGGCGCAAGCCACUGGACACUUGACUUUGCUGUGAAUGUUGACAAAUCGAGCGGGCAGGGAAUUAGUCAAUUGAGACAAGAAAUAAAACUAAACUUAUUUGGUUCGGAGAAUAUGUUCACUAUCAUGAGAGCAUCUCUAAAAGAUUUUUUAAAUAAAAUUUUAUUAAAUACUUCAAAAGACGCGUUAAUUUACAUUUUUCAGAUACGAUUUGUUUAUCACUUUUCAAUAUUACUUAGUGAUUUUCUCCCUCUUUUAUUAAUAUUUUAUUAUUAUUUAUUGAAAAGAUAAGAGUGCAAUAAUUAUUAUUUAUGUUUCCUUUUAAAAAUAUAAUAGCAAUUCAAUUUAAUAGUGGAAAGAUUUGAUUAAAAUAAUGUUAAUUUAUUCUUAUUUGAUGAGUCUUUUGGAGGAAAUUGUAUUUUUCCACCCACUUAUUUGCCACAUCAGUAAGCAAAUUGAUAUUUGAAGAGUAAAAUCUAAAAAGUCUUUUGGAGAUGCUCUGAACACCAUUAAUUUGGGGGUUUUUAAUUAAAUACCCUUUAAUAGUUGUAAAAUUAUUUAAAUAUCCCUUUUUUUUCACAAAAACCCUAACAAAUAUGUAUGAAAUCUAAAAUGUGAAUGCAUGAAAUCUACUCCUUUUCACUGUCUUCUUAGUUCUUAAAUUCAAAUCUCUUCUUACUGAAAUUCUCUCAAAAUCUCUUAUAACCUCUUACACAAAUACAACUAUGUAUUCACUUCUUUUUUUUUGAAUAAUUUUCAUUGACAUUUUCUACAUAGCAACAAAUAUAAAUUCUUAUAACAAAUUAAGUCUUUAAAGAACUAAAUUAUUCUAAUGAAUAAUGAACAAAGUCGUGUAAUACAUGGAGGUUGUGUAAUCGCGUAAUAUAUGAAGUCGUGUAAUACAUGAAGGUCUUGCAAUACAUGAAGUUGUGUAAUAUAUGAAGGCGUGAAAGUCCUGUAAUACAUGAUUCAAGAUCACGUAAUAAUACAAAAAGUCAUGCCAUAUACGACUGAGGAUUGUGUAUUACAUGAGUGUAUUACACGACAUUAAAUCAUGUGUUACAUGAUCUUACACAAUCAAAUCAUAUGUUACAUGACCUUACACAACCGAAUUAUCAUCGGUACAAUCCAUCAAUUUUUCACCAUUUACAUGGAACAAAAAACUAGAAAUUUGUAUGUUAUGAGAGACUUACAACUAAUUUAAUUUAUUUUUACAAUAUAAGAUCCUAAAUUUUUUAUUUUUCUUUAAAUAUAAAAAAAAUUUAAUUACAAGGAAUUACUUUCCUAAAGUAGUUAGGUUCCAACAAUUUUGCAGCAAAAAAUCAAUUUUCGUCGCCAAUUGUGCAGUAACAAACCAAGCUUCUCUUUCUCAGUUGCAGCAGCUUCCCCUUUUGAUGUCUAGUUCAACAUGUAUGAGUGUUUGUUUGAGUCAUGUUAUGUUUGAUUUGUGUAAGUGUUUUAAGAUGAUGAUAGUUUAGUAAUUUCAUGUGAGUUUUUAGAGGAUAUUCAUGAAAAUUUUGGUAAAUUCUAUUUUUAGGGUAUAGAAAUAAUUUUGAAAGUAUGAAGGUGUAUCUGCUGCAAUUACCUCCAUAAUUUUCUCUAUGUUAUCGUUACUUUUGUAUGUUUUGACGAUUUUUCUUUUUCUGUAAAUAUGAAAGUUACUUGAUUGUUGGUUUACUUAAUGGCUGUUAAAGACCAAUUCCAAAUCUUAUGUGGUAUUAUUGACAAUAGUUAAAAGUUGGGGCAUCGGAAUAAUUGUUUCACCACGAAUAACAAGUGCUUUUAUGCUGUGACAUCAGCUCCGAGUACAACCGCUUUUGGAAGCAAAAAGUGUUAAAAUCUAACGGUAGAUAUCAAAACAAAAUAGGGUUUCAUAUCUGACGGUUGAGAAUCUCUCCUCUGUUAAACCAUAAAAGCAGAAACCCUAAACUCUUUGCCUCCUCUUUCUCUCCUGCUCCCGCAACUCAUUGCCACAUCAAAUUUGUAGCAGGAGACGCCCUCUGCUGUUUCUUUGUAUCUCAUUUUAAUUUUUGUAACUUAACAUAACCAUUCAUGCCUUCGAUCGCUUUGUUUGACGGAAAAGAAGUGAAAGACGAGAAGAAGAUGAAUAAGAAAAUGGCUCUCAAGGACUUCGAAGAAACGGAGGCGGCGUUAACUGAGAAGAGUUCGGAUAAGAAGAAGAGCAAGAAGAAGGAGAGUAGUAAGAAGCGGAAGGAAUCGGAGAUUGAGGAGGAGGAAGAGAGAAGCGAAACGAGCUCGGAGUUAGGCGAGCCGGUGAAUUUGAAAUCGGAGAAGGAGAAAAAGAAGAAGAAGAAAGCGAAAGUUGAGCCUGAGGCUGGAGUGGAAGAGCAGGAGAGGGGUGAAAGCGAACAUCCGAAUGCGGUUUCGAGGUUUAGAAUAUCGGUGCCAUUAAGGGAAAAGCUCAAGUCCAAGGGGAUUGAGUCUUUGUUUCCUAUUCAAGCUAUGACUUUUGAUAUGGUUCUUGAUGGCUCUGAUUUAGUCGGACGUGCACGGACCGGUCAGGUAUAAUAACUAAAUUUUGUGUAAUUUGUUAAUUUUGAUUAGCUAGUGUAAGCAAGUAAUUGUUUAGUUGUGUUAUUAAUGGUAAAAUUAGAAGAAUUAUUGAGUUUUUAGGUAAAAAUUAAAUCAUAUUUCAAUUUUUUCUGUAGUAGCAAAUAUCUGUUCGAUCAAAUACUUUUUACCUGAAUAUGAUUGUAUAUUUAGCCGUGUUUUGAACCGUGCAGGGUAAAACUUUAGCCUUUGUGUUGCCAAUUUUAGAGUCUCUAACGAAUGGGCCAACAAAAGCGUCCAAGAAGACUGGAUAUGGCAGGGCUCCAAGUGUUUUGGUGCUUUUGCCUACUAGGGAAUUGGCCAAACAGGUAUGAAAUAGGAGUUAUAAAAAAGUUUAUUCAUUUUUUUUUUGGUUGGUUUGUCUGGUGACAUUUUGUUUUUGGGUUUGUUUUAGGUUCAUGAGGACUUUGAUGUCUAUGGCGGGGCAGUGGGACUGACCUCAUGUUGCUUAUAUGGAGGAGCUCCUUAUCAUGCUCAGGAGUUUAAAUUAAAGAAAGGGAUUGAUGUAGUCAUUGGAACCCCUGGACGUAUUAAGGUUAGCCAUUUACAAAAAAUUUCAGUGCUAGAAAAUAGAAUUUUGACAUGACCUGUUGUAUUAGUUAUGGAUUUCCUGAAUAAGUAUGUGAAAGUUGGGGUAUUUUGAUUGAUCAUGUGGUUGUCAACUGAAAUUUACAUAUGGUACAGGAUCACAUUGAGAGGGGCAAUAUUGACUUGAGUUCAUUGAAGUUUCGGGUCCUUGAUGAGGCUGAUGAGAUGCUUAGGAUGGGUUUCGUUGAAGAUGUUGAACUUAUUCUGGGUUUGUAUUCUUGAUAUAGAGUACGCGGAGUUCCCAUAUACUGGUUUUCAUAAGGCAAUUUUCAUGGUCUUUAAUUGAAAUAUGCAGGUAAAGUCGAGGAUGCUAAUAAAGUUCAAACACUUCUCUUCAGUGCCACCUUGCCAAGCUGGGUGAAGCAUGUGUGUUUCCCAAUUUUGAUUCUGGAUUAUUCCUUUCCUGAUUAUAUGUUAGAUCUUCUCAAAUUCUAAAAGUAGUUCUGUAAUUUACAUGUCAUGACUACCUCCUUUCUCUGUAUAACUGAACCCUUCGUCUUCCAUUUUCAGAUUUCCACCAAGUUUCUUAAAUCAGACAAGAAAACCAUAGAUCUUGUUGGCAAUGAGAAAAUGAAGGCUAGUACCAAUGUCCGGCAUAUUGUUCUUCCUUGUUCUAGUUCAGCGAGAUCUCAAGUCAUUCCUGAUAUCAUUCGUUGUUAUAGCAGGUCAGUUGUUUCUAGUUCUCAGUUACUGUUUAAUAAUAAGCAUGAUUGAUUGUUGCUCUUCACAGUUUAUUAUUUCAUUUUGCCUUAGCAAUUGUGUGAUUCUUCUGAUUCAGUGGAGGCCGAACUAUUAUUUUCACCGAGACAAAGGAAAGUGCUUCUCAGCUUGCUGACUUGCUGCCUGGUGCACGGGCUUUACAUGGGGACAUACAGCAGUCUCAACGUGAGGUAAGUUGUUCAGCAGGAUUCUUCUUUUUUUGACAUGUUAUGAUGAAAGCAAAGGGUCAAUCAGUUUUUGAGCUUAUAUACCGUCUCUGCUCUGGCAACAUAUAUUUUCAGCACAUUCAAAGAAAACAAUGCUUGAUGAGCCAUCCAAUGCUCAGUCUUUCAAAAUUUUGCAGUAAUCUCUCAUUUGAAAAACUGUAGUUUUUGACAAGUUGCUUUAAUCAUGACUCAUGAAUGGAAGCAUGGUGGCUGCUGAAUUGUUUAUUUUAGCUAGUUUGCUAUCAAGUUGAAAUGAUUGAAAGAAACUAUCAUUUUCUGUUUAUGAGAAUCUUGUACACUAAAAAUAUUUGCUAAAGAACAAAAUCACUUGAUGUUUUUGUUUUGAUUUUUAAUAAUCAAUCGUGACAACUUUAUUGAAUUUGUGAUCUUGCAGGUGACACUUGCUGGGUUCAGGUCAGGAAAGUUCAUGACAUUAGUUGCCACAAAUGUGGCGGCACGGGGUUUGGACAUUAAUGAUGUGCAGUUAAUUAUUCAGGUUUGUUUGCAUGUAUUUUUGGGAGGCUUUAUGUAAUGUCUUUUUCUGGUAUAUACUUAAACAGACCUUUGUUUUUAGUGUGAGCCUCCUCGUGAUGUAGAAGCCUAUAUACAUCGAUCUGGACGUACUGGAAGAGCAGGUAUGAAAAUGUGCAUUUAUUUCCUGUUUUAAAUGCACACUGUUUCACGGAAUGCUGAGGUGCUUUUUUUUUUCAAUUUCCCACCCCCAACCCCCAGGCAAUACUGGAGUUGCUGUAAUGCUUUAUGAUCCUAGAAAGUCAAGUGUAUCUAAGAUAGAAAGAGAAUCUGGUGUGAAAUUUGAGCACAUAUCUGCUCCACAGCCAGCUGAUAUUGCCAAGGCUGCAGGUGUGGAAGCUGCUGAAACAAUAACCCAAGUUUCUGAUAGGUAUACUUGCUAUGUCAGUUCUUUAAUAUGCUUAAGUGCUGUAGGUUCCAUGGGUCAUUAAUACAUAUGAAUUGAUUGCAGUGUAAUUCCCGCUUUCAAGUCCGCUGCUGAGGAGCUGUUGAAUAAUUCUGGUCUAUCAGCAGCAGAGCUGCUUGCAAAAGCACUAGCCAAGGCUGUAGUAAGUGCUUUUCUUUUUUCUUCUUCCUCGAAUUCAUUAUCACUAACGUCAGGCACAAUGUGCUUUUUUCGGCUGACAUCUGAAUUUUGUAUAUUCUGAGCACUUCUUUCCUUAUUCACAGGGUUAUACUGAGAUAAAGAGUAGAUCACUUCUUAGUUCUUUGGAGGAUCAUGUUACAGUGGUUCUUGAAGCAGGAAAGCCCAUCUACACACCAUCGUGAGUUCCUAAAUUGUUUCUCAGUUUUUUAUUAUAUUUGAUGUCAACAUAUUUAAAACAUUAUGAACCCUACCACUUGAUUCAUAUGGAUCUUUUAUGGUGAAGCAUAUAAAUUGAUCUAGUUAGAGGAUUAUACAUUUCGCUGGUUUAACCUUCCAAAACUGGAUGUUGCUUUGUGAUGUCUGGAAUUGGUGAUUGGCUGAUUAUGGGCUGGUGUUCAUAGAUUGAUAUUUUUCCCUUAUGACCAUCGUGUUCUUAGACAUUUUGUGCUUCUAUCAUGAACAUUUGGGAAACAUGGCCUUGCUUCUCCAGAGAUAUUGGAUUCCUCCUCUUGCUAAUCUUUGAUUGCUGAUUGAUUUGAAGGAAUUGUAUAUGCAUACUUGUGAAAUAAUUUGUUCUGCGCUUUGUUAGUGGAAAUAUAAUUUUUCUCAGUUUGGGUGCCUAUGGCUUUUUUGUACACUGUUUUACUUUAUGAGUUGAGCCAUAACAUUUAUUUUUUAAUGGCAUCUGACAUUUUAUAAUAUCAUGAAUUAUAUUGCAGCUUUGCUUUUGGUGUCUUGAGAAGAUUCUUGCCUGAGGAAAAAGUAGAGUUAGUGAAGGGUAUGGCUCUGACCGCUGAUGGAAAUGGUGCGGUUUUUGAUGUACCAGUGGCAGAUUUGGACUUGUUUCGAUCUGGUACCUGACUGUUUUAUAAUUUGUUCACGAGUUAUUAAACAUAUUCAUGUAAUUCUUUGUGGUGUUUCCUCAACCUGGUUCCUCGUUUGCUCUCAAAGAGAGUAUUUUCUUGAUCAUGGUUUUGAUUGUGCUAUUCUCGUGAAAUUGCUUAAGUUUUCUUCUUUUAUUUCAAUUUUUCCUUUUGUCGCAGGUGCGGACAAUGCUGCUAACGUCAGCUUGGAAGUGUUGAAACAAUUGCCACCCUUGCAAGAAAGGGAACAGUCAAGAGGAAGAUUUGGUGGUGGUGGUCGUGGUGGCUUUGGUGGAAGAGGUGGUAACAGGUUUUCAGGUGGCAGAGGUGGUGGAUUUUCUGAUAGGAGAAAUGAUAGGUUCUCCGGUGGGUUUAGAGGUAGUAAGGGUCGUGGUGGUGGCAACAGAUGGUGAAGGACUUCAGCUGCCACGAAUCUUAUUCUGUUCAGUGACAGAAGUAUUUAUGGUAUAGGCAAAUUAAUUUUCUGAUAAUGAAGAAAAUAUAUGGGGCUGUAUCCAUGGAUUUCAUCCCUAGAUUGGCUCGAUAUAGUAUUUUUGCCCCCCUUUUUUUCCUCCAUUUAUUUUUAGGGUUAGGCCAAUAUUUGUUCAGGUUCUCGGGGUUUAUAACUACUCCCCAUGAUCCUUAAAUUUUGAUGAUAUUGUAAGAAGACGAUUACUGAUUUCUUCUAAUUUAAGCAGAAAAAAUUAGUGCAUUCUUGUUUUUGUUGUAAUCAGAAGGAGCCGAGUGGUUGUGAAAGUUUGGUCCAAAAUUUCUGCCAUUCGAAAAAUCAAAAUUUGCUCAAAUUGUAAUGUUUUUGAGUGAUGUAAACAGACCUCCUUGGAUAUCUCCGAUAACGUUUUUGGCUGCUUACCAUUUACCAUUAUUUAUUUAUUUAUUUGUAUAUUGCUAUUUUCAAAUAAGCAAGAACCCGAGGGAAACAAAACAGCAGUUGUGGAAGUAAAAUGAUGUAGUUCCAGCGGCCAUUCAUGUUAUGUUGCUGAGGGGACGCCACUAUGUGCUGUACAAUUUAGUUAAUCUAAUCAUAGCGAGUGAUACCACACGUAGUAGUGUUCAUUUGCCUGGUGGUCGUAUAAUCAUCACAUAUGCAAGACCAAUUCUAUUCCAAUAUUAAUAUUAUAUUCAGGUCAGCAAUGCUACAUAUAUUAUUGUAUUGUGCAAUUUUGUAAAUAAGAGGAAAAUUGAUUUUGUUAUUAUAAGGUCUAAUUCGGCGCCCAUACAAUCACCAAUGUGCACCAUUUUGCUUUAUAAAAUGACAAGAUUUUACCUGCAUAUUUUUAUCAUUUAUAAUUUAAUUAAUGAGUAAUGAUACAGCCACAAACUCUUGUAUAAACUUAUUUUGUACAAACUGAUGUGGCAUGAUAAGAUUGGUUGAAUUAAAUAUCACUUAGCCCACAUGAUUUAUUUUUAUUAAUUUAUAUUUUCAUUCAACCAAUGAAUUAAUGCCACGUUAGUUUGUACAAAAUAAGUUUGUACAAGAGUUUGUGGCUGUAUCAUUACUCUUAAUUAAUAAGGUUUUAUCUUUCUAUCACCCAAUAAUGGUUUAGUUAUACAUACACCAUUCUCUCUCUCUCUCUCCCAUUUUUUUUUUUUUAAGCAAAUAGUUUAAGUUUAAAUUGAUGCCUCACUUUUGACUCUUGUGACACAUUCACCCUUAACUGCCUUAGCAUUUCUUGCGCACCAAUUCAAUGACAUGCAUGCCCCCAUUUCACAUGAAGAGAUCCGAUUCAAUAGCCGACCCGGAAAAGACCCGACCGAACCCACCUGUCGACACAAAAACAGUCCCAUCGUUUCCCUCUUCUAGACACGUCUACUCUAUUCUACACUAAACUCUCCUACAUCUCUUCCCUCAAGCAUUACUUGAUUCUUAAUUGCAUCGUGCAUGUUUAUUAGUAAUCACACGCAUGGCUUAUUACAGAAGAGCAAAAGCCGCUCUCGAUGCCUUUCGCAAUCUUUCUUCGAAGGCUGUUCCUAAAUCUCCGGUCCAAGAAUCUUGCUCAAGAGUUUACUCAAAUGGGUCCGCAAAUUCAGCUAAGUUUUCUUCUGGGUUUUAUUCAUAUUCUUGUAUUUCUCAAAGACUAAGAAAUAGUUAUUGUAAUCCAAAUUUUAACACUGCUAAGAGAUAUUACUAUGUAGAUCGUUACCAUGUACAACAUUUUAGGCCACGCGGACCAAGAAAAUGGUUACAGAAUCCAAGAACUGUGUUUAUUGUUGUGGUUAUAGGUUCUGGGGCUUUUAUCACUUUGUAUUUGGGGAAUCUAGAGACCGUACCGUACACUAAACGAACCCAUUUUGUGCUUUUGUCCAAAGCUGUGGAGAGACAGCUUGGUGAGUCUCAGUUUCAGCAAAUGAAAGCUGCUUUUAAGGGCAAAAUAUUGCCUGCGAUACACCCGGAUAGUGUGAGGGUUAGAUUGAUAGCGAAGGACAUAAUUGAGGCUUUGCAAAGGGGGUUGAAGCAUGAGACUGUUUGGAGUGAUAUGGGGUAUGCAUCUACUGAGACUGAUUUUGUAAAUGAGGGGAGAGCAGCUCGUGAUACAUUAAGGGCGUUGAGUGAGAAUAGUGAAAGGGGAAAGACUGAGGGGAAAUGGCAUCAGGAAGAUGAGAUUCUUGAUGAUAAGUGGGUUCAGCAGAGUAGGAAGAAGGGACAAGAGAAGGGGUUACAGUCGGCAACUUCUCAUUUGGAUGGAUUGAAUUGGGAGGUUUUGGUCGUGAAUGAGCCUGUUAUUAAUGCUUUUUGCCUACCUGGUGGAAAGAUUGUGGUCUUCACAGGGUUGCUAGAGCAUUUUAGAACUGAUGCGGAGAUAGCAACCAUUAUUGGUCAUGAGGUAUAGAUAUAUUACUGGAUUUAUACUAGAUUGAUAAGGAUGCGUUCAUGGUUUAUGCCUGAUUUUCUAAUUAGGUUGCGCAUGCUGUGGCCCGACAUGCAGCCGAGGGGAUUACAAAGAAUCUGUGGUUUGCCAUUUUACAGCUGAUUCUGUAUCAAUUCGUUAUGCCUGAUGUUGUCAACACAAUGUCAACGCUUUUCUUGAGGCUUCCUUUCUCUCGCAAGUGUGUUUCUUUGUUUAUUCUCUCGAACAGUUUUUGGAAUUUGUGGGCAUGUUUGCUUGUUUUUGUGAUAUGAUGAUGUUUAAAAAUUACAAUUAGGCUUGCGCUGUCUAUUGAUUAACGCUGUCAAUCUUGUUGAGAAAAUGGCUGUAUAGGAACCUAGUGGAUUAGCAUGACACAUUCUUUUUACCAGUAUUUUUUAUUCUUUUUGUUUCACUUAUGUCUGGCGGCAAUGAAUAUGCGUCAGCAUUCAUCCAGUGCUCUUAUUACCACUUACCCAAAAACCCAAAAAAGAUAAAAAAGAUUACCCAAAAAAAAAAGGUUUUAGAACUUCUGAUGCGAUAACAUUAUGAUAGGAAUUUCUCACAUCUCAACUGUCAUUUGGCAUAUUAUCUUACCUGAUCUGGGGAAAACCUUCUGUCUUAAUUAGCUUAUGGAUGAUUUGCAUCAGAAGAAGGGUUCUUCCAGGGAGUAUCCCUUUUUUUUCAUGGGGAUUUUUAUGGUUCUGUCUAUAGAAAGGAGUAAAAUGUUUUUAAGGAGUAGAAGUGCAUCCUUAGACUGCUGCGGGAAGAAUUAGUUCUCUUGUAGCUUUUUGAUGCUUGGGAUUCUACAGUUUAUAGAACAAGGAUCUAACAAUGAUUUACAGUAAUAGUAUGCAAAUAUGUUUAGAUAACUGUUAACCUUGGCUGUGUCAAAUUCUUCCUCUAGUCUAUUUCUAAUAUCUCACACAAAUAUUAAGUAGAACUGGACUGUAAGACUUCUGUGAGUCUCAUACUGGAAUUUACUGCUUCUUUUGUCAUUUUCCUGAAGCUUGUUGUGAACAUUUAUCACGGUGUUCUGCUCUGUAACAGUCAUCUGUUUAUGUUCCAUUUGUAGGUUUGGAUUGUGAUUCUUAUAUUUAUUUAAGUACCAUUUGGAGCUGAAAGCUUGCCAGGUCAUAAACACUAAAAACUGGAAGAGUUUUUGAUAAUUUACCCUCGGCCAUGAUUAUAAAAAGAAGAAGCUAUUAAACUGUUGUGAGUGGUCAACAUAGGACCCUUCUGAAAUGUCCUUGAAACUAUUCAAGAAACAUAUUGCUGAAACAAAGUUUUCAUAGCUUGAGUAAAACUUGACUUCAACCAAGCUGAUCCUUGGUAAGAUUAUCAAGUUGCAUAGAGUUCAAAAAACUUGCUCUUGAACUCAAGACUAGGACGUAACCUUUUUCUCUAAUUUUUCUAGAAAAAGUUAUUGUGAUAUAUAUAUAUAUAUAUAAAGGCAUACGAUGUUAUGCAUACGACCACUACACUACACUAAAGCUCCUGGGUGAAUACUCUGGAGGUCUGAGUUUGUUCCCAAAAAGUAAAUGAGUUUAACAUUGAAUUCAAGCUAGGUUCCUCUGUUAGGUGAAUUGAUCAGAAUCAAAAUCUUGUCGAGCUUGAACACAAAUAGUUGAGAGCUUGGUUUAUUUAUAUCCCAAUUUUGUUUGUAGUUGAUCAAUCCCAUUAAUAGUAAAUCCAUAGCCCUAAGAGACUUCCUCUAGUAUACCAACAUUUAGUUGAGAGUAAAACAGGCAAUCUUCCAGUUCUUAAGUACUCUGCCUAGUCUUGCUUUUUUAUUCUCUGGGUGAAAUAUAAUUUUCUUCAACUCAUUAUCUUGCUGGGAGUCAUUGAUUCACUCGAUCUGCUUUGAGCACUCAUUCAGUCCGCUGAACCUUAUGUACUUGUUUGCCUGUAAAACCUUAGAGUAGUCGUCUGACAUUGUGCUCUAUGCUGUCCAGUAGGUCUAAUUUAGUUGCACUCAUUUUGUAAGAUCUAUUUCUGGAUGGAGCACUGAUAUUUGAACCCCAUCAAGACAAAAAAGGGGAUACUGUUCAUACUAUAGUAUCACUAUAGCACAUAGAAUGGUAGCACUGUUCAAACAACAGUUCCAUCAUUUCUGUCAUGAUAGUGUUUUGUUGGUGGCCAAUAUCAUUUUUCAUUCUGGAUGAGGAACAUCCCUCUGUUCAAACAAAUUCUGCAAAUGUUAAUUUUUUAAUUCCCUUUUUUUAUGAAGAUGCUUUUGAGAUGGUUUCUUGUCAUUCUAUUGAACAUUUAUCUCUAUUACUCUACAUCCUCUUACUUUAGUUUUGUGACUUUACUCAACUUUGUGAUGUACUUACUUACAUUGUUGAAACUGACUAGUUUGUGUUCAACACACAGACCAAGAUGGCAAGAUGCAUUUGAAGAUCUUUUGUCUUGCAAGUGCUGACUCAGUAUUAUCUACUGUCUUAUCUGAUAGGAUGGAAAUGGAAGCAGAUUAUAUAGGGCUGCUUUUGAUCGCGUCCUCUGGCUAUGAUCCUCGUGUGGCGCCAAAAGUUUACGAGAAGUUGGGUCAAAUUGCAGGCGAUUCAAAGCUAAGAGAUUAUCUUUCUACCCAUCCAUCUGGAAAGAAGAGAGCUCAGUUACUGGCCCAAGCUAAAGUCAUGGAAGAAGCACUCGCCAUCUACAGGGAAGUGAAAGCAGGAUAUGGGAUUGAAGGUUUUCUUUAGGGCACCACAAACCACACAUGCUCUGAAGCCGUGUUCUCCCCCAAUCACCGUUUUCACAGAAUUUUCUUUUUCGUUGAACCUUUUGAUUUGCUAGUUUUUGGGUUGUGCCCAUCACAUGGUCAAGAAAUUUACGAUGAUGUUUUCUAGCCAUGGAUAAUGAUGCAUGCCAUUGACCAUGGACCUUCGACAUGUCACACAUAUAUAUAAUUACGAGAAAUAUUCGAUCAAAGGGGUUAUUCAUAUAAUCUAAGAACAUAUAAUGUAAUUAUGUCUCAAGUCUGACUACGUCUUAAACAAAAUGCUUGCAAUAUGCUGCAAAUCCAGGGAGCAAUCACUGAAUCAUCAUUCUACAUCCAUGAGCAGAAUUUACGAUAAACAGUCACUCGUCAACAUCUCUUGCAUUUUGAACUAACAAUAACUGAAAUGAAACCAAUAUAAUUGGACUAAGUGCUUGAUUUGCAGCAUUCUUAAGUUACAUGACAAGAACAAUAAAUUGAUCAACUUUUGAAAAUUUGAUGAAAAAUAAACAAAUCAAGUAUAUUAUUAACAGGAAAAAAAUACUGUCUCUAAUAUAUUGAAAUUAUAAAUUUGUCAUGUAGUUAGGCGUUCACGCUAGCAAUCUCUAAAUUUUUGAAUUUUUUUUUUUUUAAAAUAAGGUAAAAAUUAAAAACUUUUCCGGAUGUGACUAAAUUUAUUUUUCAAGGCAAGCCCCCAAUUUUAUUGACAUCUAUAUGGUAAUUUGCAACAGCGCUAUAUUCUUUUUGUGAAAUAACAAAAAGAAGUCGGCUUCUCAUGGUUCACUUAAUCCGUCGCCAGUGUCAAUGUCCAAGAAACUUCAAAUGGUCAGUUAUUCAUUGUUGAAUUCUCCCGCCAAAGUUUCACCUCCUAACAAAGAAUCCACUAAGCUUAUUCUCAGAAAUGCAAUCGAUGAAUGCAAGAACAUGAGAGAGCUAAAAGAGAUACAUACCCAAAUCAUAAAAUCUCCAUGUCUACAAACAAACGAUCACCAUUCCCUCAUUACCCGCCUCCUCUUCUUUUGCGCCUUAUCUGUUUCUGGCUCUCUAAGCUACGCCACCAAUGUUUUUAGUCACAUAAAAAGGUCUGAUCUUUAUACAUAUAACAUCAUGAUCAGAGCCAAUGCGUGUAAAUCCAGUGAAACAAAUGAUACCCAUUCGGGUAAAUGUCUGAAACUGUACAAGCAAAUGCUUUGCACUGGCAUUUCACCUGAUUGCCUCACGUUUCCAUUUCUUUUAAAAGAAUGUACUAAGAGGCUUGAUGGUCUUGUAGGAGCUAGUGUUUACGGCCAAGUUGUUAAAUUUGGAGUGUGUGAUGAUGUUUUUGUGCAAAAUUCUGUAAUAAGUUUGUUCAUGGCUUGUGGGUUUGUGACUAGUGCAAGGAUGUUGUUUGAUGAAAUGUCGAAUAGAGAUGUGGUUUCUUGGAAUGCCAUGAUUAUUGGCUAUUUGAGAAGUGGGGAUCUCGAUGUCGCAUUGGAUUUGUUCAGGAGGAUGAAGAAGAGAAAUAUUUUUUCUUGGAAUUCGAUUAUUACGGGGUUUGUUCAAGGCGGCAGGGCAAGGGAGGCAUUGGAACUUUUUCAAGAAAUGCAAAGUUCAAGUGUUGAGGAAAUGGUUAAACCAGAUAAGAUUACUAUUGCUAGUGUACUUUCGGCCUGUGCUUAUCUUGGUGCUAUUGAUCAUGGAAAAUGGGUGCAUGGUUACUUGAGGAGAAGUGGACUUGAUUGUGACGUGGUUAUUGGCACAGCGUUGGUUGAUAUGUAUGGUAAAUGUGGUUGUGUGGAAAGAGCUUAUGGAGUCUUUAAGGAAAUGCCUAAGAAGGAUACCUUGGCAUGGACAGCAAUGAUUUCUGUGUUUGCGCUUAAUGGGUAUGGCAAGGAGGCUUUUGAUACUUUUAGGGAGAUGGAAGCAGAAGGGGUGAGGCCGAACCACGUGACAUUUGUUGGGCUCUUGUCGGCUUGUGCUCAUUCUGGUUUAGUAGAGAAAGGUCGCUGGUGUUUUGUCAUGAUGAGGCAUGUUUACUUGGUGGAACCACAUGUCUACCACUAUGCUUGCAUGAUCGACAUUCUUAGUCGAGCUGGUCUCUUUAGUGAGGCAGAGCGGCUUAUAAGAAGCAUGCCAAUGGAGCCAGAUGUGUUUGUUUGGGGUGCAUUGCUUGGGGGCUGUCAAAUGCACGGAAAUGUGGAGUUAGGCGAAAAGGUAGCUCAAUAUUUAAUUGAUUUGGAUCCUCUAAACCAUGCUUUCUAUGUGAACUUGUGUGAUAUGUAUGCCAAAGCUGGUAGAUUUGAUGAUGUAAAGAAAACUAGAAACUUAAUGAAAGAAAGAGGAAUUAGAAAGGAAGUCCCUGGCUGUAGCUCGGUCGAAGUAGAUGGGGUUGUUCAUGAAUUUUCGAUGAAAGGGUCGCCUAAGGUUGUGAAAGAGGAGCUUGUGUUGAUCUUGAAUGGAUUAAGUAAAAUUAUGAAGAAUGGAGGUUUUGGGCAGUAUAUCAGAGGGUUAUCGAUGGAGGCACAGGUUUCAUGAUGAGGUUGCUGAUCUUCCAGCAAAUUGUUAACUUAUUUUUGAACUGGGAACCAUCAAUUAUCUAUGAAUGUUCUCAAUCUUUCUACGUAAACCUUUGAGCAUAUACCUGAGAGGAAUUUCUUUUUUGGAAGAAAUCUCAAAAGGAUUUGUGGAGUUUUUUCUUAUUCUCUUUGACGACAUCAGGUAAACGUAAGACUCAAAAUUCAGAGAUCAUAUACAAACAACCAUUCUUGUUACAAGUUUACAUUAGAAGCACUCAAUCUAGCUGGGAAAUUCUGUAAAUCAAGAUUUUGUAGAAGUUAUUACAUUUUUUAAAAUUAUCUUAAUUUUCUAGUCCCAAAGAUUCUAUCCUAUAUUUGUCAAAUAUUAAGUGUGAAAUAUGUAUCUAUUAAAUGCAUGGACUAAAAUUUAAUUGUUCACUCUAAAUACAUGUACUGAUAUAAGAUCCAUAUGUGCUGCCUAAUCAACAGAUUUCGUGUUCAUGCCCUUGAUAGUCCAAAUAUAUCAUUAAUCACUCUGACCUGUGCUAUCUUCCAAAUGGUAAUUAUAAUAUAUCUGAUUGUUUACAGUUUGAUCCCUUAAUGGGUGCAAAUCAACUGUUUAUAUUAAUGAAUUCCUUCGUCAAUAUCAAUCACUUUCAUUUGUUUGAAUACUAUUUACAUCUCAAAACAUAACUAAUAGAAUAAAAUCAAAUAAUCAAACAUCAGCUGAGGAUGCACGCUAUGCUGAAAACCAACUUCUAUAGGUAAUGCCAAGCGGAAGAAAAGCUUUUAUAGAAUAUUAUGCUGAAACUGCAAUUCAUCGACGGUCCCAAUGAGCAAAUUUUGAGUAUAUGGCAUUUUCGAGUAUAUCCCAUGUGUCCACUUAUAUCUUUAUGCUAACGAUGCUUUCUAUAAGAAAUUAAAACCUACAACUCUUACUAAAAAUCAGUUUCUAGAUCAUAAGUAGAAUGUUUUCUACUAUGGGUGCUCUCCUUUUUGCUUCUCCCAUGAUUUUCUUGCUUUGGGGAUUAUUUGUUUCAGCCUCUAUUGUUUCAAUCAUGUUUGGGGUUCUAAUCUUCUUGGUGGCACUACUCACUUUUAAAUAUCUAUUAUUUUACAUAAAAGAAUUGAUCUCUGAGGAUCAACGGCCUCCAGUUGCAGGUCUAAUGUUAAAUCUGCUCAUACACUUUUCUAGACUUUUUGAUUACCAAACGUCACUUGCUAAGAAGUAUCGUACUUUUCGUUUACUUCAACCAUCCUGUAGUGAAAUUUUCACUACCGAUCCAGUUAAUAUUGAACAUAUUCUAAAAACUAACUUCUCCAAUUAUGGAAAGGUAAUAAAAUUCCAUGAGCUCACUAAAAUUUCUUUGCUGUUUCAAAAAUGAAAAAUGGCUUUACUAGUCAGUUGAUUUUGAAAUUUGGAUGUCAUGAUAUUUCAGGGCGACUAUAACUGGAAUUUGAUGAGAGAUCUCUUCGGUGAUGGGAUAUUUGCGGUGGAUGGAGAUAAAUGGCGCCACCAAAGGAAGCUUGCAAGUUAUGAAUUCUCAACAAAAAUCCUGAGAGAUUUCAGUUCUGCUGUUUUUCGAGCUAAUGCUGAAAAGUUAACUUCAAAAUUUUCUGUUGCAGCAGCAGCAAAACAGGCUAUAGAUAUGCAGGUUUCUAUUUUACUAGAAUUGAUAUCUUUGUGCUUGUUAUAUAGUUGAUUGGGUGGUUUCAAAGAUGUACUUCUAAAUAGAAAUAUAUUGACAACUUUCUGAAGUUUAAUGACUGCAGUUCAUGAAAAUUAAGGAAACCAUUUUUAAAGAAGUUCUAGAAUGAAGAGCUAACUGCUCCUUAUUAGAAGUUAUGAGGUGUUGUCAUCAUACUCUGACGAAGAUGAAAUAUGCUGAAAUGAAAUACAUCACUACUUGGAUCUUCAAACUCAGUAUUCCUUGAAUUUGAUUUCGAGCCCACCUGAAGUUUAUACAACUCACACUCGCUAGUGGAUUUACUUUCCUUGAAUUUUGCAGGAUGUGCUGUUGAAGUCCAGUCUAGAUUCAAUAUUUAAGGUCGGGUUUGGAGUCGAGUUAAAUUCUCUAUCUGGUUCGGAUGAUUUUGGAAAUCAGUUCACGAAGGCCUUUGAUGACUCCAACUUUAUUGUGUACUGCCGAUACGUUGAUGUAUUCUGGGAACUCAAACGGUAUCUCAACAUUGGCAUGGAAGCCUCCCUCAAGCGAAACAUCAAACUCAUUGACAGCUUCAUUUUUGAACUGAUUCGUUGCAAGAGGGAGCAGAUGAAAAAUGUAGAGCUUGAUGUGAGUAAUUUUUUCUUGAAUACUGAUGCAUUUUUCUAUAUUUAGUACAUAUUUUCUGAAAAUUUUCUGCAGAGCAGAGGGGAAAAGAAGAUAUACUAUCAAGGUUUUUGCUGGAGAGUGAGAAGGACCCAGAAAGCAUGACUGAUAAAUAUUUGAGAGACAUCACUCUCAAUUUCAUCAUAGCAGGUAAAGAUACGACAGCGAACACACUGACUUGGUUCUUUUACAUGCUCUGUAAACAUCCUUUGAUUCAAGAGAAGGCUGCACUGGAUGUGAGAGAAGCAACUGAAGCUCAGGGCAACUUAUGUGCUGAUGAAUUUGCAAAGUUGGUGACUGAAGCUGCCUUGGAGAAGAUGCACUAUCUUCAUGCCGCUCUGAGUGAAACACUCAGAUUGUAUCCAGCUGUUCCUGUGGUAUUUUCUCGUGUCACUAACAACUAUUUUAUUUUCACCGAGCCUAAUCUCCUUUGGUCACCAGCAGCUACUAUAUGUAGGCACAAAGGACUUAUGGUCCUUCCAUGACCUUUAACUUUUUCCUCCUAAACACAAAAGAUAUAACUGCUAAGCUUCAUGUAUGAAUCCCAGCUUUUACUAUGAUUAUACAUCAUGUACGAAUCUCAAAUGCCUCCCUCAAUGUAAUAACUUUCUCAUUGAUCAACCAACGAAAAAAAAAAAAGGGAACACAAAGUAGCAAACCCCUCGACCCAAGAAAUGUGAGAGUGAAACGGGAGUGGGUGCGGGGUAGUGCUAGGCAUUAGCUCUUGAAACUGUUUGCCAAUGUUAUUCUAAUGACUUGUAAAAAGCAGAAGUGUUUACCCUUUCCUCUUAUAAGAACCCCAAUUAAAACUCAUUGCAGGAUGGAAAAAAUGCAGCAGAAGAUGAUAUUCUCCCCGAUGGUUUCAAAGUUAAGAAAGGGGACGGCGUGAACUACAUGACCUACGCCAUGGGUAGGAUGACCUACAUUUGGGGUGAGGACGCAGAGGAAUUCCGCCCAGAAAGAUGGCUUGUUAAUGGCGUUUUCCGAUCAGAAAGUCCUUAUAAGUUUGCCGCAUUUCAGGUCUAUAUAUAUAUGACAUUUUUUCCAUCUAAAUUUACAAUCGCCUGAUUCAUCUUACUCAAUGGCUCUUUUGUUCUAUUAUAGGCCGGCCCUCGAAUUUGCCCUGGAAAGGAAUUUGCUUACAGGCAAAUGAAAAUCUUGGCAGCUGUUCUCCUCCAAUUCUUCAGAUUCAAACUUGUGGAUGAGACUAAGGAAGCUACUUACAGAACCAUGUUCACACUUCACGUGGAUAAAGGGCUCCAUCUAUAUGCUUAUCCAAGAUAGUAACUUUGGAUUAUUUAUUAAAAAAUGUGAAAGGAAUAUUUAAGAUAGUAGUCUUUUAAAAUUAUAUAUAUUUUUCUGGUUUGAGUUGUGUUACUCGUGAUAGAAAUUUUAAUAGAAUCAAAUCCAAAUUUAAACUGGAAUAAAGAAUUCAAAAACUGCAUGGUUUAUUUUGGAUAUAAGUUUUGGAAUAUAAAUUUAACUUUUACAAUUUGUCAGUUUUGCAUGUGUCAAUUUUUUUUGGCUUGGCCACUUCAUUAUCAUAUUAUUAUUACGAAAAAAAAAAAAUUACUCCCAAGGCAUUUCGGGAGAGAAACGAGUACUACUAAUGUAAUUGCAACAUCGGAAAUUUCAAUUGCAGUUAUGCUUUAUCACUUUAUGCUUUUUGUGAACUUUUUAUUACAUAAGACAAACAGAUCAUAUAACAUCAGAACAUGGGCGUGGCCCUCCAGCACAUGCAAACAGAAGAGAAAAAGGUUCAUGUAGAAGCCACACGUGAUUCAAGUUAAUGACUGCCGAUUUGGGUGCCAAUAAGGGUCAAAAUGCAAGCCAAUUGAAGAAAUUAAAGGCACUGCCCUCGAUUCCUUUAUUUUGAUCCUCACAACGUGCCCAUCUAUCACUCCAUUUUCAAGCCUGUGAAGUUUCUUGUGCCCCACUGUGGUUCCUUCUGCCACUAACUUACCAUCCACAAAAAUUUCAUGCCGUUUGAUUCUUUGACCAAGCCCAAUUGCCUCUUGAAUCCUGAUCACAUUGAAUCUCAGCCCUUCAUCCGCUGCCCUAAUUUCAAUCCAGUGGUCAUCACUUUUUCCAUCACCAUCUCUUGGAGCCCAAUAUGUCCGCAGAUGAUCAUCAUCUAGCACAUUUUCGGGUCCAAAGCCACCACCUUUGCCUGCUCUUUGGCUACUAGCUUUCACAAAGCAAUUUUCAGCUAAAUUUUUAGAAAAUAUUGUGUCGAUUGCUGUUCCAAAUUCUCUGAGUCUCUGAACAUCAGUUUCGGAUAUCAGCCCGGUUGUAUUGGGCGGCACAUUGAGCAGCAUCACACAAUUUCUUCCCACCGAGUUAUAGUAAAUCUCAAGAAGCUCACUCAAUUUCUUGGGUGUUUCGGAUUUAUGCCAAAACCACCCCUUUCUAAUUGAAACGUCACAUUCUGCUGGCAACCAAUCUGUCCCUUUCGCAUCGCCAGUGCUUAGAUAGCUGCAAAAUUAUUAAUAAAGCUGUUUAAUUAGUUCCCCAUCAGCUCAGCCGACCCGAAAAAGUGCUCAUUUUUUUAACUUUUGUUUCACGUGCACACUCAACUAAUUGAGAUAACAACAAAAAAUAAAGUCACUUUACGAAUUUUCGCUUCUAGCGUUGACAAUUGUAGUACAUAGCCAAUGAGGUAUAGAAAUUGUGAUCCACUAAUCAACCCGAUGGUGGGUUCAAAUAGAAUUCAUUAGUGGGAUGUAUAUUUUUGUUCAAAGUAUAGAAUAUGAGCAUAAUGUAAUAUUGUUUAGUAUAGGACUCCAAAUCUUACAAUAGAAAAUCUUAUCCCUUUAAGUUUUUGUUUUUAAUUCUCAACUAAUAAUAAUAUUACAUUAAAACCAAGAGUGCCAGGAGCGAAAAAUUUAAGAAUAUAACGUAACAAGAGAGAAGAUUGUUAACUUAUUUUUUGAGGAGUUUCGGAUGAUAAUAUUUGUUGAAAAUUACUGUCAAUAUUUUACUAUAAACCUUUUGAAACGCACCGAUUUUGCUACUAAUAAUUCACAACCAAAAGCGAUAAGUAAACCACUAUGUAAAUUUCAAUAGACACCGACACCACGCAAAAGUUCAUGUGAAGACAAUGGCUUUAAUAGAAGCACUCACUCAACAAUGCUUCCAUUUCCGAUUGACAGUGAAGUUCGAUUUAUCGUGGACCAGCAAGUGCUUCCGGCGAAGCCCUUUUCAUUACCAACCCAUCUAACGUCGGGACCGGCGUCGGAGAAAAUGUUAAUUGAGCUCUGCAGCUCCUUCACCAUCGCAAACCAAUCUGUAAAAUAAUAUGACAUGUUUGGCGCAUUUGAACCUUUUGCUCCAUCAAACCAAAUCUCCCUCACAUCCCCAUAUCUUUACAAAAAAAAAAAAAAAAAAAAAAAUCAUGUGUCAAUUAAAUUACAUAACAACAAGUGAAUUAAUUAAUUAACCAUCUUUUUUUUUUAAUGAUACAUACCUUGUGAGCAAUUCUUGCAACUGAGCUAAAUAAUAUUCAUUGUAUUGCAAGUCAUGACCAUAUCUUGGAUCAUGGCGAUCCCAGGGUGAUAAAUACAACCCCACAUCGACUCCACGGGCUUUAGCCGCAUUGACAAGCUCUUGCACGACGUCGCCGCGUCCAUGUUUCCAGGGACUAUGAGCCACAGAAUGCUCAGUAAAUUUCGAAGGCCAAAGGCAAAAACCAUCGUGGUGUUUUGCUGUCAGAAUCAUCAGCGAAACCCCAGCUUCAGCCGCUGUGUUAACCCACUGGUUUGCAUCUAGCCCCAAGGGAUUGAAUAUCUCAGGAUUUUCAUUGCCGGUUCCCCAUUCUGAGUCAGUGAAUGUGUUCACUCCGAAAUGAAGAAACAUUAUCAGCUCCCUUUGCUGCCAUUUGAGUUGUGAAAAUGAAGGAAGUGGUGACAGAGGCAAUGGUGGUGUUGGUACUUGUUGGCGUUUUGAACUUGCUAAAUUUGUGAGUUGAAACAAUAUUGUUAUUAAGCACACAAAACAACAUAGCUUGGGCAUAUUAAUCCCCUGGGGUUAUUGUUUUAAGCUUAAUCUUCUUCUGGUUUGUCUAUCUUAUAUGUUAAUGAAUGAUUGAGAGAAACAAAAGAGAUGGGUUUGAAUGAUAAGAUAGGGGACCAAACAAAGAAGGGUGGUAGAUUCUUUGAACGUAACCAAGCCAAAAGAGAAACAAAAGCUGACAAUGCGUUAUCUUUUGAUUCGAAUUUUGUUUGAUUCUUUUCUUUUUUUGGUUUUUCAAUUGUUUUGCUGUGGCGAUGAUUCACGAGUUGGCAAUUAAUUGUGUAUUACCUCUAAUAAUCCCCUCAGGUUUUCGUGUGAAGUGCAUAAUAUAUAUAUAUUGUAAGUUAAGCGUUAGAAAUGAAAAUUUUAAGCGACGAGUAAAAGUACCGUAGGAGUAAAACAAAACAUUUGAAAAUUUUUUCACGGAAGAAUUAAAAAGCCAGCAUUUUAGUUGCAAUCAGUAUCAAUUUGGGCCGUGUAUGGCAUGGAGGAGCUGUAAUAACGAUAUUUAAUUAGAGAAUUGUAAUAUUAAAUAAUUUAUGUAUAAAUUGAGUUAAGCAGGUUAAUUUAUAGAAAGCAUAAAUUGAACUCAAGUACUCAAUCUUGAUUUCUUUCUACUUUCAUAAAUAAGGUGAAAAUGGCCCUUAAAAUCUAUACACUUAGAUUUAUUGACAUCUGAAAGCAAUAUUUUUCUGAAAAAGAAAAUGUCCUGCUGUACCGUACAUCCGCCUUGGCCGUACAGCAGAAAUUAAUUUAUUUAUAGUAAAUAUAAUUUUUAAAUAAUAGUUUUAAUAAAAAUAAUAAAGAUAUUUUAUAUUUUUAAUUAUACAAGUGGUAGAUCAAAUCAACUUAAAUUUAUAACUAAUAAUUACUAAACACUUUAAUAUUAUAGUUUUUCAAUUACAAUUGUUAAAUUUAAUAUCAAACAGACCCUUCAUAUAUAUGGUUUCUAAUUUCUAUUAGAAGUUGAGUAAUGCACACGCACACAUCUGUCUGGGAUUAUCUUUCAAGAAAUCAAUAUUUUAAUAGAUAUCAUAUCUGUGGAAUCUGUCUGAAGUAAUAAUAUAUUAAAGAAGAAUAAGCCUUGCCUGUUCAUUCCGUUAACAAUAUUCACCUUAAUAGAAAGUCUACUUAUUCAAUCUGAUCCCUUCUUUAGCUUAUUUAUUCAAAUUAUAUAUAUUCUCAAACAGUUGCGUCAUGCUUGAGGUUCUCGUUCCCAAGUUACUAAUUUUACAAUAAUAUCAGGGAUUUGAAUAGUUGAGUCUUAAUUUGAAUUUGAAUUAUUAUGCAUUAUUUAUUUAUUAGAUAGUGAAUUUUAUAUGGUAAAAUUAAUAUUCUACCAUUCAAUAACUGAAUGUUACAUCAGUUAAGACUUGAUCAUUGGAAUUCUUAACAUUAUUCUUAUUUUAUAUGUAAAUAAAUUAUUGGAACAACAAUAUAUGAUUGAAGAUUCUUUGUUAACUCACUCUAGUUUCAAAUCUUAGACAACUGUCAAGAUGAAUUAUAUUUUACAAGUCCUAUUGGGUUUUUUAAAAUAAUAUUUUGAAAAUAAAUAAAAAAAAUCCCAACAAAAACAAACAAAAAAUUUGAACCAAAUUCAUAUUUCACUGAUGUAGCCAAGUUAUAUAGAAAUGGAAGAGUGAUGUUAUACUUGCUUAGUUUAUAUUAUAAUUGAUGCGUCACUUAUAAAAAUUUCAUCAUUUGUAUUAAAAAUGAUAAAUGCAUUAUCACUUGAGCCAAUCAUGUAGUGACAUAUCAUUUGUCACAUCAGUUGGGAUACAAUCUAAGUAUCUUAAAUAGGUAAGCAUAGCAUUUAUAAAAAAGAAAUUACAAUAGUUAAUUGUGCAAUAAAGUACAAUUUCUGAAGCAAUUUUAUUUUAUUUUUGAAAGAUAAAGCAAUUUUAUUUAGUUGCUUUUCUAAAUUCAAAUUCUAAAAAGAUACAAAGGUAAAAAACUAAUCUAAGCUAUUCAUCCCUCUAUCUUUUUUAGAAAUAAACAUAAAAGAAAUUGAUAAGAGGUUAACUAAGAAAACAAAGUCUGUUCAAUUAGAAUUUUUAAAAGAUACUAUCUUUGCUUUCACACUAGGACACUUGCUUAUUUACAAUAACUGUGUGUAUACUUAAACAAAGAGUAAUUCAGAGACAUUGUUUUAUUGUUCGUUGCUUUGCAAGUAAGAGAGGGGAAAUUAGGUUUUGGUUUGGGUUGUUCGAGUUUAGAUGGUUGGGUUGGAGAAUUGAACCCAAUUAAGUUCAAAACGUGAUCUCAAACUAAAUCAAACCAAAAUUAAUUUGGUUCGAUUUGGUUUGAGUUCGCUUUUCAAAUUUAUUCAUUUUGAAAAUUUAGGUCUAAAUUUUGUAUUAGGUUCAAUUCGGGUUACAAUAGUUUAUUUUUCCCACAUCCGCUAGCAAACAUCUAAAAUUCCGAAAGUCUCAAAUCCCAGCCCAAAUCAAUAUAAAAUAAAAGCAAAUAUCAACUACUAAUCAUCCUCAACAUUUCAACAAGCCUUUUUAAAAAGUUUAAGCUUAAUAAAACAUAAAAUAAAUAAAUAAUGAUUACAAUAAAGCCACUAAGGUUACAUCUCCAAAUGACAAACAUGAUUAAUAAUCCAUCUCCACCAACAUAUAUCUAGAUGACAAAUAUGUAAGUUUAAUAAUCUAUCUUCACUAGCAUAGCACUCAAGACAACAGUUCUAGAUCACUAAUAAUUAACCACCACCAAUCGAGCAUCAAUGGAUAAGUAAUAAUUGACAUUGAGUUGAAUCACUUAAUAUGCCUUAACAAGGUGUAAUAUUCUCAAUAUGACUAUACGAGUGCUACCAUUCUGCACUCAAUACGCCUAAUAAUGUGUAAUCCCAAUACUAGUAUACUAGUACUACCUGAUAACUCUAUGAAAUGAGAGUUAUCAUGAUACUUUUAUACUUGAAUCAUUAUUACUUAGAGAGUAAAUAAUAUGUUUUUAUUGCAUUUUAGUUUUAUUUUGCAUGAAUAAUCAUUUUAGUUUAUUUUUAACAAAUUGCAUUGUUUUAGAAUAAUUUUGUGUGCUUAGAUUGUGUGCAUAAUUGUAGGUGAUUGGAAGCUCAAAUUUCAACGAAGGAAUGCUAUUGCAAUAGGCUUGCAAAAGAUGAAAAAGAACUUAGUUACAGAAGAAUUGAAACAAAUCUGGAACUAUGCAAUUGUUGUAGCCGUUGCUGUAGUAAUGUUGCUGUAACAACCAAUGCUGUAGCAAUCCUAGAACAACGAUAGAGAAAAUUUUGCUCGAGAUACUCAGAAUAUUGUGAGCCUUAGGCUUCAGUUUACCCUAAUUUUCAUUUAUAAAAAGAGCACACAUCAUAAAGAAAAUGAGGAGCCGUCACCCAAAUGGAAAAACCAGAAAGAAACAAAAGAAAAACAGAAUUUAAGAGAGAGAUUGAGAGCUGCAGAAGAGGAGAAUUUGCAGAAAUCAAUCGGGAACUCAAUCCUUCUUAUUAUUCUCUUAUUUUAUUGUUUAUCUUUUAGUUAUGAGGAUGUGUUUGAUGGCUGAAACUUUGUUCUUUAUUUUUCUUUUCAAACCAUGAACUAAAUUUAUUUGUGAUUGAGUGAUAAACAAUCUUGAUGGUUUAUUGAUUGAAUAUAUGUGUUGUUGCAUGUUUGCUAUAACAUUUUGUUUUGAUAGUAUUUAUUUCUAUUUAUUAUUUCGGUUGAUCACCCAUUUAAUGAUAUUAGUUAAGAAAGAGUCACAAAAGUGCCUAUCUUAGUGGAACAUAUCAGAGUAAUACUUGGUUUUAGAUUGAGUUUCCUAGGUUGAGUUUAACUCGAGUCCAAAAGGGUUAUGCUUAAUUUAAAAUUAGUGAUGAACUAGACAUAGAGAUUCACUUUGUAGGGUAAUUAGAACUUAAGCGUGUAAUGCUAUAUCUUAUGUUGGCAUAACAAUUGAUUACUAUUAGGCUGCAUAUGGAUAUAAGAUAUCCAACAUGCGACAACUGAGGAUACAUAAAGAUUCUGCCCAAUGCUGUAGCAGAUACUGUAGCAACCGAGUCAAACAUUAGAAAAAUUGUCAAAAUCAUUAAGUGAAUUUAAUCACUCAACUACUCAUUUAUUAUUGAUUGCAUCUUUGUGUUUGAUUUAAGAUUUCAUUUGUUGUAUUUUUAAUUAAGUUAGUUUAUUAGUUUCUUUAAUUAUUUUAUUUUAAUUUAAUUUAAUCUAAACUACACUGUUAGAAUUGUUGUAGCAAAUCCAAUAACAUCAAUCCCUGUGGAGACGAUUUUGAAUACUCAUCAUUAUAUUACUUGUUAUGUACACUUACACAUUGACACCAAUAACAUUAGAAUUUAUACCAACACUAUCAUUAUGCACUAUGAUUUUGCCUAAAUGUUUUAAGUAGCGUUUACAUUUUAGAUUGGAGUGGAAAUCUUAAAAUUGGGAGUGUGGAAUAAGAGUGAGAGUAAGUUAUUUACUUACACUGGAAUAGAAGUAUAGAAUGGAGAUUAGAAUCCAAUUUAUUUGUUUAUUUUGUCUUAAAUUGUGAGUAAAUAGUUUCAAAUUAUAAUUUUACCCUUAUUUAAAGAAUUGUAGUUUUUAAUUAUAAAGUUAAUAAACAUAUAUUUGAUGAAUAAAUAUUUACUUUAUUAUAUUUGUAAAUUUAUAAUAAUUAUUAAUAUUCUAAAUUAUAUAUAUCAUAAUUUUUUAUUAAUUUUAAUUUUAAAUAUGUAAAUUAAAAAUUAUUGAUAAGGGCAACAUAAAUGAAACAUUUCUACUAUUAACAUAGUACAAAAUUAAUAUUUUCUUAGAAUAAACUAUUUCUGCUGUACGGCCAAGGCGGAUUACGGUACAGCAGAAGGUGUANNNNNNNNNNNNNNNNNNNNNNNNNNNNNNNNNNNNNNNNNNNNNNNNNNNNNNNNNNNNNNNNNNNNNNNNNNNNNNNNNNNNNNNNNNNNNNNNNNNNNNNNNNNNNNNNNNNNNNNNNNNNNNNNNNNNNNNNNNNNNNNNNNNNNNNNNNNNNNNNNNNNNNNNNNNNNNNNNNNNNNNNNNNNNNNNNNNNNNNNNNNNNNNNNNNNNNNNNNNNNNNNNNNNNNNNNNNNNNNNNNNNNNNNNNNNNNNNNNNNNNNNNNNNNNNNNNNNNNNNNNNNNNNNNNNNNNNNNNNNNNNNNNNNNNNNNNNNNNNNNNNNNNNNNNNNNNNNNNNNNNNNNNNNNNNNNNNNNNNNNNNNNNNNNNNNNNNNNNNNNNNNNNNNNNNNNNNNNNNNNNNNNNNNNNNNNNNNNNNNNNNNNNNNNNNNNNNNNNNNNNNNNNNNNNNNNNNNNNNNNNNNNNNNNNNNNNNNNNNNNNNNNNNNNNNNNNNNNNNNNNNNNNNNNNNNNNNNNNNNNNNNNNNNNNNNNNNNNNNNNNNNNNNNNNNNNNNNNNNNNNNNNNNNNNNNNNNNNNNNNNNNNNNNNNNNNNNNNNNNNNNNNNNNNNNNNNNNNNNNNNNNNNNNNNNNNNNNNNNNNNNNNNNNNNNNNNNNNNNNNNNNNNNNNNNNNNNNNNNNNNNNNNNNNNNNNNNNNNNNNNNNNNNNNNNNNNNNNNNNNNNNNNNNNNNNNNNNNNNNNNNNNNNNNNNNNNNNNNNNNNNNNNNNNNNNNNNNNNNNNNNNNNNNNNNNNNNNNNNNNNNNNNNNNNNNNNNNNNNNNNNNNNNNNNNNNNNNNNNNNNNNNNNNNNNNNNNNNNNNNNNNNNNNNNNNNNNNNNNNNNNNNNNNNNNNNNNNNNNNNNNNNNNNNNNNNNNNNNNNNNNNNNNNNNNNNNNNNNNNNNNNNNNNNNNNNNNNNNNNNNNNNNNNNNNNNNNNNNNNNNNNNNNNNNNNNNNNNNNNNNNNNNNNNNNNNNNNNNNNNNNNNNNNNNNNNNNNNNNNNNNNNNNNNNNNNNNNNNNNNNNNNNNNNNNNNNNNNNNNNNNNNNNNNNNNNNNNNNNNNNNNNNNNNNNNNNNNNNNNNNNNNNNNNNNNNNNNNNNNNNNNNNNNNNNNNNNNNNNNNNNNNNNNNNNNNNNNNNNNNNNNNNNNNNNNNNNNNNNNNNNNNNNNNNNNNNNNNNNNNNNNNNNNNNNNNNNNNNNNNNNNNNNNNNNNNNNNNNNNNNNNNNNNNNNNNNNNNNNNNNNNNNNNNNNNNNNNNNNNNNNNNNNNNNNNNNNNNNNNNNNNNNNNNNNNNNNNNNNNNNNNNNNNNNNNNNNNNNNNNNNNNNNNNNNNNNNNNNNNNNNNNNNNNNNNNNNNNNNNNNNNNNNNNNNNNNNNNNNNNNNNNNNNNNNNNNNNNNNNNNNNNNNNNNNNNNNNNNNNNNNNNNNNNNNNNNNNNNNNNNNNNNNNNNNNNNNNNNNNNNNNNNNNNNNNNNNNNNNNNNNNNNNNNNNNNNNNNNNNNNNNNNNNNNNNNNNNNNNNNNNNNNNNNNNNNNNNNNNNNNNNNNNNNNNNNNNNNNNNNNNNNNNNNNNNNNNNNNNNNNNNNNNNNNNNNNNNNNNNNNNNNNNNNNNNNNNNNNNNNNNNNNNNNNNNNNNNNNNNNNNNNNNNNNNNNNNNNNNNNNNNNNNNNNNNNNNNNNNNNNNNNNNNNNNNNNNNNNNNNNNNNNNNNNNNNNNNNNNNNNNNNNNNNNNNNNNNNNNNNNNNNNNNNNNNNNNNNNNNNNNNNNNNNNNNNNNNNNNNNNNNNNNNNNNNNNNNNNNNNNNNNNNNNNNNNNNNNNNNNNNNNNNNNNNNNNNNNNNNNNNNNNNNNNNNNNNNNNNNNNNNNNNNNNNNNNNNNNNNNNNNNNNNNNNNNNNNNNNNNNNNNNNNNNNNNNNNNNNNNNNNNNNNNNNNNNNNNNNNNNNNNNNNNNNNNNNNNNNNNNNNNNNNNNNNNNNNNNNNNNNNNNNNNNNNNNNNNNNNNNNNNNNNNNNNNNNNNNNNNNNNNNNNNNNNNNNNNNNNNNNNNNNNNNNNNNNNNNNNNNNNNNNNNNNNNNNNNNNNNNNNNNNNNNNNNNNNNNNNNNNNNNNNNNNNNNNNNNNNNNNNNNNNNNNNNNNNNNNNNNNNNNNNNNNNNNNNNNNNNNNNNNNNNNNNNNNNNNNNNNNNNNNNNNNNNNNNNNNNNNNNNNNNNNNNNNNNNNNNNNNNNNNNNNNNNNNNNNNNNNNNNNNNNNNNNNNNNNNNNNNNNNNNNNNNNNNNNNNNNNNNNNNNNNNNNNNNNNNNNNNNNNNNNNNNNNNNNNNNNNNNNNNNNNNNNNNNNNNNNNNNNNNNNNNNNNNNNNNNNNNNNNNNNNNNNNNNNNNNNNNNNNNNNNNNNNNNNNNNNNNNNNNNNNNNNNNNNNNNNNNNNNNNNNNNNNNNNNNNNNNNNNNNNNNNNNNNNNNNNNNNNNNNNNNNNNNNNNNNNNNNNNNNNNNNNNNNNNNNNNNNNNNNNNNNNNNNNNNNNNNNNNNNNNNNNNNNNNNNNNNNNNNNNNNNNNNNNNNNNNNNNNNNNNNNNNNNNNNNNNNNNNNNNNNNNNNNNNNNNNNNNNNNNNNNNNNNNNNNNNNNNNNNNNNNNNNNNNNNNNNNNNNNNNNNNNNNNNNNNNNNNNNNNNNNNNNNNNNNNNNNNNNNNNNNNNNNNNNNNNNNNNNNNNNNNNNNNNNNNNNNNNNNNNNNNNNNNNNNNNNNNNNNNNNNNNNNNNNNNNNNNNNNNNNNNNNNNNNNNNNNNNNNNNNNNNNNNNNNNNNNNNNNNNNNNNNNNNNNNNNNNNNNNNNNNNNNNNNNNNNNNNNNNNNNNNNNNNNNNNNNNNNNNNNNNNNNNNNNNNNNNNNNNNNNNNNNNNNNNNNNNNNNNNNNNNNNNNNNNNNNNNNNNNNNNNNNNNNNNNNNNNNNNNNNNNNNNNNNNNNNNNNNNNNNNNNNNNNNNNNNNNNNNNNNNNNNNNNNNNNNNNNNNNNNNNNNNNNNNNNNNNNNNNNNNNNNNNNNNNNNNNNNNNNNNNNNNNNNNNNNNNNNNNNNNNNNNNNNNNNNNNNNNNNNNNNNNNNNNNNNNNNNNNNNNNNNNNNNNNNNNNNNNNNNNNNNNNNNNNNNNNNNNNNNNNNNNNNNNNNNNNNNNNNNNNNNNNNNNNNNNNNNNNNNNNNNNNNNNNNNNNNNNNNNNNNNNNNNNNNNNNNNNNNNNNNNNNNNNNNNNNNNNNNNNNNNNNNNNNNNNNNNNNNNNNNNNNNNNNNNNNNNNNNNNNNNNNNNNNNNNNNNNNNNNNNNNNNNNNNNNNNNNNNNNNNNNNNNNNNNNNNNNNNNNNNNNNNNNNNNNNNNNNNNNNNNNNNNNNNNNNNNNNNNNNNNNNNNNNNNNNNNNNNNNNNNNNNNNNNNNNNNNNNNNNNNNNNNNNNNNNNNNNNNNNNNNNNNNNNNNNNNNNNNNNNNNNNNNNNNNNNNNNNNNNNNNNNNNNNNNNNNNNNNNNNNNNNNNNNNNNNNNNNNNNNNNNNNNNNNNNNNNNNNNNNNNNNNNNNNNNNNNNNNNNNNNNNNNNNNNNNNNNNNNNNNNNNNNNNNNNNNNNNNNNNNNNNNNNNNNNNNNNNNNNNNNNNNNNNNNNNNNNNNNNNNNNNNNNNNNNNNNNNNNNNNNNNNNNNNNNNNNNNNNNNNNNNNNNNNNNNNNNNNNNNNNNNNNNNNNNNNNNNNNNNNNNNNNNNNNNNNNNNNNNNNNNNNNNNNNNNNNNNNNNNNNNNNNNNNNNNNNNNNNNNNNNNNNNNNNNNNNNNNNNNNNNNNNNNNNNNNNNNNNNNNNNNNNNNNNNNNNNNNNNNNNNNNNNNNNNNNNNNNNNNNNNNNNNNNNNNNNNNNNNNNNNNNNNNNNNNNNNNNNNNNNNNNNNNNNNNNNNNNNNNNNNNNNNNNNNNNNNNNNNNNNNNNNNNNNNNNNNNNNNNNNNNNNNNNNNNNNNNNNNNNNNNNNNNNNNNNNNNNNNNNNNNNNNNNNNNNNNNNNNNNNNNNNNNNNNNNNNNNNNNNNNNNNNNNNNNNNNNNNNNNNNNNNNNNNNNNNNNNNNNNNNNNNNNNNNNNNNNNNNNNNNNNNNNNNNNNNNNNNNNNNNNNNNNNNNNNNNNNNAAAAAAAAAAAAAAAAAAAAAAAUCAUGUGUCAAUUAAAUUACAUAACAACAAGUGAAUUAAUUAAUUAACCAUCUUUUUUUUUUAAUGAUACAUACCUUGUGAGCAAUUCUUGCAACUGAGCUAAAUAAUAUUCAUUGUAUUGCAAGUCAUGACCAUAUCUUGGAUCAUGGCGAUCCCAGGGUGAUAAAUACAACCCCACAUCGACUCCACGGGCUUUAGCCGCAUUGACAAGCUCUUGCACGACGUCGCCGCGUCCAUGUUUCCAGGGACUAUGAGCCACAGAAUGCUCAGUAAAUUUCGAAGGCCAAAGGCAAAAACCAUCGUGGUGUUUUGCUGUCAGAAUCAUCAGCGAAACCCCAGCUUCAGCCGCUGUGUUAACCCACUGGUUUGCAUCUAGCCCCAAGGGAUUGAAUAUCUCAGGAUUUUCAUUGCCGGUUCCCCAUUCUGAGUCAGUGAAUGUGUUCACUCCGAAAUGAAGAAACAUUAUCAGCUCCCUUUGCUGCCAUUUGAGUUGUGAAAAUGAAGGAAGUGGUGACAGAGGCAAUGGUGGUGUUGGUACUUGUUGGCGUUUUGAACUUGCUAAAUUUGUGAGUUGAAACAAUAUUGUUAUUAAGCACACAAAACAACAUAGCUUGGGCAUAUUAAUCCCCUGGGGUUAUUGUUUUAAGCUUAAUCUUCUUCUGGUUUGUCUAUCUUAUAUGUUAAUGAAUGAUUGAGAGAAACAAAAGAGAUGGGUUUGAAUGAUAAGAUAGGGGACCAAACAAAGAAGGGUGGUAGAUUCUUUGAACGUAACCAAGCCAAAAGAGAAACAAAAGCUGACAAUGCGUUAUCUUUUGAUUCGAAUUUUGUUUGAUUCUUUUCUUUUUUUGGUUUUUCAAUUGUUUUGCUGUGGCGAUGAUUCACGAGUUGGCAAUUAAUUGUGUAUUACCUCUAAUAAUCCCCUCAGGUUUUCGUGUGAAGUGCAUAAUAUAUAUAUAUUGUAAGUUAAGCGUUAGAAAUGAAAAUUUUAAGCGACGAGUAAAAGUACCGUAGGAGUAAAACAAAACAUUUGAAAAUUUUUUCACGGAAGAAUUAAAAAGCCAGCAUUUUAGUUGCAAUCAGUAUCAAUUUGGGCCGUGUAUGGCAUGGAGGAGCUGUAAUAAUAAUUUUAACAAAAAUAGUAAAAAUAUUUUUAAAUAAAAAUUAAUUUAUUUAUAGUAAAUAUAAUUUUUAAAUAAUAGUUUUAAUAAAAAUAAUAAAGAUAUUUUAUAUUUUUAAUUAUACAAGUGGUAGAUCAAAUCAACUUAAAUUUAUAACUAAUAAUUACUAAACACUUUAAUAUUAUAGUUUUUCAAUUACAAUUGUUAAAUUUAAUAUCAAACAGACCCUUCAUAUAUAUGGUUUCUAAUUUCUAUUAGAAGUUGAGUAAUGCACACGCACACAUCUGUCUGGGAUUAUCUUUCAAGAAAUCAAUAUUUUAAUAGAUAUCAUAUCUGUGGAAUCUGUCUGAAGUAAUAAUAUAUUAAAGAAGAAUAAGCCUUGCCUGUUCAUUCCGUUAACAAUAUUCACCUUAAUAGAAAGUCUACUUAUUCAAUCUGAUCCCUUCUUUAGCUUAUUUAUUCAAAUUAUAUAUAUUCUCAAACAGUUGCGUCAUGCUUGAGGUUCUCGUUCCCAAGUUACUAAUUUUACAAUAAUAUCAGGGAUUUGAAUAGUUGAGUCUUAAUUUGAAUUUGAAUUAUUAUGCAUUAUUUAUUUAUUAGAUAGUGAAUUUUAUAUGGUAAAAUUAAUAUUCUACCAUUCAAUAACUGAAUGUUACAUCAGUUAAGACUUGAUCAUUGGAAUUCUUAACAUUAUUCUUAUUUUAUAUGUAAAUAAAUUAUUGGAACAACAAUAUAUGAUUGAAGAUUCUUUGUUAACUCACUCUAGUUUCAAAUCUUAGACAACUGUCAAGAUGAAUUAUAUUUUACAAGUCCUAUUGGGUUUUUUAAAAUAAUAUUUUGAAAAUAAAUAAAAAAAAUCCCAACAAAAACAAACAAAAAAUUUGAACCAAAUUCAUAUUUCACUGAUGUAGCCAAGUUAUAUAGAAAUGGAAGAGUGAUGUUAUACUUGCUUAGUUUAUAUUAUAAUUGAUGCGUCACUUAUAAAAAUUUCAUCAUUUGUAUUAAAAAUGAUAAAUGCAUUAUCACUUGAGCCAAUCAUGUAGUGACAUAUCAUUUGUCACAUCAGUUGGGAUACAAUCUAAGUAUCUUAAAUAGGUAAGCAUAGCAUUUAUAAAAAAGAAAUUACAAUAGUUAAUUGUGCAAUAAAGUACAAUUUCUGAAGCAAUUUUAUUUUAUUUUUGAAAGAUAAAGCAAUUUUAUUUAGUUGCUUUUCUAAAUUCAAAUUCUAAAAAGAUACAAAGGUAAAAAACUAAUCUAAGCUAUUCAUCCCUCUAUCUUUUUUAGAAAUAAACAUAAAAGAAAUUGAUAAGAGGUUAACUAAGAAAACAAAGUCUGUUCAAUUAGAAUUUUUAAAAGAUACUAUCUUUGCUUUCACACUAGGACACUUGCUUAUUUACAAUAACUGUGUGUAUACUUAAACAAAGAGUAAUUCAGAGACAUUGUUUUAUUGUUCGUUGCUUUGCAAGUAAGAGAGGGGAAAUUAGGUUUUGGUUUGGGUUGUUCGAGUUUAGAUGGUUGGGUUGGAGAAUUGAACCCAAUUAAGUUCAAAACGUGAUCUCAAACUAAAUCAAACCAAAAUUAAUUUGGUUCGAUUUGGUUUGAGUUCGCUUUUCAAAUUUAUUCAUUUUGAAAAUUUAGGUCUAAAUUUUGUAUUAGGUUCAAUUCGGGUUACAAUAGUUUAUUUUUCCCACAUCCGCUAGCAAACAUCUAAAAUUCCGAAAGUCUCAAAUCCCAGCCCAAAUCAAUAUAAAAUAAAAGCAAAUAUCAACUACUAAUCAUCCUCAACAUUUCAACAAGCCUUUUUAAAAAGUUUAAGCUUAAUAAAACAUAAAAUAAAUAAAUAAUGAUUACAAUAAAGCCACUAAGGUUACAUCUCCAAAUGACAAACAUGAUUAAUAAUCCAUCUCCACCAACAUAUAUCUAGAUGACAAAUAUGUAAGUUUAAUAAUCUAUCUUCACUAGCAUAGCACUCAAGACAACAGUUCUAGAUCACUAAUAAUUAACCACCACCAAUCGAGCAUCAAUGGAUAAGUAAUAAUUGACAUUGAGUUGAAUCACUUAAUAUGCCUUAACAAGGUGUAAUAUUCUCAAUAUGACUAUACGAGUGCUACCAUUCUGCACUCAAUACGCCUAAUAAUGUGUAAUCCCAAUACUAGUAUACUAGUACUACCUGAUAACUCUAUGAAAUGAGAGUUAUCAUGAUACUUUUAUACUUGAAUCAUUAUUACUUAGAGAGUAAAUAAUAUGUUUUUAUUGCAUUUUAGUUUUAUUUUGCAUGAAUAAUCAUUUUAGUUUAUUUUUAACAAAUUGCAUUGUUUUAGAAUAAUUUUGUGUGCUUAGAUUGUGUGCAUAAUUGUAGGUGAUUGGAAGCUCAAAUUUCAACGAAGGAAUGCUAUUGCAAUAGGCUUGCAAAAGAUGAAAAAGAACUUAGUUACAGAAGAAUUGAAACAAAUCUGGAACUAUGCAAUUGUUGUAGCCGUUGCUGUAGUAAUGUUGCUGUAACAACCAAUGCUGUAGCAAUCCUAGAACAACGAUAGAGAAAAUUUUGCUCGAGAUACUCAGAAUAUUGUGAGCCUUAGGCUUCAGUUUACCCUAAUUUUCAUUUAUAAAAAGAGCACACAUCAUAAAGAAAAUGAGGAGCCGUCACCCAAAUGGAAAAACCAGAAAGAAACAAAAGAAAAACAGAAUUUAAGAGAGAGAUUGAGAGCUGCAGAAGAGGAGAAUUUGCAGAAAUCAAUCGGGAACUCAAUCCUUCUUAUUAUUCUCUUAUUUUAUUGUUUAUCUUUUAGUUAUGAGGAUGUGUUUGAUGGCUGAAACUUUGUUCUUUAUUUUUCUUUUCAAACCAUGAACUAAAUUUAUUUGUGAUUGAGUGAUAAACAAUCUUGAUGGUUUAUUGAUUGAAUAUAUGUGUUGUUGCAUGUUUGCUAUAACAUUUUGUUUUGAUAGUAUUUAUUUCUAUUUAUUAUUUCGGUUGAUCACCCAUUUAAUGAUAUUAGUUAAGAAAGAGUCACAAAAGUGCCUAUCUUAGUGGAACAUAUCAGAGUAAUACUUGGUUUUAGAUUGAGUUUCCUAGGUUGAGUUUAACUCGAGUCCAAAAGGGUUAUGCUUAAUUUAAAAUUAGUGAUGAACUAGACAUAGAGAUUCACUUUGUAGGGUAAUUAGAACUUAAGCGUGUAAUGCUAUAUCUUAUGUUGGCAUAACAAUUGAUUACUAUUAGGCUGCAUAUGGAUAUAAGAUAUCCAACAUGCGACAACUGAGGAUACAUAAAGAUUCUGCCCAAUGCUGUAGCAGAUACUGUAGCAACCGAGUCAAACAUUAGAAAAAUUGUCAAAAUCAUUAAGUGAAUUUAAUCACUCAACUACUCAUUUAUUAUUGAUUGCAUCUUUGUGUUUGAUUUAAGAUUUCAUUUGUUGUAUUUUUAAUUAAGUUAGUUUAUUAGUUUCUUUAAUUAUUUUAUUUUAAUUUAAUUUAAUCUAAACUACACUGUUAGAAUUGUUGUAGCAAAUCCAAUAACAUCAAUCCCUGUGGAGACGAUUUUGAAUACUCAUCAUUAUAUUACUUGUUAUGUACACUUACACAUUGACACCAAUAACAUUAGAAUUUAUACCAACACUAUCAUUAUGCACUAUGAUUUUGCCUAAAUGUUUUAAGUAGCGUUUACAUUUUAGAUUGGAGUGGAAAUCUUAAAAUUGGGAGUGUGGAAUAAGAGUGAGAGUAAGUUAUUUACUUACACUGGAAUAGAAGUAUAGAAUGGAGAUUAGAAUCCAAUUUAUUUGUUUAUUUUGUCUUAAAUUGUGAGUAAAUAGUUUCAAAUUAUAAUUUUACCCUUAUUUAAAGAAUUGUAGUUUUUAAUUAUAAAGUUAAUAAACAUAUAUUUGAUGAAUAAAUAUUUACUUUAUUAUAUUUGUAAAUUUAUAAUAAUUAUUAAUAUUCUAAAUUAUAUAUAUCAUUAUUUUUUAUUAAUUUUAAUUUUAAAUAUGUAAAUUAAAAAUUAUUGAUAAGGGCAACAUAAAUGAAACAUUUCUACUAUUAACAUAGUACAAAAUUAAUCNNNNNNNNNNNNNNNNNNNNNNNNNNNNNNNNNNNNNNNNNNNNNNNNNNNNNNNNNNNNNNNNNNNNNNNNNNNNNNNNNNNNNNNNNNNNNNNNNNNNNNNNNNNNNNNNNNNNNNNNNNNNNNNNNNNNNNNNNNNNNNNNNNNNNNNNNNNNNNNNNNNNNNNNNNNNNNNNNNNNNNNNNNNNNNNNNNNNNNNNNNNNNNNNNNNNNNNNNNNNNNNNNNNNNNNNNNNNNNNNNNNNNNNNNNNNNNNNNNNNNNNNNNNNNNNNNNNNNNNNNNNNNNNNNNNGCAGAUUAAUUUUUUAUUAAUAUAAUAAUAUUAUUUUUAAGUAAUUUUAACUUAGAAUCAAUGCAAAUUAUUAUUUAGUUAAAUAUAAUAAUAUUAAAUUUAAUAAAAGGAGGGUAAAAAUCCACUCCCACCUCCCCCCAUGGGAGUCCCACUUUCACUCCCCACUCUAAAAGUAGGUGGAGUCCACGUAGUGAGAUUCCUAAUCCUCCCUUAAAAUGUGCAAGUAAACACUAAAGUGGAAGAAAUCUACACUUCUCACUUCCACUCUAGAAAGUAAACACAACAUUAAUUGAUUCUUAUUAUUGAUCCAAUCAAUUCUUAUUCUUGCAACACAAAAUCUUCAUAUUGGAGCACUUGGAUGGUCGAAUUGUGUCGACUUACAAAGCUCUACAUGAAACAAAAAAACCUUAAAGUAAAAAACUCUUAGAGUAAAUAACAAAGUCCUAAAAAUAAAUAACUAAGUAAUCAUAAAUAUUCGUACCUUCUACAAGAGAAUCCAUAAACUCAUUUUCCUCAACUAACGCCUAAAGGUUAGUUGUUGCAUACAUGAAAAGUGAAGAUCGCAACCAAUUUUGUGUUAAUGUUAAUGCUUCCACCAUGUCAAGAGUCAUAGAACUCUUAUAUUCAUAUACAACACAACCUCUCAUACUAAAGACGAACUCAGAUACAAUAGUAGAUAUUGGAGUGGCAAGCACAUCUCUUGCUAUUUGCGAUAAAAUUAGGCGUUUUGAACUAUUAACCUUCUACCAAAGCAAAAUAUCAAAUGGAGCACCCAAUCAACAGUGAAUUAAGUGCUUGAUACUCAACCGACUCCAUCAAAUAAAAGUUUAACUCAUUUGACGAUUCUAUAUGAUCUCUAGUGACAACAACCAUUUCCAUAUAUUUUUUGAAGGCUGAGUCCUCAUAUACCUCAUAUUCUUCAUCCACAAAAGUUAGCCCACUACUAGCACUACCACCAAUAGUUACACUUGAAAAUGCACUUGGUUUUAAGUGCCGAGCACUGUAAGCUUCAAAAAGCUUAACCCAAUCCGAAUGCCACCCCUAAUUGCAAGAAUUAAUUAUGCCUUGCUUAAUUAAGAAGAGUUGAGUGAGAAUCCCCACAAAAUGUCUAAGAUGGCCACCAAUGUUAAAAAAUGGGCUUUCUGAAAAUUGAGCCCAUUAGCCUACUAAUGGCUUAAGGCCUCAAUUUGUUUGCCUCAACAGAGAACACCUUUCAUAUGCCUUAAGCAAAAUUUCCUAGUAUCCUUGCUUUCACUCUUAGUCUUGGGUCACCUAAUUGUGAUUCACAAGAGGUAAUCUCUAUCCUUGCUUUCACUCUUGGUCUUGGAUCACCUAAUUAUGAUUCACAAGAGCUAAUCUCUAUGUAGUGGAAAAAGAUUUAUACAGUUGAAGUUGAAUUUAAAAGACAUUGUUAAUUUUCUCUUUUGUAGUGCAAGAAUUGAUAGUGCUUUGCUUGGGAACCGCCAACGUAUGUCCAAGUUGAGCAAUCUAUGAAAUAUAUUAAAAAUGGGUACAAUUUGAUUUGUCUUUCUAAAGAUGCAGCAUCACUAAUGUUGCCCAAAGGCUUGGCUAAUACAAAGUCUCGUUGAUACCCCAAAUAGAGAACUGAAAGUUAACUUGCUAAACCAGGCUGCUGGAAAAUGUGAUGUGCAAUUGCACCCUAAUAUAUGGAUCCUCCUAUGUAACAUGCCACACCUUUUUUUUUUUAAUUUUUGGGUUAAUUACACUGCAAUCCCUGUUUUAUUCUAAAAUUAAAAAAAAAUCAGAUAAUCCUAAAUUUUGACUCAUUAGUCCUACUUAUUUUGAUUUUUUUAAACUUAAAUCAAAAGGUGAGGAUAUUUUUUAAUUAUUAAUUCACACACCCACCAUCAAGUUUUAAAAAGAAAAUUUACUCCAUAUACUUACGUAAAUGUCAAAUACAUUCUUGAUAAGACUAAUUUUUUAUUUGUACUAAAUAAAUUAAUUAAAAUGAUAUAAAAAAUGAUUGAAUUCUUUACAUGCCCACUAGUUUCAACUCCAUAUCUCUAGCAAAUAGCAACUAAAUUCUAUCAUUAACUCAAAAUUAUUGAACAUGAGAUGUGAAAAAGGUUCUCAAAUAAAUGUGGAGUAUGAAAAAGGUUCUCAAAUAAGUGUGGAGUAUAAAAUGGCUUGACCUCCAAGUUCUUAUUAAAAGCUUCUAAACUUAUUCCUCAAGCUCAUAGAUAUAAGAACAAACUACGAGCAAGUUGCCACCACCCCCCUCUCACUUUUAGAUACGUUCUUAUUAAACAAUAAAAAAAUUAUUAAUUGGUAAAUAAAUAUAGUUUUAUUUCAUAUUGAAAUUAUUUACUGUAUAUUGAAUAAAUAUUAUUAAAAAAUAUCAACAACAAAUUAAGAACUAGAGAUCAAAUUCAUACUCAUAUUUAUUAUAAAAUAUGGUUGUAAUUAAUACGUGGUUUUACUAUAUAUUAAAUUAAUUAAUUAAUAAGAAAGAAUAUUAAUUUAAAUAUAAGAAUAAAUCAAUUUAUCGGUGAAAUUAUCCAGGUCAUUUGGCACGAUAUAUUGUAUUGCAUUAGUUACAUUGUAUUACAGUGUGUGUCAUUAAGGUGUAUUAAACUAUAAUACAAUAUCAUAUUUGAUGCAACAUGAACUGUAGUAUAUGUAAUAAAAUUUUAUAUAUAAUUAAAUAAUAUUAUAUUAUGUUAUAAUUUUUUAUAUAAUAUUUAAGUACUUAUUAUUAGUUAUAUUAGCUUAUUAAAUAAUUAUCAAUUUUUACUUAUUAAAUGUUAUAAUAUAAUUAAGUAAUACAUUAUUUAAUUAUAUUUUUAAUAUAAUUAAAUUUUUAAAUAUUAUUGAAUACUAAAUUGUAAAUUGAUGGACUUAUGUGUCAAUGUUUUAAACUUUGUUAGUUUUGUAAUUUUGCAGCAAACAAUAGGGAGUAUAAUAUUAAUAACCCAACACAAGCAUCUUAACCAUUACACUUGUUUUAAAUUAAAUCUAACGGUGGAUUAGGAAAAGACAAAAGAGUGUGGUAUGUUACUACAGUAGUAACAUAGCUGCACCCCAUAUAUAUAUAUAUAUAUAUAGAACUGCAGCACCAAGAAUUAUCCUUAAAUUUUUUCAUUUUACGAGGAAAAACCGUCAAAGCAGGCAGGGUUGAAACUCUCUACACACCGUUCCAUAACUUGGUCUCAACUAACUCUAUUUAUGUCAGUCAAUAGUAUUGGUAACUUACGCUCUCAAAAUAGGCUUGAGCUUAUGUCAUAAAAUUUAUGAUCUGUAUUGCGAAGUCCAAAUUUUAUAGCAACUUAUUAAUUUCUCAGAGUCAUCGUUGAAAAUUUCCUUCCUCUGACAAAUAUAAAGAGUAUGACUGACCAUGCCUUGCUUUUAAUGAGUAUUUAUUAUCACCGGCAUAGUUACCGAGUACCAUCUGCCAAACACUGUUUACUGCGUUAAUAACAUGUGGUUCUCUGAAUUAAUCUUUAUGUUUUAUCAAAUAACUGCAUACUUUAUCCAUUUGCGUCAACUAAGUCCCUCAUUCGUUUAUUAGGGUUAAUUGACAUAUUUGAUACAAAUAGAUAAACUAUUUCUUUGUUUACAAAAAUAUAAAAAUUUAGGGAUUCCAAUGUUAUUGUCUGUACCCUUCACUUUCAACUCCAUUUAAACCUUCUCAGAGACACUCCCAGACCCACUGCAUGUCAGCAUCUCUUCUCUCUAGCUUUGGCAAUAUGCUAUCUGAUCACUUGCAUUCAACUCUUUAUGAAACCCUAAAAUUUCUAUUUCUUAUUCUUGUAACUGCCAUUGAAGCAUUCUUGAUCCAUCAACGCUUCAAACCCAUUUGCCAUUUCUUCUAUUUCACUUGUCUUGCAAUUAUUUUGCUUCUCCAAUUCUACCUUUCAAAGCCUUCAGUAACAUACCUGGUGGACUUCUCAUGUUACAAGCCACCAUGCUUCUGCAGAGUCCCUUUCUCCUCAUUUCUUGAAAACUCCUCAUUGGUAGAAACUUUCGACAGCGAAAGCAUGGCUUUCAUGUCCAAAGUUCUCACUUGCUCAGGACAAAGUGAAGAGACUUAUCUCCCUCCAGCAUUACAAUACAUUCCUCCAAAAACCAAUCAGCAAGAAUCCAUCAAAGAAGCUCAAAUGGUCCUCUUCCCAGUCAUCGAAAAUCUCCUCUCCAAGGUUCAGAUCUCACCUCAAGAUAUUGACAUCCUCAUAAUAAACUGUAGUGGCUUUUGCCCUUCGCCCUCACUUUCAUCCAUUAUCAUCAAUAAAUACUCCAUGAAGAGUGACAUCAAGAACUUUAACCUCUCCGGCAUGGGCUGCAGUGCAAGUGCACUUGCCAUCGACAUGGCUCAAGCCCUUCUCAAAACCCAAAAAGACUCCGAUGCCCUUGUCCUCAGCACUGAAAUAUUAUCCACCGGUUGGUACUCGGGUAACGAGAAGCCUAAGUUGCUCCUCAACUGCCUCUUCAGAAUGGGCAGUGUAGCAGUUUUGUUAACAAACAAAAAACAAGCAAAAAGAUCAUCAAAAUACAAAGUUGUUCGCACUGUGAGAACCAAUAAAGCCUUUGAUGACAAGGCUUAUAAUUCCGGAAUGCGCGAAGAGGACUCUAAUGGGAAACUUGGGGUAACACUCAACAGGGAUUUGCUGCAAAUCGCCGGAGAAACUCUUAGAGCAAAUAUAACAAUUUUGGGUUUUAAAAUUUUGCCCUUUAGAGAGUUAUUUUGGCUUGGUGUUUCAGUUAUAAAGAAGGGGUUUAUUAAAAAUUCUUGUGAUGUUUAUGUGCCAAAUUUUAAGGCCGCGGUGCAACAUUUUUGCCUGCCGGUUUCGGGAAGGCCGGUGAUUAGAGAGAUAGCGAAGAAUCUGAAGCUCGGGGAGAGGGACAUUGAAGCUGCUCUGAUGACAUUGCACAGAUUUGGAAACCAGUCAUCUUCUUCAUUGUGGUAUGAGUUAGCUUACAUGGAGGCUAAAGAGAGAGUGAAGAAAGGUGACAGAGUUUGGCUAAUUGGAGCCGGGACUGGGAGCAAGUGCGGUAGCGUCGUUUUGCAGUGUUUGAGACCCAUUGUUGGGGAAUCUAACAAGGGCCCAUGGGCUGGUUGUGUCGAAGAGUAUCCAGUCAUGAAUUCAUGAUGCAUCAUCAAAGAAAGUUUCCAUCUUGCUGUGGAUUCAUUGCUGCUGAUUGCUUGUUUUCUUAUAAUUAUUGUAGAGAAAUACAAUAAAAUAUUAUUCAUUUCAUGAAAAGCUGGUAUUAUUUUUCAAUAAAUGGAUAUCUAUUGUGUCUCUUUUGAAUUGUUUAGAGUCCAGCUACGUUGCGGAUCAGUUACACAAUUAUUUGGUGGACACGUUAGAUGAUUAAAAAAUGAACGAAAUUUAAGAAAAUUUAAUCAUCCAAUAAUAUCCACGCUAUAGAAUUUAAUACUCCUCAAAUAUUAUAGUCACAAUCAAUUAUUUAUUUAAAGGGGUUAUAAGAGAAUAAGAACAUGAUAAUCAUAUAUCAUAUAUUAAUCCAUGUAAGCUGUAGCUAUUUUUCUUAUUUUAGUAAAGAAAAAACACAUUUUGUUUUUAUCUAUUUGUUGGAUGGACAGGUCGCCCAUGAUAGGCUGACCCGAUCCGACCCAAGUUUGGUAACUGCCAAGCAGUUACCCUACACGUUGAUUUAUGGGAGUUUAGAAGGAAUUUUGAUUUUUGAAUCAGCUUCCCUAACCGUUGUUUAAAUUAAAACAAAGUAUAAUAUAGCAUUUUAAUCUAUCGAAGGCAGAGACUUCUCCUAUUUCUUCAUUAAUUUCUUUCAGAUUCAUAUACAAAAGAACAUAGAACAACCCAUUAAAAAAAGGGCAUUUACACUGUGGUAUAGAGGAGAAUUUCCAUUUGUGAUUUCUUUCCGACCAUUGGCGUAAUCCAACACUUGAAUAUUUUGCUGCUUAAUUUCUUGGAAAAAGGUAUAGCUUCUUGAAUUCCUUUUAUUUUUCCUUCAUUGGUAUCAAAGCUUUCUAUUGUGUUGGAUUCGUGCAUAUGGUUGAAUUUAUUUCAUGAAAAAGCAUGAAUAUCACAUGUUAAUUGAAAUUUAUGGAAUGUGUGAUCUGGUGGCUGUUGAUUUUAUGUUCUUAGUGCUUAAAUUAAUGCAUAAAUUAUAGAAUUGAUAGACAUAAAAAAGGGCCUAGGGUUUAGGUUGCGUGAACCUUAAGAAAUCAUGAAACCCGAAAUUUCAUUUGCUCGUAUCUUUUGGUCUAGGUAACUUGACAUUGUGUGUAAUAUAUCAUUGGAAAGAUCUUUUUGAGAGCUUUCCAAUGAUAUGUGGUUAAAAACGAAAAUAAAAUGAGAAAGUUAUAACCAAAACAAGAAUCUGGUCGGAUUAGGGUUACAGAAGUCAGAAACCCUAAUUUUUGGAGAAGAUGAUGAAUAGUGCCAGAAUUAGUUUCUCAGUGAUUUCGGCUUAUUCUGACCUCUGAUUGAAAAUAUAAGGCCACCAUUGGACUAGGACGAAAAAUUGAGUCGGAUGGUGCUCGACCUGACAUCAUUAGAGCUGCUCAAGGCGACGCAUGAGGAUGCACACGGCAUUGUAGCACACUGUAGUGAAACUGUAGCGGAUUGUAGCGCAUUGUAGCACACACUGUAGCAUGCAUGAAGAGCAUGCAACUACCUUUGUGCGUGGCAGCGUUGGAAUAAUAAGAAUCUUUGGAGAUAACUGUUGUGAAAAUUUUAAUAUACUCGCAAGCGCACGAAUUUAGAAAUAGAAUAGUGGUAACGAAGUCGAUCCCAUAGGGAUUGUUAUAAAUUGGAAAGUCUAAUUUAAAUCUAAAAUUAAUAUUAAUCCUAACCUAGUUGAGCAAUUUGAAUUUUUAAAAGAAAUUAAACUUAUUAAAUUAAGAAAACAAAUAAAGUAAAUGAGAAAUCAAUAAGACAAAAAUUACCAAGGUUUCGGAAUCCACCACUAUUCAAUUAGUAAUUAUCUAAAUAUUAAUUAAUCCCCAAUUUUAGAGUGACAACUCGAAAUCAAUUUAUGUCAUCUCAUGGAUAUAACAAUUGAGCCCAAGUAAUUAAAUCUAAUGGAGGUUCUUUUUCUGCUUAAUAAUAUGACUUCUAAGCAUCCCAUGUAAAUAUAUUGAACAACAAAGAGUCAAAGUUUUCCUAAGCACUCUAUGUAAACAAUUUAAUGAAAGACAUAGAAUCAAAGAUAAUUAUGUAUAAACUUUAUAAAUCCAAGUAUAGAUUUAAUCGAAUAUUAAUCCUAACAAUCAAUAAUGAAUGACAUAAUUGAUGAAAAGAUUUUAAUAACAUCCAAUUAAUCAUGUGAAAUAAAAACCAUAAUCAUUCAAGAACAUAUAUAGGGAAUUAAAUAAAUAAAAAGAUAAUUAUUUCAUUGAAUAGGGUUUCAUCCUUAACCUCAGUGUAAGAAAAUUAGCUAGACAUACUUGAAUAGAGAGCAACACAAGAAAUAAAAUCAGCCAUGAAAGCCGAACUGUUGCUGCUGCUGAAUACUCUCUCCCAGCCUUGUGUCUGCACCUCUUUUCUUUUUCCUGGAAGCUACUCUCUUGCCUUUAUAUAAUGUUACUGGCUUGCUUAAUCCUUAUUGGAUUCUAAUUGCAUUAAUUCUUCACAACUUAUUAUAAGUCAAAGGCAUCCACCAACUUACAAAUCCCACUCACCGAGCCC
Molecule: long non-coding RNA, 103367 nt
Filed under: Citrus sinensis (sweet orange)
Lineage: Eukaryota; Viridiplantae; Streptophyta; Magnoliopsida; Sapindales; Rutaceae
Description: long non-coding RNA (CSIN_LNC003977)
Source: RNAcentral